This 88872-nucleotide long non-coding RNA is filed under the name Ananas comosus (pineapple). RNAcentral describes it as "long non-coding RNA (ACOM_LNC005822)". Lineage: Eukaryota; Viridiplantae; Streptophyta; Magnoliopsida; Poales; Bromeliaceae. The record is from RNAcentral.
UUUUAAAAUUUUGAUGUAAAUUUUUAAUAUUUAAUUUUCAAUUUGAAUUUAAAUUAAUAUAUUAUAAAGAUAAAGUUAGUAUAUUAAUUUGAUUACGUUUUUUAUAUCUACCUGAACCAAACACCGACAAUGGAAAUAAUUUAUUCCGAUUCCGAUUCAGGUAAUGAACCAAACAGAAUUAGGUAAUGAGUCAUUCCGAUUUAGAUUUCAGCUUAUUUCGAUUCCGAUUAUGAUUCCGAUUCCAACUUUGAACCAAACGCGCCCUCAAAGUCUUCCACUCAACCAAAAAAUCACAAUACUUUGAUCCGAGUGAUUAUAUUCCAAAAGAAGAACACUACCUUUCAUAUAUUAAAAACACGUAUUCGUUAAUCAAAUAACUUUAUGAGUUAAAAUAGUAUGAACUUAUUAUAAGUUCAACUCAAAGUCCCACUUUAGUUCACAAUAAUACUUUAUGCACAUAUGUGUAAAAACCAAAAUGUGUUCUUACUCAAAUAAAAAUAGUUCUUAAUGUUUUUAUACAAGAAGAAAAAUACUUAAACUGUAAAUAAACUCAAGAUACCCAUAUGAUUAACAUGAUUCUUGAACUUGUUUGAUAGUGAUGGUUUAGUCAUAGGAUCAGCAAUAAUCAUUUCGCUCCCAGCAAGAUACAUUGUAUUGAUAUGUUUGCUGCGAUCUAUAAUUCGACUAUUCUUGACACAAAACACUGCAGCAAAAUUGUUGCAAUGAAUUUUAAUUGGCUUUGAGAUAGAAUUGACAGCUCUUAAACGUGAGAUACAAUUUCUCAGCCAUCAAGCCUAUGACGAAGCCUCAUAAUAAGCGAUGAGCUCUAUCUCCAUAAUGGAUGUAGCAACUAUAUCUUACUUUGUGCUCAUUCAAGAUAUUGCACCUUGAGUAAGAAAGAAAAUAUAUUCUGAUGUAGACUUUCUAGAAUUCACACAUCCAAUAAAAUCAGAGUGCGAAUAUCCAACCACCUCAAAAAAAUUUUUGCAGCUUUCCAAUGUUUAAGACUAGAGUUGCUUUGGUAUCUACCCAGCAUCCCCACUGCAUGAGCUAUAUCAAGUCUGGUACAAACCUGCGCAUACAUCAAGCUUCCUACUGCAGAGGCAUAGGGUAUGCUCUUCAUAUACUGUCGUUUAAAUCAUUCAGUGGGCACUGUUUCUGAUUGAACCUAUCACCUUUUACAAUAGGUACAGCUGUAGGUGCACAGUUUGCCAUAUUAAAUUUUUCUAAAACUUUUUUAAUGUAUUUCUGAUAUUGACCCAAAAUCUUUUGAGAUCUAUUUCUAAAAAUCUUUAUGCCAAUGACAUAAGAAGUUUCACCCAAAUCCUUCAUCUCAAUGUUCUUAGAAAGAAAUUCUUUGGUCUCUUUAAGAAAACAUAAAUUACUACUUGCAAGCAGAAUGUCAUCUACAUGUGGGAUUAAAAAAAUAUACUUACUCCCAUUAACCUUAAGGUAUAUGCAGUGGUCCACAAUAUUUUCUACAAAAUCGAAUAUAGUAAUUAUAUUAUGAAACUUGAUAUAUCACUGAUGGGAAGCAUGUUUAAGUCCGUAUAUAGAUUUCUUUAAUCUGCAAAUAAAAUGAUUAUUUUCAUCUAUACUAAUACCUUCGGACUUGCAUAUAGAAUAUCUUCUCUAUUUUCCCAUUUAGAAAUACAACUUUCACAUCCAUCUAAUGUAGCUCCUGUUGGAUUUUAUUGGAUUUUUGGUUAUUUAAAACUUGUUAGGCCUCUUAGACAGCCCAAUACUUAAUAGGCCUUGCCUGGAAACCCAACUAAAAUUUUCAUAUGUGAGAUUUAGUCCCACAUUGGAAACUACAAGGGUGUUGCUGGUAUUUAUAUAUCCCUUUAUUCUCAAGCUAGUUGCAUGGGAGAAAAUGAGAGUUAUACUAUCGUUUAAACACACGCACGCACGGCACGAGCCCGAGCCAAGCCGAUUUUCGCAAAACCCUAUCUUCUACAUCGUUUUUUCUGCUUUCUCACGAUUGAUCUUUUGCGCCGACUUUCGCCAAGCUUUCUCAUAUUUUGCUGGAUCUGAAGCUUGUUGGGUUCGUUUUGCGCCACCUCGAAAGCGUGUCGACGGGGUGGAACGUGGUCAUUGUAUCGCUGGAAGUAAUUGUAGGGAAGUCUUGCCCGUAGAGGGACAAUUUCGCUUCUAGUACAGUGCUCUACACGCCUCGAUCCACAGACCUUCUCUAAUCCUUUCCUUUACAAUAUUUGUUAUUUAAUUUCUUUCUCGAAAUUUUUCUAAAACUGAAAUUAAGUUUCAAAUUAUUUUUAAAGAAUAUUUUAAUAAAAGAUCAGAAAGAUUUUUCAACAAUUUAGAAGCGAAAUAUUUAAUUUAAUCUUUCUGUUUCUUUUAUUAUACUAAUUAAAAUAUUUCUUCUCUACAAAUCAAUAUAUAUAUGUCACGCCCCGGGGCCCCUUUUUAGUUUAAAGCAUAGCGGAAAAGCGUCUGAAAUUUUUUUUUUUUUUUUUUUCGAAAACCUGACCCCAGGGUAUGCCAGAUCCGCCACAAAUANNNNNNNNNNNNNNNNNNNNNNNNNNNNNNNNNNNNNNNNNNNNNNNNNNNNNNNNNNNNNNNNNNNNNNNNNNNNNNNNNNNNNNNNNNNNNNNNNNNNNNNNNNNNNNNNNNNNNNNNNNNNNNNNNNNNNNNNNNNNNNNNNNNNNNNNNNNNNNNNNNNNNNNNNNNNNNNNNNNNNNNNNNNNNNNNNNNNNNNNNNNNNNNNNNNNNNNNNNNNNNNNNNNNNNNNNNNNNNNNNNNNNNNNNNNNNNNNNNNNNNNNNNNNNNNNNNNNNNNNNNNNNNNNNNNNNNNNNNNNNNNNNNNNNNNNNNNNNNNNNNNNNNNNNNNNNNNNNNNNNNNNNNNNNNNNNNNNNNNNNNNNNNNNNNNNNNNNNNNNNNNNNNNNNNNNNNNNNNNNNNNNNNNNNNNNNNNNNNNNNNNNNNNNNNNNNNNNNNNNNNNNNNNNNNNNNNNNNNNNNNNNNNNNNNNNNNNNNNNNNNNNNNNNNNNNNNNNNNNNNNNNNNNNNNNNNNNNNNNNNNNNNNNNNNNNNNNNNNNNNNNNNNNNNNNNNNNNNNNNNNNNNNNNNNNNNNNNNNNNNNNNNNNNNNNNNNNNNNNNNNNNNNNNNNNNNNNNNNNNNNNNNNNNNNNNNNNNNNNNNNNNNNNNNNNNNNNNNNNNNNNNNNNNNNNNNNNNNNNNNNNNNNNNNNNNNNNNNNNNNNNNNNNNNNNNNNNNNNNNNNNNNNNNNNNNNNNNNNNNNNNNNNNNNNNNNNNNNNNNNNNNNNNNNNNNNNNNNNNNNNNNNNNNNNNNNNNNNNNNNNNNNNNNNNNNNNNNNNNNNNNNNNNNNNNNNNNNNNNNNNNNNNNNNNNNNNNNNNNNNNNNNNNNNNNNNNNNNNNNNNNNNNNNNNNNNNNNNNNNNNNNNNNNNNNNNNNNNNNNNNNNNNNNNNNNNNNNNNNNNNNNNNNNNNNNNNNNNNNNNNNNNNNNNNNNNNNNNNNNNNNNNNNNNNNNNNNNNNNNNNNNNNNNNNNNNNNNNNNNNNNNNNNNNNNNNNNNNNNNNNNNNNNNNNNNNNNNNNNNNNNNNNNNNNNNNNNNNNNNNNNNNNNNNNNNNNNNNNNNNNNNNNNNNNNNNNNNNNNNNNNNNNNNNNNNNNNNNNNNNNNNNNNNNNNNNNNNNNNNNNNNNNNNNNNNNNNNNNNNNNNNNNNNNNNNNNNNNNNNNNNNNNNNNNNNNNNNNNNNNNNNNNNNNNNNNNNNNNNNNNNNNNNNNNNNNNNNNNNNNNNNNNNNNNNNNNNNNNNNNNNNNNNNNNNNNNNNNNNNNNNNNNNNNNNNNNNNNNNNNNNNNNNNNNNNNNNNNNNNNNNNNNNNNNNNNNNNNNNNNNNNNNNNNNNNNNNNNNNNNNNNNNNNNNNNNNNNNNNNNNNNNNNNNNNNNNNNNNNNNNNNNNNNNNNNNNNNNNNNNNNNNNNNNNNNNAAUUAUGCUACUAUACUAUCAAUAGUACCAAGCCCUUAGUACUAUUGAGUUUUCGGCCGUUGGAUGAAAAGAUGUGCAGUUAGGAUGAUAGUGGUCUCCGGUUAAAUUGAAAGUGGUUCCCUAGGGUUGAGUGGGUUGUUGGUUUAAUAAUAUAAUCUAACGGGUGGAAAUGAUCAAAGGGUAAAUCUAACGGUAGAAAACUCAAUAGUACCAAGGGCUUGGUACUAUCAAUAGUAUAGUAGCCGGACUCUCUCUCUCUCUCUCUCUCUCUCUAUAUAUAUAUAUAUAUAUAUAUAUAUAUAUAUAUAUGUUUUUUUAUAGUUCUAGUGCUAGCAAAGUCCAUCUGAUCCACGACAUAUAUAUUGGUUGAACAGUACCAUAACUUAAAUCAGUGUGCUCGCCGGCUGUAUUUGUGCGUAAUUAAUUAGAUGAUAUAUAUCAUCAAUAGAUAGUGAUAUUAUUAUAAUAUUACUAAUGGAAUUUUGUUGGGUNUGGGUGAUACUUGUGUGUUUUUAGCCCUUGGAUGGAGAGAUGUGAGGUUGAGAUGAUGGUGGUAGGUGGUCGUAGGUGGUGGUAGGUGGAAUAGUGUUUAAUUCAAGGGCUAUUAAUAAUCAAAAAGUAGAUCCAAUGGCUUAAAACCUAAUAGCACAAUGAUGGUGAUACUUGUAAAAGUAUCAUAGCUCAACUCUAUAUAUAUAUAUAUAUAUAUAUAUAUAUAUAUGGGGCAAUUGCUUAUAUACUCCUGAAAAGUUUUUGACUUUCCGAUCCCCUCUUAGAAGGCUAAUAUUGAAAAUACCUUUUCUACGUUCCAACAUAUUUCUAAUAUACCCCUAGAGUUAAAAUCUGUUAAUGAACUCUGUUAUCUCUGUAAAAUUACUAUUUUGCCCUUUCAAAUAUACCCUUCUACCAUCACUGACUUUCUUAUUUGCUCUUAAAGUCAGGAGUACAAAAAGUAUUUUGACUUUUGGUCAUUUUCAAUAUACCCCUCUACCGUCACCAACAUUUCUUAUUUGCCCUUAAGUUAAGAACAAAAUUGGCAUUUUAAUUUUUUUUUAACUGUGGUAGAUAUUUAACUCACGUUUAAACCAAGUUAAUUUAACAGGAGAUAACUGCGGGGAUAUUUUGUAAUAACGGUGGAACAUAUGAGGGGUAUUUUAGAAAGAAGAAAAAAGUAGGGGUAAAUCAGAUAUUUUCAAACGUAUGAGGGAUAUAUAGGCAAUUAUCCCUAUAUAUAUAGAGUUGGUCUAGAAUACUAUUGAUAGCAAAAAGUAAGUCUUUUUUGCUAUCAAGUUUUUAGCUUUCAGAUCAAUUUCUUUCAUCAUUUCUAACCAUUGGAUUAAAUAUUAUAACUCAGUGGGGACCACUCAACCGUAGGGGGACCACUCAACCCUAAGGGACUAAUAUCAUCCUAACCCUACAAUUUCUCAUCCAAGGGUAAAAACUUGAUAGCAAAAAGGGUAUUUUGCUAUCAAUAGUAUUUUAGCUCAACUCUAUAUAUAUAUAUCGUAAUCUUCCUGAGUAACACGUAGAAUAUCUUACUGUUAUUUUUCUGAAAUUCAAAACUAUUUUGUGACAUAACAGUAGGGUUAUUUGUGAACAGUUUUUUUUUUUAUUAUGGAGGAUUCGGCGAAAUCUUUUACUUUUGAUGGUCGUAAUUUAAAAGGUGGCAGAACCAAAUGAGAUUCUGGGUCACCACACUUGGGCUAGUUUCUGCAUUCUCAGAUUCUGCCGAGAAUGGCAUUGGAUCUAAACCUGAAAGUGCAAUCUAGACUGCGGUCAACAGACCAGUUACUUGAAGCUAAGUCCAGGCUAGAUCUAGUCCUCCCUCCACUAAAACUGCAAGUACAUCUACACCCAAAACUGUACCUCCUGUUGACCCUAAUAUGAUCAACUAUCAUUAUUUAAACCAAAUUCUUAGUACCUGUCACGCCCCAAGCUCCACCUAUUUGGUCGAAUUCGGGCACAUGAACAGACGCCGAACAAACAGCACCUCCUCUGUCUGCCCAAGGCUCCAACAACAAGUAUAAUCAAGCAAAUCAAUCAACGAAAUUGCAAUUAUACAAGACUUGCACGAGGACAAGCAACAACAAGUAGUGAAAGCUCUGAGUUACUACAUACAAUCACAUAUAUAAUAUUUGAUUAUAUUUUAACCAAAUAUAAGUAAACUAAAGUUAUUACAUUCAUUCUCUUUGCAUUCAUGUUUAUACAUCACAUAGUCAUCCAACCCAAAAUACAUGGAUCUAAACAUCUCUUACAUCUCUUAUUCAACAAAAUAAAAAUUGAAACAUAAACAAAAGGAAUGACUAUAACUCUGGUGGCUGCUAGCUACGGCGUUAAACCCUUAUCCGGAUCUUCCGCCACCCCGCUCGCGCUCGGAUCUGUAGGGUUAGUGGCGUGAGAACUACAACUAAGUUCCCAAUAUGUUCGGCCGCCGACCUCGCUGAUCUGCCCACUAAGUCUAUUCAAGCAUAUGUAAUUCAAGAAAAGAUAGAUAACAAACCAAUUAAUGCUACUACUAAUACAAUGCCUGCAAGAAAGCUGAUCAAUAGAUAGAUAAUCAUAUGUAUGAUACAUAUGCAUGCAUGCUUUUCCACAUUCACUUUGACUUUUACCCAAUUAAUCCGGUUAACACUCGUUAACCCCAAAACUCACAACCCAAAAUCCCUCUCAAUCGGGGGACUCGAACCUCCCGAGGGACCGUCUUAUGGGGGGACUUUACCUCGCCCAGUGGUGACCAACUUCGAAGCGCACCGCUCGAGGAGGAGCUACCUCCCUCAAGCCAAGACUCAAAGUGAGUAUGAUCCAAUCCCUAAUUUGGGAAUGUAUAGCCAAACUUGCUACUUUGCUACAAGCCACCAUGCCACAAUACAAUAACAGAUUUCUACCUCGUCAUAUAUGCCACUCUCUAGGCCACACUUGUCAUGAUACCACAAUUUGUUUAACCUUGUUUGGCAAUUCAUCUCUCAAUGCCAAUUUCGUCGCUAAUGUCAAUGUCACCUUUGUUUACUAUUAUCAUAGUCCAUUUCUCACAUUCACACAUAGGGGUGUAAACGAGCCGAACUCGAGCGAGCUAGAGCCAGCUCGAGCUCGGCUCGUGGUCUUCAAGGUCGGCUCGUGUUCGGCUCGAGCUCGUGACAAGCUCAAAAACUCUGGCUCGUGAUUAGCUCGAAACUUAAUAGAGCUGGCUCGUGUUCAGCUGGUUAGCUCGAGCAAUUUUGCUUCUUUAUUUUGAAGAAAUCAUGGAGGCGGAGCGAGCGAAGAAGAAGAAGCGAGCAAAGAAGAAGAAGGAAAGAAGAGGGACGACGGCGAUACAAAUCACGGCGCACCGUGUUGGGAAAAAGCCCGGUCCACGAGGCUGCGAGCGAAGAAGAAAAAGGGAGUAAAGAAGAAGAAGAAAAUAAGAGGGACGAUGGCGAUAAAAAUCGCGGCACAUCGUAUUGGGAAAAAGCGCAGUCCACGAGGCUGCACUCAGCCUUGUGGACCGCGCGGGGUGGACAGAUCUGUUGGAAAAAAGCGCGGUCCACGAGGCUCACUCAGCCUCGUGGACCGCGUAGUGGACACCCCGGUUGGGAAAACGCGCGGUCCACGAGGCUCACUCAGCCUCGUGGACUGCGUGGUGGACACCCCGGUUGGGAAAAAGCGCGGUCCACGAGGCUCACUCAGCCUCGUGGACNUAUAUAUAUAUAUAUAUAUAUAUAUUAUUUUAUAUUAUAUUAUUUUUAUAUUUAUAAAAAUUAUAAUUAUUUAUGAUAAUAAUAUAAUCGAGCUGUUAUCGAGCCGAAUACGAGCGAGCUGACCCUAGCUCGUGUUCAGCUCGUUUAUUAAACGAGCUGAAAAAUCCAGCUCAUGUUCGGCUUGUUUACUAAACGAGCGAGCCCAUCUCGAGCUCAUUUUGAGCCGAACACGAGCUGGCUCGUGAACAGCGAGCUGGAUUGCCACCCCUAUUCACACAAGUAUAGGGUCCCAACAUACAUGUCUCAUAUGGUUCUAUAUCAAUCACUAUGUUCAUAUACGUUAGAAGCAUACAAUUGAAUCUCAACCAACAUCCAUAUGUAACUACCCUAUCAUGCAUGAAUGUCACUAUUCAUAUAUGCUUAAUAAAAAGGCAACAUAAACAUAGAAGGGAAUUCAGAGAUUCCGGAUAGCACCUUCCAUCUUGUAGGAACACCAAGAGGCUACCGGUCAAUUUUCAUGAUUUUUGGGCGCCUAUUCUCUCGUCUGCGGCAAAACGAAGCCAAAUUAGGCUUUUCUCUCAAUAUCUUUAUAUAGACUUGUCAGAUCGGUGAACUGAGUCCACCAAUGAGUUAGAAAUAUCCCCAAUUUAGUUUCUACAAGGUCAAUUUACCUUUAAACCAACUUAGGACAAAAACUCCAAUUUUGAUGCCCUAACAAUGUCAUCUAGCCAUAUAUCUUGGUUUGAUUUUAGAACUAAGCAAAAACAAGCUUAGAACCAUCUAAGAAUCCCUCUAAAACUAUUUCUAGGUUAUUCAAACCAUUCCUUGAGCAUAAAAACCAAACCCUAGAUUUCUACCAUGAGAGCACAUGGAGAAACAUGAGUUUUCAUGGAUUCCAUGGCCUUUACUAGAUUUCCCAUCAUGUAAGAAGAUCAAAACCAAAAAAUUUAGGGCAUAAAACCAAGCCCUAAUCUAGUUCUAACAAGAAACCUCACCUUAGUCUACAAGCUCACCAAGGUCCACAUUGUAGGAAAGCUCUAGAUCCUUCAAAACUCCAAAUCUCCUCCAAAUCCACCUUUUGAUCUCCUCCUUUAGCCUUGGGAGAGAGUUUCUAGAGAGAGAGAGCGAGAGAAAUGAGAAGGAGUGAUGUUCUCAGCUGGGAACAAGAAAAAAGAGAGGGUGGGGUACUUUAUAGGUUGCUACAGUAGCAAAUAGAUCCUCAUUUUUUUCAUAUUUGCAGUAGACUAUCCUGCUGAUUUCGCAGCACUGCGUACCGGUACGCGGGUGGGUGUCACCGGUUUAACGACUACGCAGCAGCCAAACCCGAGAGUUGCUCUUUCGGGUAACAUACUUGGUACCGGUACGCACCAGGGAUGUCACCGAUUUAACAGCAUUAAACUCUCAAAUCCGAGAAUAGCUGUUCUCGGUUGCCUGCCUGGUACCGGUACCACUCCAAUGCAUUACCGGUUAACAAUGCUCCAGACUGCAAUUUGCAUUGUUUCGACUCUAGUUCGCGUCGAGCAAUGCUAAAACCUUUCUGACUCUCUUGAAACUCAACUUUAAUCCUUCCAACAUUGUUGGAAUAUUAAAUAGACUUUGUCCAACUAUUCAUCUCGCACACUUUGGUCGAUUUGACUAAAAUUCGAUAUACUCUACCGAAGUUUCGGUAUAUUACAGUACCCUAUCUGAUAAAUUGUAUGACAUUUACUAUAGUGCUAAAAUAACUAGAAAACUUUGGACAUCCUUAGAAAAUAAAUAUGCUCAGGUUGAUCCUACCCAGAAGAGAUACCAGGCUUCUAAUCUAAUUAAAUUUAAGUUGGUGAAUAAUAAGUCUAUAUCUGACUAGCUUUACGAUUUUGAGUAUAUAGUUGAGUAGCUUAGAUCUAGUAGUGUAGAUCUUGAUGAGAGUUUCUUAAUUGCUGCCUUAAUAGAUAAGUUGACAUUCUUUAGGUCAAACCAUACAAACGAUCUUAAUCACAAUUGGAGAGAGCUAUCCCUAAAUUAUGUCCUAAGAUCUAUUAUGAUAGAAGAGUUCGAACCGAGCUAAGGAUAAGAAGCCCGGUAAAUCUACAACCCAAGCCAACCUAGUAGAGAAUCCUAAAAAUAAGGAUAGAAAUUUUUAGCCUCAUAGGAACUUUAAGAAUAAGCCUUUCCACCGUAGGAAGUUCAACCCAAACUUUAAGAAACCUAAAUCUAAUGAAAGUGGAGGCAACUCUGGCUGCUUUGUGUGUGCGAAGACAAGUCAUUUUGCGAAAUAUCGCUACUUCCGGUAGACUCGACCUUUCGUACCAAAGAAGAAGAAGAAGGCUCCAUUGAGUGCCAGAUGAAUGUGCUGACUGGUGGGUUUGACCCUUCUAACUCCACUAUCAGGUUAGGAUCUAGUUUACUGAAUGUUAACCUUACCUAUAGUUUUUUUGAUUGGUGAAUAGAUACUAAAGCUAAUGUUCAUAUUUGUUCUAAUCGUUCGUGGUUUUCCACCUAUCAGGACUCAUUUGGAGGAUCGAUAAAUAUGGGGAAUGCUGCAUCUUUUCACGCACGCUAGGGACAGAUCGAGUGGACUUGAAGUUGACCUCCGGGAAGACCUUAACCUUGCACGAAAUCUGUCAUGUUCCCGACCUUAGGAAGUUGUGGUGCUUAAAAUGUUACUAUAUAUCAUGUGCAUAUAAGAAAUUUUUUUUUCCAAUCAAUUUUAAUAAGGUAAAGACAUCUUUGCCUUUUAGGCAAUUUGAAAUAACUUUUUCAAUUUUAACUUUUUAGUUAAAAAAGUUAUUUAUAGAACAAUUUUCAAAACUAUUAAAUAUGAUUAAUUUUUAAAUAAAAUUAUUAAAAUAAUAUAGCUAUUCAAAAUUAAGAAAAUAUUAAUACUAAAGUUAUUUUUUGUAAUGUAUAUAACACUAUUUUAUAAUUUUUUUAUUUAGUUAUAAUAUUUUUGUCUUAAAAUUUUAAUAAUUAUCUAUAGAUAUAUUAAUUUAACAGUUGGGUCACAUCAAAAGCCCUCAGAGCGACACGCAUCCUUUUUCUUCUCCCUCCUCUACUUCAAUAAUAUUGCAUGCACCUGGUCUAUUAAAAUAUCAUAUACACCAAGUCUCUUUUUAUUGUUAAUAUUUUAAAAUCUAUAAGAUAUAUAAUUUUGCAGUUCCAUCACAUCACAAAAAAUUUUAAUACUAAUUAUCAGAUAUUCUAUCAAUCAUCUAAUAUAUUUUUAUGGUGUAUGAAAUAUUAGUAUACAUUAGGUGCAAGAUUUCUCCUCUUUUUCCUGAAAUUAUAAAUUAAUGCACUCUAUUAAGCAUUCUCCAUGCCGGUUGUAUAUAAGAACAUACACAACAUACUUAAAAUAUUUAAUAGAGAUUUUAAAAUUUAAUUCAGUAAACAUAUUUAAAUUAUUAAAUUUUGUAAUUUAAAUAUAUUUAACUAAGAUUCGAUAUUAGAAAUUAGUCCUUUAAUAUAAGUUGUGGUGUAUAGUGUGUUAAUAUAUACACCAGGUGCAUGUAAUAAUUUCUUUUUUUUCAAUCAAUGUUAACUAGAUAAACAUAACAUCAUAUAUUUGCAAUUUAGAAUAAGUUUUCUAAUUUAACUUUUUAAUUAAAAAUUUAUUUAUAGAAUAGCUACUAAAACUAUUAAAUUUGAUUGAAUUCUUAGGUGAAAUUAUUAGAAUACUUUAACUCUCUGAAUAUUGAAAGUUAAAAAAUAUUAAUAAAAAAAGAUUAGCUUUAUAAUGUAUAGAAAGCUAUAUAUUUUUUUAUUUUUUAUUAUAAUUUUAAAUUUUAAAAUUUUAAUAAUUAUAUAUAUAUUGAUUGACUGAAAUGCUAUCGAUCAGCCGCGAAGCGCGGACCCUGAACUAAAGAGAGAUCUAGAGAGAGAGAGAGAGAGAGAGAGAGAAUCAACCCAUGUGCCAAACUGUCAAUAAGUCAAGCCCAAACCUUCACCGUGGGACAAUCCAAGCCCAAGAAUUGGUGCCGUGCCGGAUUUGUUUUGGUAAAUUUUGGGCCAAUCCACCGUAUCAAGAACACACAUAAACACUACAGUUUCAAAACAUCUAACAUCAAAUUAAUUAACCCUUACGAGCUAGCUUUAAUUCACGGCCAAACAUUCACUACGGGCUAGACCAAAUAUGAGGCCAGAAGAUAUUUUAUGAAAAGCACAUAAAAUGGGCUGAUCUUUUGGGACCAAAGGCAACAUAGUGAAGCGCCUCACCACUCCUGCUACAUAUGAUGGUUUAGUUCUUAUAUAUCUUGUUUUCUUUUAAAUAGUAGAAAUUUUAAAAAAAAUUUUAAACCCUAGGAUGCAUGCAUGGGAGAGUUUACAUUAUAUACCCCUUUUGGGAUUUAUAAGAAGCAUUUCUCAAAAUAAAAAAGGUUAAUUGCAAUAUUUCAUAUGUAUCCCUAGAAAGUUCUAGUUUUUAAGUAUAUCGAUCCAUCGAUCCAAAGUUGCAUAGUUUAUAGAUAUAUGAUCCUUCUCCGUUAAUUAACUAGUUAGAUAUCGAUCUUCUCCGUUAAUUACUUAUUUUUUGCCAACAGAAUAAUUAUUUUACCUUUGAAUAUAGUAUUUAUUAUUUGUAGUAUUUUUAUUCCAAUUUUUACGUCAUUUAUGUGAACCAUACAUUAUAAAUCUUGAAAAGAAAUUCAGAAAAACUAAUUUUAUAAGGGCAUAAUGGUCCAAAAAUAGAAAUUUAACAAUCGACCAAUAGUAGUCAAUAUUCAUAGAUAAAUUUGCAUAUUUUAGAUGUUUAGAAGGAUAUAUUUGAUAAUUAAAACUUUACAUGAAUAUAAUAGAAUUUUGUAGGAAUAAAUAUGUAAUGUUAUUGUUUUGUAUGGAUAUAGCACACAUGCAAUUUCCAUUCUCAUUCUUCUUUUAAUGACACUACAGGUGUUUUGCUGCUUCAAUAAAUCAGCAAAUGAGCACUUAUUAAAGGGCAAUAAAUGGAGGUUUUGGUGGGUGGGCGAGCCCUAGCCCUAUAUAUUGUCACAUGAUUAUAUAUAUUUAUAUAUAUAAUUGAGCUUCUAUAUUUUUAAAAUUAUAAAGUUUUUGGUGGACUUGUAAAUUUUUAACUCUUGGAUUAAAAGAUGUGCGAUUAGAAUAAUAGUGAUCCUCUAGAAUUGAGUUGGUGUUUGGUUGAAUAGUAUUAUCGAACGGAUUGAACUAAUUAACUAAAUAGAUCUAACGGCGAAAAACUUACGAGCACCAAAUAGUUGGUGCUUUUACAAGUAGUAUAGCCGGUCUCUCUCUCUCUCUCUCUCUCUCUCUCUCUCUCUCUCUCUCUCUAUAUAUAUAUAUAUAUAUAUAUAUAUUCUUUGUGCUCUGUAGAGAAGGGUCCUGGUUGGUCUAAGAAACCACAUGGCUUCUGCAUCCUCUCUCGUGGGGUGUAGGCCCUGCUAUAAUGACUGCACAAAGAAAAAGAUAACAUAUCGUCGGGUGCACCUGGUGCAUACGCACACAUUGUGCACCGUCCGCCCACCCCGCUUUCAUAUUUUACAUUUUAGUCCCUACCAUCCACCGAAAAAAAUCUUCUUCCUAAUAUUUACAAUAAAUAAGCUACACCAAAAACCAAUUAUUUUUGUACAAUUAAUGUACUACUUAUAAAGAGUCUCACAAAAGAUAAUAUGAUAUAUAAACCUUACUGAAAAGUUAUAUGGUACGACCUGUUUGUCCUUGUUUAGCUUUUCUUUUUCUUUUUUUUCAAAUAGAGUUAGUUGUUAGUAACUGUAAGCUCGACAAUCGAUGAAGUCUAGAAUUUAAUUUGUAGCAAAAUGGAAGAAAAACAUAAUUUAGAAAACCGGUUAGCAGAAAUUUGUGCUUCUCAUCUACUAAUACAACUAAAUGAUCUAUAAUUCUAUUAGGAGUUGUAAUAUUAUGCUUCUUCUUGUAGCGCUUUUAGAUAUAUAUCAUACCGAUAAAAAAAACAUACACUGUAUCCUGCAAUACAAGUGGGAAAAAAUUAAACUCGAAUGAAUUAAGGGCGUCUGUAUUUCGUCAAUUUAUUGAGUUUUUUCUAAAUUUGCCGCACAAUACGAUCUUGAGACAAUGAUAUCAAAUAUUUAACUAAAUUUAAUUAAACAUCAAAAUUCAAACACACAAUCGACGAUCAUCAAGUAAUCAAAUAAUUCCAGCGAAUUAAGCAUCGUUGUGAUGCUCCUCAGUAAGAUCCUACGAAAAUGGGGAUGCUCGUAAUAAUUCUAGAGAGAGAAAGUGAGAGUACGUACCCCACAGGACAGAGGCAUCACAAGCCAAACAAUAGCAAACUACCAAAUGGUACUGUCGAGUACGUACCCUCUCCUCUCUCUCUCUCUCUCUCUCUCUCUCUCUCUCUCUCUCCUCUCUCCUCUCUCCUCUCUCUCUCUCUCUGAAGUGUCCAAAGAAACAGAAAAAGUAGCAACGAAAAACUACUUCUGGGGUUAAAGGGAGAAAAGUAGAAGGGGUUGAUGUUGGUAAUAGGAAGAGAAAAUAUGAUAGUGGAAAGCCGCGCUUUGUGGACACAGUGCAUGGGAGCAGUUAAUGCAUACUUUUACGAGAACAACAAGAGAAAAGAUCAUCAUCUUCUGUGGUUGUCAUUGGCUGAUACUGCACAGAUCAUCUGUCGAGGAUUGGUCGAGUACACUACAGUAUUUAUACUACACACUAGUACUGUGCCAACUAAAGGACCUAUAUAUGUUUACUUUUACUCUCAGAAAUAAUAAUGUUUUAUUAGGAAAGUGAAAAGUGUUUCACAAAUAGAGAAGCAAGCAUGUGGUUAGCUUCUACUGUUAGAAGAAGUAAUGUAAAAAUUUGAGAAUAGAAAUAAUAACUUCUCUUAACUAUUUACUUUUGAUUAAGUAUAACAUAUGUAGGUCAUAUUGGUCGAUCUGUACAAGCAGUAAAAUGGGGUAAAGAUCCCUAUAAUUUUUCAACAGAACCAUUUCACACCCAACUAAUUCUGUAUAUACUACUUCAUAUUGACAACUUCAUUCUAAUCUUUAUAACUCAUCUAAUAAGUAGAAAUACAAUUUCGCUGUCUCAAAAUCAAAAGUUUUAAUUUGACACUUUUUAUUAUGCUGUAAGACCAUAUAGGAACAGGCUGAAGGUUAACCAAGCAUAUGUCAAACUCUCCUAGUAUAUGAGCGUAGCGAAAAACUGAAUCUUUUAUAGAGAAAUUUGAUGAGAACAAUCGAAAAAGUCAAUUAUGAGAAUAGCAAAAUAAUAAAAAGAGUAAGAACAUAAAAAUUUAUGUAGUUUGACCAACGGUGUGUCGACCGAUAUUCACAAGCCAAACAUUAAUGCUUCUUCGAUUAAUCAAUGAUACAAAAUACAAGGAGUAGAUUGAAGAUAAGAAAUCCCUCUUACACCACUCUGCCACAUUUUUUGUCUCAAGUAGAAUUUUACAAUGGAACUUUAAAGCCCUAAAUAUGAAUUACAAAGUUCUAUCCAAAGGUGUACCGGAACCUACACUUUCAUAGUGUCUUGUUUUGGAACCCAGUUCUUGUGUUCAGGAACCUACACUUUCAUAUUGUGCAUAUAACAAUAUGUGGGUUCCGGAACCUGCUGUAAUUCUCACACCAGAUUCGGCCUCUUCUAUUUCUAUGGAGCACCGCCAAAGGUUCUCGAAUCUAACAUCCAAUAACCUGUAGAUUCAUCACUCAGAAAUCAACUCGAAAAAUGGCUUCCACUUGAUCUAACAUAAGAAACCAUUCAGAAUAUUCUUAUAUUAGUACUUCUUCGAAUGUAUACAUACAUAACACUUCAUCUAGAUUACUAGUUCUACACUCUAUAGCAGAGUCAUACAGACCCUUAUUAUAUUUCAUUUCUUCACAGUAAUUACUAAAAACAGCAACAAAGGAUGUUAGAAUUUAAUUAGAAUGAUCUCUUGCAAAAGAUCGGGAAGUACCAACUGCAUGCUAGAUUAAUAAAGUCUCAAUCACCGACCAUCCCUAGAACAGUUGGCAAAGUGCUUGAUAAUAAUCUUCUAAAUUAUUAGUUUUAGCCUUAAUUUAUUUGGAGUUUCUUCUUCUAAGUAUGUUAGUAUAAUUUGUUAAGAGGUAAUGCUCACCUUGAUUAAGAGUCUAAUUAGUGGAGAUUUAAUUAUAGUAAGAAACUAUGUUACUUUUAAGUUAAAUGAAUUUUACAGUAAGAUACUAUGUUACUAGAGUCAAAGUAGAAUUAUAGUAAGAUACUAUGUUACUUUAAGUUAAAUGAAUUUUAUCUUUAAGGUGAUUAAAUUAUCAAGUAGAGCUCUAUUUUUUGUACAAGCUAGGCCGGUAUACUAUCGGUAGUACGGAGGCCUCCGUGCUAUCAAGAUCCGGUUUCCGAAUCGAUGAUCGGCUCCAUUAGACUUGAUCUACACUUUUAGAAGUAUUUGGAAACAAAAAUUUUAUAAUUUUUCGACAUCAUUUGGCUAGUGAUCAAAAGGUUUCAAAAUUGACAAUUUUAAUAGUUGAUGUGAUGUGUUUGUGAAUUUAAUGGUGUAAAACAAUCCAAAUCUGAUAAAAUUUUUAUAGAAAAUUCUUUUCACUAUUUAGAGCAAGAUCAGUACCUCUGAUUUUAAAUUCAAGUCUUUUUUCAUCAUUUUUUAUGAGAUUUUUACUUUCAGCCGUUCAUUAUUAAAUUAGUCGUUUGAUAGGUAAAUGAUGUCGAAAAAUUAUGAAAUUUAGUUUCCAAAUACUUUUAAGCGUGUAGAUUAAGUCUAACGGAGCCGAUCGUCAAUUCGGAAGCCGCAAUAUUGAAAACAGCUUGAUAGCACGGAGACCUCCGUGCUACCGAUAAUAUACCAGCCUAGCUCUUUCUUGUGCUAUAUAUAUAUAUAUAUAUAUAUGAGAUGAGGAGCAGAGAGAGAGAGAGAGGAGAAGAGAGAGAUGAGAGAGAAGAGAGUAGAUAGAGAGAGAGAGAGAGAGAGAGAGAGAGAGAGAGAGAGAGAGAGAGAGAGUCCGGCUACUAUGCUAUCGGUAGCACGGAGCGCUCCGUGCUACCAAGUUGUUUUCGAUAAUGCGGCUUCCAAAUCGACGAUCGGCUCCGUUAGACUUGAUCUACACUAUUGAAAGUAUUUGAAAACUAAAUUUCAAAUUUUUUCGACAUCAUUUGAAUAGUGAUCAAAAGAUCUCAAAAUUGACAACUUUAAUGGCCGAUGUGGUGUGUUUGUGAGUUUAACGGUGUAAAAUAAUACAAAUGCGAUGAAAAUUUUAUAGAAAGUUCUUUUCACUAGUUAGAGUAAAUUCAGUACAUCUGAUCUUAAAUUUAAAUUUUUUAUCAUCAUUUUUUAUGAGAUUUUUAUUUUCAGCCGUUCAAUUUUAAACUACUUGUUUGAUAAGUAAAUGAUAUCGAAAAAUUAUGAAAUUUAGUUUCUAAAUACUUUCAAUAGUAUAGAUCAAGUCUAACGGUGCUGAUCGUCGAUUUGGAAACCGCAUCAUCGAAAACAACUUGGUAGCACGAAGUACUCUCUGCUACCGAUAGUAUAGUAGCCUAGUUAUAUAUAUAUAUAUAUAUAUACACACACACAGGGGCGACACACUAAUUAGAUGAAGCAGGAACCGAACCUGAUAUUAGGAUGGCCAUGUGUGUAAGCACCAUCAUGUGCUGCUUUAUCUUCUUCAAUAAGUUUUGUGCUUCCACCAGAACGUCCCAAAAUUAUUAGUUUUUUCUGUUUUUUUUUCCUUCCAUUUUUCUAUUUAUUUGUGAGAGAUCUUUAAACACCAUAAUAAGCGCAUAAAACGUGAUUUAUUGGAGACCCGCCACCAUCACAAAUGAUAGAUUUAUUGCAGAGAAUCGAUAUUAUAACGGGUAGCAAAUUCCUAACAUAAUUUAGGGCUCAUUUGGUAAGUCAUAGCAAAUGUAGAGGGAUGCUUCUCUGUUUUCUGGCAAAACUGCAAAACAUGUAUUAUUACGGAUCCAUUGUAUAUGCACAACGUAAAAUAACGUACGGUAAUUAAGAGCUAAGUAUUUUUUUUUCAUUAUACUUUGCCAUUGAUAUACCAGAAUCUCCCUACAAUCUCAAUCAGAGCCUUAGAUAACUAGAAUAUCAGUUUGCCACUGACUUCAAAGUAAAUAGGAAUUGUAAAAAAUAUCUUAAAAUCACACGUUGUACAUGGAUAUGACUACAGAGAUGGUGAACUACAUCAAAAGCGUGCACGGAGGAGAGGAAGAACAUUUUGUUGUAAGCAAAUCCUAAUUGCUACCCAAAGAUCAAACAACUUCUUGUGAAAGCAAAAGCUUGUUUGGCUAGCAAGUGGAAAGUCAAGGAACGUAUACACCACACUAUUCACAGUUUUUCUCACCAGAAACAGAAGGAUGCUCAUGCAUGCAUCUGAUAUGAAUCAUAUAUCAAAAGCAGAAAAAAGAUUUUAUAGGUUAGAGACAUAUUCAUGUAUUUGAAAGCUGUAACUGUCAUCUUGGUGUAAUUUUUGGAACCAUGGAGCUAGUUAAUUAGUAGAUGUUUGACAAAAUAAAUAAAUGAAAAAUAUCCGAAGAUUUUGCUAUUACAGGAAGUUGAAAUGAUGUUUAACUCAAAACUUCUCCUAUAUUAAAGCACUAAUUUCUAAUUUGAAUAAGUUUUAUCUUAGACUCUCUAGCAUAGAUAACUCAUUAAGCCCAAAUUACUAGUCCAAAAUGUUUAAACCCAAUGUUUUGUUGGAUAUAUUAUUAUUAUUGGAUAUUUUGUUAUAAUAUAAUCCAAAUAAUAUGUUCACAUACAAGCCCAAUAAGUGAAAGCGUAUUAAGGCCCAUAUCUCUGGAGCCCAAUAGCUUAUUUAAAAAUCUAGGGUUUCCUACGCUGGAGGUAACACUGUUGAGCGUUCCAAACUUGACGUCUCUUGGUGUAAUACUUUAAGCACCCAAAAACCCUAACCUCCAACAUGUUUAUUAUUAGAGCCUAUGAUUCUUAUAUUUAAAUACAAAAUUUCUUUUUUAUUUGAUGCAGGACUAUUGUUUCCGAUUAUUGGAGCUAAUCGUUAAGUCCAAAGGCUCGACUUACUAGAAAUAUACAAUUAAUUCAUUUAAAGCGUACAAACAUAGUGCCCACAGAUCUUGACUGUAACUAGGCCGAAGCAACCUCACACCACUUCGAACAUGACUCGGCCUUAGCCGAUUUCUGUCGUUUCGAACGUGACUCGGCUAUUUUGACCUCUAGUCACAGGACAGGAUACUUAUGAUUUGUAUGAUCUUAUUAUAGCUGGUGCAAGAAGUGAUGUUUAGAUAAUAUUAUUGAAGAAACCCACUAUUAAUAUACUUUUGACAGUUUCUUUUUGCACUGGAAUCAUAAUUACUACUUCAAAAUCGACCAGUGCGCCCCUGUGCCAAAUGGUCCCCCCAUGCACAAAAUCCUCUUUGAAAGCAAAAUACGCAUAUGUAAUGGUGGGGGAUAUACACAUGGUAUAGGGCCAAGUGUCCUCAACAAGUGCAACAUCAGGGUUAAAUCUUCGAGCCCAACAUGUUCUUUCCAUCUCAACACAUACCCUAACUCGCCCGUGGCAUGUCCUUCUUUCUCUCUCCUCCCCACAUGCCUUGUUCCUCUCUCUCCCUCUCUCUCUCUCUCUCUCUCUCUAACCCCCUCCCUCUAUAUAUACCUCUUCCACCCAUGUCACUUUCCACUUAACUCUCUCUCUCUCUCUCUCUCUCUCUCUCUCUCUCUCUCUCUCUCUCUCUCUCUUCUAACACCUCACAAGGCCACAACCUCUCCCUCCCUCUCUCUCUCUCUCUCUCUCUCUCUAACAGUGCACUUACUCACUUCUUGUUACAAGCCUCUAAUGGCCAUAAGGAAGUGCUCCUCCAACAAGCUCCCACAAGGCACAACUCUGAAGCAGAUACUAAAGAGGUGUUCAAGCUUAGGUAGAAAGCAAGGAGUAGGAGGAGGAGACGAUAAGCUCCCCCAAGACGUACCCAAAGGCCACUUUGCGGUGUACGUGGGGGAGCACCGGAGCAGGUUCAUCGUCCCCAUCUCGUACCUCUCCCACCCCGAGUUCCAAACCCUGCUUCGGCGCGCCGAAGAGGAGUUCGGGUUCGACCACGACAUGGGUCUUACGAUCCCCUGCGAGGAAGUCGUUUUCCGCGAACUCAUCGCCUCCGCAGUGAUGUAGAAGAGAAGUACGCAGAAGAAGAGAAGAUCAGAGAAGAAGAUACAGAAUUAUUCUGUUUUUCAAUAUUUAUCUCUCUCUCUCUCUCUCUCUCACUCUCUCACUGUGUUUCCUACUUUUGUUUUGGGGGGAUCUUUGAUUAGAGUAGGGAACUUAAUUAGUUAGUGUUGUAGUGAUUCUAACACAUGAGUUCGAUUUGUACAUCUGUGGAGAAGCUUUUUGCUGUUGCGAGAAGCACUGCGAGAGCUGAGUAGUUUAGGAAGAGGAUCGAAGAGGGAGGUGAUGAUGUACCUCCUAUGAAAAAUAAUAUGUAACUAUAAGCAACUACUCUUGUUCUAAUUAAUUCUUCUUUGGGACAUCUUGAGUUAGCUUCCUCUCUCCCUUUUCUUUUUCUUGCUGGUUGGUUGUUGCUGUUCAGAUCUUCAUUAAUUAUGAAAUUUUUUUUUAUUUUUGUUUUUAUUUUUUUGGGCUUUAAAAAGCUUUCGCUGAGUUAUUUCAGCUGCUGUGGCCAUUAAUUAGAUCAGAAACAGUACUAGCUAGAAUGAGUUUGCAGUGCAUUUCCGGUUAAAUUUGUUUUACUUGUUUUGUUUUUUUUUUUCUUUUCUUUUGGAUGUGUUUUUCUCUGUGUCUGUGUGUGUGUUCAUAACAGCACCCACAUGCAUGAGAAAUGUACAAUAAAUUUUAUGACCUCUCAGCUAAGAGUCAAAGAAGAUGUCAAACUAAGAUAUAUGCUAUAUUUUUCUCACCAAACGUACAUUUUUUUGGGAUCUUCCGUGGACAAAAAUUAUAGUAGUAAUUUAUUUUGCUAUCCAAUUCUAAAUUUUAAAUUUUAAAUUUCAAAAUUCAAAUUUAGAAUUUUUAAUUUUUAAACGUAAAUUUUAAAUUCAAAUAUCACAUUCUAAGUUCUAUGUCAGAUUUUAAGUUCAAAUUUUUAAUUUUAAAAAUUAUAUUUAUUAUUUGUAAAUAAUUUUUUUUUUACCAAACAGCUUUAUAAAAUUAUUUUAAAAAAAUCACUUUUCUACUAGGCUUAGCCACACACUUACCACUUCUAACUAAAAUUAAUUUCCGAACCAAAAUCAAUUAUCCGAAAAUCACUUAUAAUUUCAAAAGUUAGGCUAAACACCCCUUAUACGCUGGAUGCUACUAGUAUGUGGGACAAAUAUAUAUGUAUAGUUUUACGUACAUGCUACAUGCAACAAGUUCGUAAUCAUCGAGCCAGCCAUAAAUGAGAAAUUAAGGUCGAUACAACCUUACACGUUAUAUACAGGUCGAAAUUCUUAUAUUUAACAUAAAAUUUAUUUUUUAAAAAGAAUUGGAUGAUUAAUUGGGUUGGCAUUAUUAGCUAGGCUAAAGGUGACACUUAGAACAAUGAUAGUUUAAGAGUAGCUAAAAGAAUUUUAAUUCUCUUAUGCACUAAUUAACCAAAUCAAAGUGUCGACAAAUCGAAAGGUACUAAUCAGAAUGACUAAUUAAUUAGGGCCAUUUUGUAUGGAAAGCAUCAUGGUAUACUGGUCAAAAAGUGUUAACAAGAUAAAUUCCAAGCAAGGUUUAAUUAAAACUAAUAAUCAUGGAUCUAUGUCAUUGUUUAAUUGUUUAACUGGUUGAACCAAUCGAAUCAGUAACACAUUAUUAAUAAUAACUAUAAUAUCGCGACAUUCGAGCUAUGCCACUAAAAUUUUACAAAAAAAAACAUCCAAUGAGCAAAGGGAAUAAUGGAAUUAAUUGGACUCUUAGUGACUUAGUCAAGCAUUCAUCAUACAUAUGUAUAAAUCAACUUUAUUCUCAAACCUUGGCCAUUCAAUAAUUGGACUUUAUAUAUAUAUGGUCUCACCAUGUGUGUUCCCUGUGGCAUGUUUGCCGCUUUAGGUUCUUGGUUAUAAGAAAAAUAAAUGACCUUUUCACUUCAAAAGUAACAAAAAGAGUGCGACACAUAAAAAGUUUUGAGCAUUUUUUAGUAAAAGAAAGAAGAGGAGGUGGAAUCCUCAACCUGCAUAGUUCUAUAGACAAUUUAAUAUAUAUAUAUAUUAUAUAUUAUAUAUUAUAUAUAUAAUAUAUAUAUAUAUAUAUAGAGUGAGGCUACUAUGCUAUCGGAAGCACGGAGCCUUCCGUGCUUCAGCUCGUUUUCGAUGUUGCGACUUUCGAAUCGUGAUCGGCCUCUGUUAAACUUGAUCUAGAGUAUUUGAAGUACCUAAAAAAUAAUUUAUUAUUUUUUCGAUAUCAUUUGCCUAAGUGAUUGAAAGGCUCAAAAUCAACAAUUUUAAUAGCCGUAGUAAGCCGUUUGCAAGUUUAACGGUGUUAGAAAUAUCCAAAUCACGUAAAAUUUUGAUAGGAAAUUUUUGAUACUAUAUAAAAAGAUCAUAUCUUUGAUUUAAAAUUUUUAAUGUCAUAUUAUUAAUUUUGUAGAAUUUUUUUUUCAGCCGGUUUGAUAUUGAGCCCUUCGUUCACUAGGCCAAAUGAUACGCGUAAAAUCAUAACAAUUUAUUUUCUAGGUACUUCAAAUACUCUAGAUCAAGUUUAACGGAGCCGAUCGACGAUUCGAAAGGCGCAACAUCGAAAAUGAGCUGGAAGCACGGAAGGCUCCGUGCUUCCGAUAGCAUAGUAGCCUCACUCUAUAUAUAUAUAUAUAUAUAGUAGGUAUUAUAUGCUAUUACGAGUACGGAGUUCUCCGUGUUCCUAUGUAAGCCGUUUUCGAUAAUGAAGCUUUCGAAUCGACGAUCGUCUCUAUUAAAUCGACUUGAUAUAGCGUAUUUGAAUUAUCUAAAAAAUAAAUUUUAUAAUUUUUCGAUAUUAUUUACCUAGCGAUUGAAAAGUUUCAAAAUCAACAAUUUUUAAUGGUUGAUGUAUAUGGUUUGCAAGUCCAACGAUGUAAAAAUAUUGAAAUUUGAUAAAAUUUGACAGAAAAUUCUUUAUACUAUAUACUGUAAGAUCAAUUCUCUGAUCGAAAAAUUUAGUAGUUUAUCACCACUUUUUGUGAGAUUUUUAUUUUCAGCCGUUGAUUUUAAAACCCUUUCGAUCUCUAAGUAAAUGAUAUCAAAAAAUCGCAAAAUUUAUUUUUUACAUACUUCAAAUACGCUAGAUCAAGUCUAACAAAACCGAUCGUCGAUUUGAAAACUCUACUAUUGAAAACGGCUUAAAAGCACGGAUGCCUCCGUGCUCCUAAUAGCAAACAAGUACUACUAUAUAUAUAUAUAUAUAUAUAGUGUAGCGUUACUAUGCUAUCGGAAGUAUAGAGAAUUUGAUACUUUCGAUUUUUUGACCCUUGGAUAAAAAAUUACACGGUUGGAAUGAUUGCGGUCCCCCUAAGGUUGAAUAGUACUUCUAGGGUUGAGUGGUCCCCACAGAAUAAUAGUAUUAAUUCAAAAAUUAAAAAUGAUUUAAGAGACUGAUCCAAGGGACAAAAAGCCAGAAGCACCAGAUUUUCUAUCACAAGUUGAAAGAUCAACCACUAACAUGAAACGAGUAGAGCAACCAAUUUUUUAUUACAUGCAUUCUAUUAUUCAGAUAAACCAUGGUGGGCGAUAUUAAAUUAUGUUACAGUUUUACGGAGUUUUUUUUUUCCCCUCGAUUCUAUUUACUCUAUAUACAAAUCCUUUCGUAAGGUUUAGUAAAUCAAAGUUUCAAUUCUCCUCAAUCCAUCUAAACUUUGAAAAUCCUCUCAAAAAACGGCUUUAAUUUAUUACGAACUGCAUAGUUCAGAUAAUCUUAUGUUGCUUUUGAAAAUUCUGUUGAUGAUGUUAAAUUAUAUUAAUGUUCACGUGGUCCUAGAGCUUUUUUUUUUUUUUUUUUUUUUUUUUUUUUUUUUUUUUUUUGGCUGUUUCCUUCUACAAAGCUUAAUUUAAGAACCAAAGUUUCAAUUCAAUCCUACGUUAACGGAAACAAAAAUAUAAGGGUUAAUUUAAUUUAUAUAGUUUUUGUAAACACGUCGAAUAACAAAUAUAUUAAUACAAAAUUCAACUUCUAUAUUUAUUCCUACAAAAGUUUAAUAAUAUUCAUAUUUGUCCUUCUGAUAUGUACUAAUGUUAGAGGGCUAUUUAUUUUUUAAUAAAAAAUAAGUAAAAUGAUAUUUUUGUCAUCACAAAUAUGUCUCUCUUAAAGUUCUAAUUGUUAGAACUAUAUAGAAAUAUUUCUUUAAUAAUUUUCGAUGGUCAUAUUACUCCUUUCUACCAUCACAAAUAAUAUAAAAGGGAUAAAAAGUAAUUUAAUUUAUUCACUAAUCAGAAUUAAAUAUUUUAUCUAUAGUUAAUUAUAUAUUUUUUUAAUGAAUCCUAAUAGCAGUGAUAAAUUUAAAAAAUUUAAAAUUUUUACAAGAAUAAAUAGAAAAAAUUAAAUUUUAUAGAAAUAUAUGCAAUUAAUAAAAACUCCUCCGUACAGUUUUUCCGCUUUUCAGGGUCCUUGUUGCCACUCUAUUAAUAGGACCACAGGAAAAAGGCUCCUCUCCAGUUUCUACUCAUCUAUCUCUCUCUCUCUCUCUCUCUCUCUCUCUCUCUCUCUCUCUCUCUCUCUCUCUCUCUCUCUAAUAUUAAUUAUCAUCACCACAGGAGAGAGGCUAAAAUGUAGAAAAUUUCACUAUAAAUAUUCACUUUUAUAUUUUAUUAUCCUAUUUUUUUAAAAUCACUACAAAAUAAUAUCGGUAUUAGAUAAAGUCUACAAUUUAAACUUCAAAGAGGCUAAAAUGUAGAAAAUUUCACUAUAAAUAUUCACUUUUAUAUUUUAUUAUCCUAUUUUUUUAAAAUCACUAUUACGCCUCUUUGAAGUUUAAAUUGUAGACUUUAUCUAAUACCGAUAUUAUUUUGUCAUUAUUUUAUACAUAAAUUUUGUAGUAUAGCUAUUGAAAAAAAUUUUCUGAUCUUUUAUUAAAAUAUUUUGUAAAACAAUUCGAACUUUUAAUUUAAAUUUUAGAGAAGAUUCGAGGAAGAAAAUAAAUAAUAAUAAAUAUAAAUACUGUCCUACAAGCGAAAUUGCCUCUUCACGUGCGAGGCUUCUCGACAAUUAGUUUCAUCGAUAUUGUCGGAUCGUUGGCGCUAACCAUUAAUCCCAAAAGCUCGAGCUGUUAGAAAUACGCAACCAAUUCACUUAAAGCNUUAGCUUAGAGCUUUCGCUUCCGUUGUUGCUUGCCCUCGUGCAAGCCUUGUAUUAUAUUUGCAAUUCUCUUGUUAAUUGCCUAAUUAUAUGUAUUGUUAGAGCCUUGGGCGGACAGGGGAGGCUCUGUCCGUUCGGCGUCUGUUGACGUGACCCGAACCCGACCAAAUUGGCGGGGAUUGGGGCGUGACACCACUCCUGUCAGGUGAGGCCUUGAAGGGCCAAGUGAGAUUUUCGGGCCUAGGCGAGUGUCAUAACUGCCGACGCCCAGGCCACUCUCUCUACUUAGGACACGAGAGCUGUUGCGAGUAUCUCUACAGAGACGGCACUGUGAUCAGUUACAACCAUGACUUCUGUGGGGCUAUUAGGGUGUAGCCCAGGGUUUGGUAGCGGUCGUUUAGGCGACUGCAUUGUUAGUGUUUCUUCCGCAGAUCUUUGGGUAGGGUUGCGAUGCCCACCUCUCUUCCUUGAUUGCUGAUUGGAAUCAGCGGUUCGAAUCUUUUGACCUUUACCUCGUUCAUUCUUCCUACCAGAGUCGUAUUGACACAGUUUUGGUGUCAGGUCCCUGUUGAUACAUACAUCGUAUCCGAUUGUUCUAACACCUAAAUUGGUGUCAGGGGAUAGUAGAUGGUUUAGUAAGAUCCGUUUUGACUCGAGUUAUUCCAAAUAUUGCCAGAAUUCUCGGAGCUUUGAUUAUAGCUCGGUUGAGGUGCGAAAAUCGGUUAGAGAAACUGUUUUCUAGAGCCUCAGUUGGUACAGUUCGCGGCUUAGUGUCGCUAGUAACUUUCGGAUGUUGAAAGUUAUAGGACUCCCUGUGAGUCGGUUCAGGUUCGUUCUGAUUUCGAAUGUCGACUUGUAAAGUCGAUGUUUCGAUAGUAUUGGUUGUGAGCUUCUGAUUUAGUUAAGAGGUAUCAAGAGGCUUGAUACUUCGACGUGUUGCGCUUCCAACUGGUUGUUGGUAGUGGAUCUUCGGAUAUUUCGCUUUUCUUUUGAUAAGUAUAUUGGCUGCAGACAAUAUACUGUCGAAAGAGGGACGAAAUACUAUUUUCCCGUUUAGGACUUAUGGAUUGGGUCAAUGUGUUCUCUAGACGGUUUUGUGGGAAAAGCUAGAAUGAUAGUCAUCUUUGACCACGUAGCGAGCCUUGGGUUAUUCCUUGGCAGGUUUUGUACAGUUGACUGAUCGUCACUGAUAAAGGGGUUUUGACUCUAGUUCGAGUCCGGGUGUUCGUAGCUCUUUAGUUGUGCUUCCCACAGCUAAAAGGUUUGUUUGGUUAGUAGUCUCGGUCUAUUGUUGAGAGGCUCAGAAUCACAAUUGUGGAGUGACUUGAGCAUGGUUGUUGGCUUUGAUUGUCACCGUGUGUGAUAGCGUAUAAGGUUUGCGGCUCGGCUUAUCGUGCAAACCUUGGAAUGUUAUGCUUGUCUAGUCAAAUUGGUGACAAGUGCGCCUGGGUCUCAAUGAGACAUGCUUUUGGUGUUGCUCGGAACAUCAAUCGCUAGGGUCCCUGGUAGGACAGCAGCGACAGGGUCUCAUGGAGACAAAUGUUGAGCAUCGCCGACGGUUAGUAUCGCUUUUGCGAUUGGCGACCUGUGCAUCAAGUGAUGGACUUGCAAAGAGCAUUUGGUGGUCUGUUGGUACCGGAUUAAGUUUGAGGAGACAAAAUUGCCUAGCCGAAUUGGUAUCGUCAGUUGGAUCUUUUGGUCAGAUGGAAAGUAAAGUCUUGGACCUAGGACUAUAGAUUGUCGCAGGUGACUUUCGGUUAUUGGAGGUUUUGGCAGUUUGUGUAGUUACUGGUGGAAACAGUGGUCUCCGAUGUAAGUGAUUUUGACUCGGAUUUUAGAAUAACGUUUCGUUUUCGCUCAUGGUGAGCAGGUUGACGUUGUUGGAUAGUUGGAGUUUUUCGUUUCAGUCUACGUGAAUAGACUCCAGAUUAAAGUGGUUGUCUCGUGACUUUUCUACGUGAACUUGCGACGUAGUCGAGUCGGUUACGGCUAUGCAGACCAAGGUAGAGUGGACCUAAAUUUCUGGAUGUUGAUUAAUUAUCUCAGAAUUGGCAAUUUGGGUUCGGAUAAUCCUUGUCGCGAGACCAUUUUUGUCCGCAGGUUAUAGGAUGGUGUUAAUCCCGGUAAGUUUUGAUCCAUAGAUUUUGGGUUCGUACGUUUUUCCCUCGUUGUUGUCCGAGUAGAACUGCAGUCCUAUUCUUCCCUUACUUGGAGAUUGAUCUGUCCAAAUGCAUGAAAAUGUAAUUGACCAAUACUCAAAGGUAUUACCACAGUGGUGGAAGUAGUAUCCGAAUUCGAUUUCGGUGGGUAUGUGGUCAAGUUUCGGGGACGAAACCUCUUUUAAGGGGGGGAUAAUGUAGGGACUGAGAUUUUGACAGUGCAACUAGAGUCUCUGUUGACGAUGUUUAUGUGUGUAAUUUAAUUACAUAAGCACUCGUCAAGUUUCAAGAGAAUAUGAGCUAGAAUGGAGAAGUUACGCGAUUAUUAGUUUUCUUUUAAGUGAAUAGUAACUCCGGUUUUUCGGAGAAGCCACGGAGUAGAGUUGGCUUUCGGCGCGUAUCGGACUCCGUUCAUAGCGAUCCAAUAGCUCGUUUCGAUCGGUUCAGCUAUUCUGGAACCAAUGGCACUGACAGAUUUCUGAUCUGAUGCACGGUUUUCGAGAAAAAGGAGUUUUACCGAAAAGAGGGUUUCCGCUCUUUGCUUUUCUGUGCAUUCUAAAGCUUCUCAUACUCCGUGCUUGUGACCUGGAGUAGGGUGAAGAAUGUUUCGAGUCCCUAUUAGUGGUAGGGAAGUCAAUUUCUUAUGCGAAAGUUGGUUUAAUGGGUUUACACAUUGGUAUAUGUGCGAUAUAUGGAUUAAUUAGAGAGCGGAUGGGUUCCGUUGCGAAUCCGUGACCAUAUCUGACGAAAUAAGAUUGUAGUUUUGAUGCCCCCGACGUGCUGAACGCAAUGGUGCUGUCGGAUCGAAAAUCCGACGGACGGAUCUCUGGUAAUUGCGAAGUUUUCGUUAAGAGGUCGAAUGUGGCAAUUCGGAAAAUUCGCGAAAGGCGCGACAAAUUAUGUAUCGAAUCGCGUGAGAUCGGACGUGGAGGUACGUACGCACAAAUUGUACGCCCUGGCAGGGGCUGAGGUUUAAAUAUUCUGGGUUAGAGGGGUUUUCUGCAAAUUGUCCUCUUGUAUAUAAUUAGCAUCUAGGGUUUCUUUGCACGAAACCCUAGAUCUAGUCGACCUUGUCUCCCAACUGUGCCCUAACCAACUUCAGCAGGUUCCUGCCCAAACCUUGCGCGCACCCCGGCCGCCGGCAGGUGCCCCGGCCGCCGGAAAGCUUGAAACCCGACCACCCCUCCAACCUUCUCUCCCAACCAUCCCUGCCGUGGGACCAAUCUGGGUGACCAUAACCCUCGGGCACCACCUCUGGGAGCGGCCCCGACCUCCGCCGUCCCGCCGUGCCGGCCGCCGCCGUCCCCACGCGCCGCCGUCGCGGCCUGGGCGCCCUGCAGCCGAGCCUGACCUAGCUCAGGCCGAGCCUGGCCCCACACCGCCUCCACGAGCCGCCGUCGCCUUUGGACGACUAUGCUGCCUUCCCCGGCGUCGUCACCGCCGGCCCCCGCCGGUCCCGUGCGCCGCCGGCGCCGUUUUGGCCCCUGCGGCCACUUGCGGCCAAGUCGGGCCGAGCUUGGAUGAUCCCUGCCUCCGCGCGCCACCACCGUUCCCCGCCAGUCGCGCGUCCUCCCACGGCCUCCCGCGACCUCCCGCUCGCCGCCGCUCGCCAUCCCGGCCAUCCCCGUGGACCGCCGGCCGCCGCUCCUCCAUCCUGCGUCCGCCCUGACCCGUGCGGGCUCGGUUUGGUCCAGCAUCGCCGCCGCCGUCUUCCGCCGCCGUCCGGCGUGAGCACCGGCUCCGCCUGGCCGGCCGCACUCGUCCGCCGCCGGCGCCCCCGCCGCCGGAGCUUCCUGUCGGCCGAACUAGGCAUGUGCCUUCCUCGGGUUUGGGUGACUAGGGCAUCAAUGCCUGCCGUCGCCGCCGCCUCCCGACGCCGACUGAAUCAUCCCUUGGCCUCCCUGCAUCGCCUGAACCCUCCUGCCGCCGGCGCUCCCGCCGUCCGGCCGCCGCCGGGCAGCCCUAGCUCUCCCCUGGCCGGUAAGCUUGAUUUCAGCCUUUCUGCGCAUAGUUUUCUGUUUGGAUGACUGUUCCGGCGACCCGAGGCUGUUCCGAUGCCUCCGGAAGUGAGCACGGUGAUCUUCAAUCAGUACUGAUCACAGUGCUCACGUCAAUUGGGAUCAGCGAGCCCCUGGUUAGCGAGAUAAGCAUGUUUUUCAUGCUGUGCGCGCAGUUCAUUGAAUUUCGCGUCGCUCGUGCGCUCCCCACAGUGGCCGGAAUUGCUCCGAAAGGUGAGCACGGCCUCCGGCAUGCCGAGACCUGUCAGUAGGUGUCUCGGUUUGGCUUAAUGACUCCUAGUUUGCGUGGACGGACCAUAAAAGUGCCGAAAUCGCAUGAAAUAAUGCGAUUUCGGGUAAUCGGGAGGGCUUUUAUGUAUUUUAGGUUGUUGCGGCUGCUGUUGGCAGCAUGGGUGAAUUGUGGGUAACCUCUGGACUGAUUGUCCAAGGCCCCGGACCUUUGCGAAGAUCGAAAAUGUAUUUUCGGUGCGUUUUCGGCGAAAUCCGCCGACGGAACACGGGUUCGGUUCGGAAUUAUUCCGACGGUGCUUCGUGAGCUUUUGUGUAGUCGCUGAGCCUUGUUGCCUGGUCACUCGCGUCAUUUCGAGAGUUCAGAAAUGACAAGUGAGCGACGGUGGGUUCCGGUGUCGAAAUUGACACUUCCUGGAACCCGGAUCCCAACAAUUAUCCACCAAUAGUUGUUUGGUUGUGUAUCCUUGUGUUUGUUGCCAUGUCACACUAAAAUAAGUGUUUAGAGGCAGCGAUUGACUCGUGGCAUGAGUCGGUGCCUUUCGGGAUAGUUAGUGGGUCCCGGCGGAGCCCCGGUGCGAUUUUCGGGACUUCCGGCGAGUUACGGUAAUCGGUAUUGGGAAACCGAUCUCCGUGGGAUUGUUGUGGGUUAUGCUUUUAGGGUUUCUUAGCUGUGGGUUAGACACUAACCCAGUGGACCCUCCUUAGGUCCGGUUGACGUUCUUUUGCAGUCAGGAGACAGGCGCGACAGUUGUACAGGUGGGUACUUCGAUCCGACGUCGGUACAGUGGUGCACGCUCGGUGAUGGUUUCUUACCUUUGUUCUCCGUUUUAUCUGGAUAUAUAUAUAUAUAUAUAUAUAUAUAUAUAUAUAUAUAUUAUAUAUAUAUAUUAUAUAUAUAUAUAUAUAUCUUGAUAUAAAGUGUUGAGCCUGCACCUGCAUUUAUAUCUGCAUUCCUCUACUCACGUUAUUUCCAUGUUGAUAUCAUGCCGUAUGGAGUAGAGUUGACUUAUCUGUUCACUAUAUCUGUAUUGGUUGGGCGUAGAGUUGACUUGUCUGUUCACUAUAUCUGCAUUCCUCUACUCAGUUAUUUCCAUGUUGAUAUCAUGCUUAGGAGUAGAGUUGACUUAUCUGUUCACUAUAUCUGUGAUUUGGUUGGGCGGUUCCCUAUUUUGAUAUCUAUGACCUAUUCGGUCGAGUUGCAUAGUUCUAUCUAUAUCUGUGAUUUGGUUGGCGGUUCCCCUAUUUUGAUAUCUAUGACCUAUUCGGUCGAGUUGCUACAGUUCUAUCUUGACAUACGUAGCCGAUUAGUUGCUGAUGGCCUAUACGGUCGGUGUGCCCUGAGGGCUGGAUUGUCGGUAGUUGCUGAUGGAUGAUCUUUGAGCAUACUACAUUGAUCGCCACUGCAGGUACGCAUUUCACGAACACAGCGGUCUGAUCCACCGCAGAGGUGUUCUUUUCCGAAAAGUGGUUGGAUUGCCAACCGUGAGCCCAGGGGCUUUAUUGCGAGGUAUAUGUUCUGAACCAGCGGGCUUCAUUGCGAGGGUCAGGUACAUGGUUCUGACCCAGGGCUUCAUUGCGAGGGUCAGGAACAGGUGAGCAGUGUGGCAUGGGCCUGAGGUCCUCGCGACAAUAGGGAGCGAGAUGGUUAUUUUGAGGUUAUCGUCAGUUGCACGCAUGCAUACAGUAGCUGUAUGUUUAUUCAGUAAUCUUAUUUUGUUUAUUGGUUAGCUAGCUGUUUUAUUUACCUGCAUCUAUACUUGUCAGCUCCUUACAUAUCUCUUUCGUUUACUAUUGUUCCUACUGUAUUUUCACUGACCCGUACUGUUGUUUAGCUCUUCCUGAUCUGGUGAGUACUCCUCGCCUUCAUCGGCUUGCGGUACCCACUGGGAGGGGAGACAUGUUUACAUGUUCUCACCUCCCCCACCAUUUUUCAGGUAUCGCAGGCGAUGGGUAUUGAGACGAGACGUGAGGCACGUACGUAGCGGUCGUUAGAUCUUCCGACCCAGGUUAUUCGGUUUAGCUUUUACCCUUAUUAUUUAUGUUGAUAUAGAGCUUAGUUGACUUAUAUGGUUCAGUAUUUUUAUUACAUUUGAAUAUGUGGAUUUUCAUGAAUGUAAUAAAAGGAUUUUUGAAUUUUGUAAAAUAAAAAGUUUUCUACCCCUCGUGGUAGCGUUUUUUAAAGAAUAAAGGUUUCCGUGUAGGGAACAGUUUUCAAAAGAAUUUUCGUGGAUUUCUGUUUAAACAUUGAAUGUAAAACUGUGAUGUGAAUGUAUGAAUGUAUGAAUGUAUAGUUAUCUUUAUAUUCAUCUAGUUGUGGUUGUAUCCUGGUUGUACUUUUGUACUUGUGCGACGCCGUGCAAAUACAGGGGAGACUCUGUCCAUGUGAAUUAACAGUGGAUACCCUGUAUUUGUGGCGGAUCUGGCAUACCCUGGGGUCAGGUUUUCAAAAAAAAAAAAAUUUUCGCUGUGUUUUUAAACUGAAAAGGACCCCGGGGCGUGACACCAACCCAGCCUCACGCCAUUUCGAACAUGACUCGGCCCACAUGAUCUCCCGCCACAGGGCAGGAUGCUGGCCCAUUUAAGCCAACAGAUAUAACGACCACGUUCUACCCCGUCGGCACGAUUAAAAGGUGGCGCAAGACGAAUCUAACAAACUUCAGAUCCAGCAAAAAAUCGAUAGAAAAGAUUAAUGGCGAGAAAACAGCGUAAGACGAGAUAGUGUUUAGGUAUGCUUGGGUUCACCUCGAACUCACACAAUCUCCUCCAAUAUAUAUAACUGAUACGAGAAUCUUGAUUCAACGCGUCAAAUUCGUGUAGAACAAAAUAAGUCUAAAAUUAUACGGAUAAGAAUUAAAAUUAAUAUAAAGAUAAAAAUAAAACCGAAAAAAAUAAAAAUAAGAAUAAAAUAAAAUAAACCGGGUGUAUGGACCGUGCGCACCGCCGCCCGUUCGGCCCGACUCGGCUAAUGAUCGUGCCGUGCGUGUAUUUAAACGAGAGUAUAACUCUCAUUUUCUCCCAAAUAAUUAGCUUGAGAAUAAAGAAUUAUAUAAAUACCAUCAACACCUUUUUAGUUUUCAAUAUACGACUAAAUCUCAUACAUGAAAAUUUUAGUUGGGCUCCCAAAUAAAAUUCAUUAAUAAUUAUUAGGCUCCAAGAGGCAUUAAUAAAUUUUAAAUCAUAAAAAUCUAAUAAAAUCCAAGCCAAGGAUGGAGAGAGAGAGAACCAAGCCAAAGAUGGAGAGAGAGAGAGAGGACAAGAGAAAAAGAUGAAGAAGAAGAGAGAAAGCAAAAUAAAUAACCUCCAAAUUAGGAGGUGACACGUGGCUUGAAGGUGAUGUGACAGGAAUAAGGAUCGAGCAUUCAUAGUGUUUCAUUUAUUACGGGACAAUUGCUUACAUACCCUAAAAAAUUCCCUUUUUUUUUAAAUCACCUAGAAGAUUAAUAUACAAAGUAUUUUUUUAACGUUCCAAAUUUUAUUAAAUAUAUAUUUAGGCUUCGUUUGGUUCGGAGUUAAGUAAGAACUAGUUAUUUUAAAAAUAGGGUUAAGUCCAGGAUUAAGGUGGGGUUAGAGUAAUUUUAUAUUUGGUUGAGAAUUGAGUUUAGUUUAGGUAUAAGUAAAAUAGUGUUUGGUUGGAAUAGAUGGAAUAAAAAGAAUAGUGGGUUGUUAUAAAUAGAAAAUAAUAAUUUUGCUCUAAUUUUUAUAUUUGAAUUUAAAUUUUUUAUUUUAUAUUUAAAAUUUUAAAUUUAAAUAGAUAACUUUUAAAAUUAAAAACUUCAAAAUUAAAAUCUGUAUUUUCAAAUCUCAAAUUUAAAAAUUUAAAGUUAUAAAUUUUAAAUCAAAUCUAACAAAUAUAAAUAUUCACAUAUAAAAUAUCAAAUUUAAAAUUUAAAUAAUUGAAAAUAACAAUUAAAAAUUUUAAAUUAAAAAAUUUAAAGUAUAAAUAUAUAUUUCAAGAUUACAAAUUAUAAAUUUUUAAAAUUUCAAAUAUAAAAUAUUAAAUUUAUAAUUUAAAUAAUUAAAAAUAACAAAUUUAAAUUUAAAAUUUAAAAUUUUUAAUUGUUAUUUUCAAUUAUUNUUACAAAUUAUAAAUUUUCAAAAUUUAUAAUUUAAAAUUUAAAUUUAAAUUUUAAAAUUUAAAUUUUAAAAUUUAAAAUUUAAAAAAUAAAUAUUAAUUUUAAGAGUGCAAAUUACACAUUUUUAAAAUUUCAAAUAUAAAAUGUGAAAUUUUAAAUUUAAACAAUUUAAAAUAAAAUUUAAAAUUUAAAAUUUAAAUUUUAUAAAUAUUAAUAUUAAUUUUAAAAUUACGAAUUAUAAAUUUUUAAAACUUAAAAAUUAAAAUUAAAAUUUUAUAUUUAUAUUUAAAAAUUAAAUUCGGGUGGGAUUAACUUAAUCUCCUAGAAGUUAAUCUCACUCCAAUUCUAGGGGAUGGGGUUUGUUAACCCCACCCUAAAGGGGGUUUAGGGGGUUAACCCCCCUUUUACCCCCAAACGGGUUUAGGGGGAUAACCCGUUAAGGGUGGGGUUAACAAACCCCUCACCCAUUUGUUUCUGUUUGGGGGUAAAAGGGGGGUUAACCCCCUAACCCCCCUUUUAUCCCCGAACCAAAUGGUGUGGGAUAACCCGUUAAGGGUGGGGUUAACAAACCCCUCCCCCAUUUGUUUCUGUUUGGGGGUAAAAGGGAGGUUAACCCCCUAACCCUCCUUUUAUCCCCGAACCAAACAGUGUGUUAGAGUUAAAUUUUAUUAAGAACUGUUAGGAACAUUAGUUAUAUAUGUAAAAUUAUCAUUUUGUCAUUUCAAAUAUAUCCGUCCAUCGUCACAAAUUUUUCUUAUUUGUCUUUAACACUAUAACAAAAACGGUAUAUAGCGACAUUUUUAAAUAUCAGUACAGGGCAAAAAAAAUAUUACUGGCUAAAUUACUGACACUUUUUAAAAGUGUUGCUAUAUGUAGGGUCACUAUAUGUGGGGCCGUCUCGAUGUUUGGCACCCACUCCUCCAGCGACUUGUGGCGGAGGGACACGUGAUGAUCAUAGCCUUGUAUGGUCCUUACGAGAUCCUUGCUACCGAACUCUAGUCGGCGGAACGCUAUAUGUGGGGUCGCUAUAUGUGGGGCCACCUCGAUUUUAUUUUAUUUUUUCUUUUCUAUUUGUAAUCGGGCCGAAUGAGCUGGGUGGAGUUGGUUAAGUAGAGAAAUUUUUUAUUUUUUGUUAGAUUGAGCUUUUUAUUUAGGCCUCAGUAGAUUUUUUUAAAAAAAUUUUGGUAUAAAUGAGACAGUUACACAAAAGUGUCCCAAAAAUGUGAUUGCAUAAUCUAAUUCUGUUGUAAUGUAAGUUAAGGGCAAAAUAAAUAUUUUGACUUUUUAUUCUGUAAAAUAUAUCAUUCUACUGUCACCAACUUCUCUUAUUACCCCCAAGUUAGGGGUAUAUAAAAGAGAUAUUUUGAUUUUUUUUAAAUUUUAAUAGGGAUUUAACUUGAGUUUAACCCGAGAUAAUUUAACUGAUACUAAUAGAGAGAGUAUUUUUGAAUAAUGGAGAACUAUACGAGGGCUACAUUUAAAACAAAAAAAUUAUAUGAAUAUAUAAGAUAUUUAAGAAGUUUUGAAGGGUAUAUAGAUAAUUGUCCUUUUAUUUAUAGGUAGAUGUUAGGAGCUAUUUCCUCUCCAACCACUCCAUUUCUCACUUUGGAAUACCUCCAUUUACAACUGGGCUCUCCACUUUGAUCCCUUCCCAACUACCUACUUUAUAUUGUACAUGAAUAAAAUUAAAAAAGAAAAAAAUAAAUUAAGCAAUUUGUAUUCUAUAUGUUUGUUUGUUUAAUAGAUGCAUGGUAUUUGUUUGAGAGAAGUGAAUGGUAAUUAAGUGCAUGUCCUUAAUUAAUUUAUUAUCUCCUAACGCCUAGCAUUGAGGAAGCCUAGCAAAAAUGUUGCUCUAUAUACGAUUCUCCAACUUGGAGUGUGUGGAAUAUAAAUAUAUUAAAGUAUAUUCAUAAGUUUUUAGAGUAUAUAAUUGGUGCGGUAUCAGAAUAGAAUGUUUUGAGUGCAAUUUUAUCGAUAUUUUAAGUAAUAUUCACUUGACACUUGUUCCUAUAUAUAUGUGGGCCGAAUUUAUUCGCGAUUCAACAUGCAAUUCAUUUUAUUCAUUUUGAAAAUGAUUGAAUUGCUAAUUCAAUCGUAGCUCCUGCAGAUUAUGUUUACCAAUUGUAUGUUUGCCUAAUUAAGGUCGUCUAGUUAUCUGCAGCUAAUUAAUCGUAAUUACAACAAUAAGCUAUAUAUCAUCAUAUAUUUAAUUACGACUUGCAAAAUGACAGGGUAACCAAAACGCAAAUAAUUUACAAAAUUAAUUUACUUUACAUCUUCCAUGCAUUUAAUUUGUGUCGACAAACAAGUAGUUAAAAGUUUGCAACAAUUAAUGCAUACUGUUUUUGUUCUUUUAAGCAUUUUGGACAAAUUGAAUGAUACAAGCUACAAGUCAACUUUUGUAAAGAGCCAUACUUUGAAAUCGGCAUUUUUUUCACUAGACACUAACUACUAAUGGACGACUAAAUGGCCGAUAAAUAAACAUAGUAGUCUAUAUAUCUUCAGGUAAAGGUUUUGAAUUUUUGUGCGUGCGUAAAUUUGGGCUCAAACUCCAAACUUCAGGUUUAAUAUAUAUAUAUAUAUAUAUAUAUAUAAUUGAGCUUCUAUGCUAAUAUACUAUUAAUAGCACCAAAUCAUUGGUGCUAUAUAGUGACCCUGGAAUUUAGCAUUUGAGGCUUGUCGACAGCUCUGGAGAGUGUCAGGACGAGUCCGAGUCCUGUUGGCGCGAAAUAGACGUAAACUGGACUCAGCGGGACGCGAGAGGAGAGAGUUAGCUCUGCAAAUUGCAGAUUUUCAGUAAUUGGUACCGGUACCAUACAGGGGCGUACCUAUACCCAGUGCAUGUUUCUGUGCAGACUGCUCUCGGGUUGCCCAUUCUGCUGCGGGGUACCGAUACAACAUUGGACUAGUACCGAUACUCCAGGGUAGGUAAGAGGUCUUUCGGUCUUUUCUUGCCUCGAUUGUGUCACCCUUAUCCCCACUACUCUAUAUAGGAUAGAAAGAGGCUGAGGAGGAGAUUCUUUGCUGUGCUCUCUCUCUAGUGCUUGGCCGUACACAACAACGAGGGAGGCUUUGGGCGGAGUUGGAGCGACGUUGAUGUUGCGCCGCGGUGCCGUUCGAGCGCGUGGACGUCGUAAUUGCGCCGAUUGGAGGCCGUUCGAGCGUGCGGUUUCGCUUCCUUCGACUUCUCGCCGUAGUUGGACGUGCUUUUGAGGUGGGUCAAAAUGAUGCUUACCGGAUUCUACUGGUUUCCUCCUAAUUCUAUAUGUGUCGACAACAUAUAUUUUUAGCUUUGUUUAGUAUAUUGUUUAGCUCGAUUCUUGGAAUAGCAUGCUUUUGAACUUGAAUUGGAGCUUAGAAAAUUAGCUAAAUUAUGCAUAUUGGAGUUGGAUUUUACUUAGGAGAAAACUGACGUUUCUACACCGUCAUUUAAUCAAACUACCAGAUUUAGCUCUAGAAGCCGUAGUUUGUUUGUAUCGCCGCAGUUUGUGGGCGGUGGAUACCUUGGAUAGUGUAGAAUAAUAUUACGCUCGUGCUGGGAUGCCGAGCUUAUUUUUACAGUACUGUUCAGACUGUUCUAGACUGUCGGGUGCUGUUGGGGUUGACGAUGGACCCAGAUUACGGUUUUUGCAUCAAAUUGUGCCGAGGGCACGUGCGUCUUGGUUGUUAGACCAGUUAGAGCCCUAUUUACUUGACUAUAGCCUGCGAGAGUCUGAUUGAGCUCGACAGAGACACGCUUGCAUACUCGGUUGGGUAGCGCCCGCGAGUGCCACUCCGGAGUUAGGCUAAUUUGUGCUUUUGUGUUGGUGUCAUUUUGUCCUGAUUGGACUUGCUAUCCAAUUACGACCUGGUAUAGUGUCAGAUUGUGUAGCUUCGACAAGCGGGACGGGUGUAUUCACAGUCCCUAGGAAGAUUGAGUCAUGUCUUACUAUUUCCUACAGUUUGUUGGUGUUAGACCGAGAUAGUAUAGGUGCAUAUAUCUGUAGAUUUAUUUUCAAAUUUUUUACUAUACUUGUUUACAUCUGUAGACUUAGUAGGUGAGCAGUUAGGGUCGGUAGCGGUACCCACUGAGAACUACUUUUUGCAGUAGUUCUCACGCCCAGUUGUUGAAAUCUUUUGCAGAGCCUUCUUCUUCGGCUGCUGCUGCUGCUGAGUCUGAUUGUGGAAGGGUGUUACGAGUUAGAGCCCUUCCUGACGAGUUGCUGAGCUAGAGGAGUACCAGCUACAGCUAGUUGUAGUUUUUGAGUUCUUAUACAUACUUUUGUUGUAUCUCGCUGGGCGAGCGUUUUGUACACCUGGUUGUUGAUGUAUGUAUAGUAAACUUCUGUUUUUUUAUUAUAUCUCAUUUCCUUUAACAGCUCUAUACUACUAGUGGUAGUAUUGUAUGAUUUCUGGUACAGCUAUCGCUUCGUAUACAGAAAAAAUUUUUUUAUAUACGGCGAGUUUGUCGGCGUGCCCGGGGAAACGAGUAAUCCGGAGCGUGACAUGCCACCAAAUUUUUGGCCAUUGGAUUAAGAAAAUGUGCGGUUAGAAUGAUGUGGGCCCCCUAGGGUUGAGUGGGUGGUUGGUUGAAUAGUAUGAUGUAACAGGUAAAAAUGAUCAAAAGGGUAGAUCUAACGGCGGAAAACUUGGUAGCACCAAGUGCUUCGUGCUAUUAAUAGCAUAGUAGCCGGACUCUCUCUCUCUCUCUCUCUCUCUCUCUCUCUCUCUCUCUAUAUAUAUAUAUAUAUAUAUAUAUGUGUCCUUAGUGUUGGAAACCUGAUCCAUACUUAUUUUUAUACUAGAUUUUGAGAAUUCACAACUUACUCUGAUACCGAUAGCUGUUGAUCCGGUAUUCAUUCCGAUAUCGGUUAUUGGGAUUUCGUAUUGGAAGCGUCAAAUUACAUUUUUAUCAUACAUUCAUCUUAUCAGUGAAAAACUAUUCCUAGCACAACCAUAAAAAAGAGAAUAAAUAAAAAAAAAAUGCAAAUGAAAUAAAAUUAAGUAACUAAGAGAAGAAUUACAUCCGACUCCUCCUUUAUAUAGCGUACCUUCAACGCGAACUCUUUUUUCCGAAUCUCUCAUCCUUUCUCAUCCUAUGCACUAGUACACAAGGUAUGCCAAUGAUCCAUAAUUAAUCACGAAAGCCGCACACGUCGAUCAUGGAGUGUAUAAAGAUUGUCGAAAAGUUAAACAGAAGAACAAUUACUAUAAUAAGAGUUUUGGGUACAUGCACUAGUAAACUACAGGCUAGUUAGAAAUUUGGUCCUUAAAGUUUUGCUCAAAUUUCGAUUUUAAUAGUCCCAAUUGUGGUAAUCUAGCUCUUUCGUUUUAUGAAACAAUUAAUUAACUUUUUUUUUUUCUUUUAUCUAGCGUCAAAAAGAAGUUCUACAUGGGUACCACCAUUACGUAUUCUUGUCUUAAUAUUUAAAACUUGACGCUGAAAAUGAAAUCGAAGUCAAAUGUUUGGGUCAAACUGUUAAUUAAACUUUGGAGAAUGAAUUUGAAAUUAGGGUUAAACUUUUGAAAAGUGCUAGUCACAAUCAAAACUUUCGGUGGUAAAUAGUCACAGUCAAAACAAUAUUCCAAGGACAACAUAGAUAGCCAAGUCAAAGGUCUAAAUUUGUACUCAACCCAAACUAGGAUACAAAACAACACUAUUUCAAUAAAACAAAAAAAAGUGAAAACAAAAAAAAAUAUAGAAAAAAUGGAAGUGAAAAUAUAGAGAGAGACAAAACCAAAACUAAAAUCCUCUAUACAUGUUUCUCCAAGUAAAACUGUAUAAAGGGCACUGCAACUGUAGUUUGUAUUAACGACUGUAUCUAGCACAGUUGACUAAAAACUUGAUCAUGAAUAUUUGAUAUCUCAAAUUUGAAAUCUAGUUACUUCAUAUUUCUAGUUAAAAUAUGUAGCUUGCUACUUUUUUCUCAGCAAAACUAUAGUCUAUAUCGAAAUGAUACCCUCAUCUUUUUGUUUUUUUGUGUUAAUUGACACAUCCUUAACUUGAUGAUUUCAUCAAAUUUAGUAGUUGAAACUACUUUUUGCAAAUGAAACUAAAAAAAUUUAAUGGUUGGUAGCUGAGAAUUCAUCACAUUGACGAAAAAUUUUAACUAACGUAGAAGAACAACUCAAAUCAGAAAAAUCAAAAGUAAGAAGGUAUUAACUGAAAAAUCAAAAGUUUAGAGGUCAAUUUCAAAAUCUCUGUCCCAAUGGGUUUUAACUCAACAAAUUAGAAAAAUAGGAAUUAAUGGACCACUCUUUACACAAAGCAAUCACAAGGAAAACAGUAAAUAUACUACAUUCCAUGCAUCAUCCACACCCUACAUGUGUGUAAAGAGAUGCUAUGGUAGAUUUUCUUUGUGUCCUCUUUAAGCUCUUGCAUAUCUUCGUGUAGUGUGGGACUCCAUGAAAACCCUGCAUUUAAUUCAUUUCCCCAACUCUCCUAGGAUUUGUAGGCCACUUUGGAGUUAUUUAUGCCUCAUUAUUCAAGGUAGAUUUCAUGGAUCUUCUUCCCUUGCCAUUUUUCUGAAAAAGUAAGGCAGGUUGGAAGGGUAAAUGCAUGUGAUAGAUAGCAAAUCAGUUGGGUUCUGCAAUAGGAGAGAGAGAGAGAGAGAGAGAGAGAGAGAGAGACUUUAUCCAUCUAAUUGAUUUGAUACAAAAUGGUCCCAGAGUAUUCUUAGCACUCAUCAACAUAGUGGAGAAAAAAAAUAAAACACACCAUGUGGAUUGGCAGCAGAAGCAACUGCUGCGCAAAAGAAUGAUCUGAUAGAAAACAGGCUCAAGAAUAUUAUUCAUAACACGUACCUCCUGCUCAUGUGCAUGAUAAAUAUCUCACCAACUAUAUAACAUACAUGGAUCGAUUACGCAGAUAAUACGAGAGACUACGAAAUAAUAGAAAGGAAAUAUUAUGGAAGAGACAAGACAAAAAUAUUUAUUACCAAAUGGUGGAUGUGGGAUUCGAACUCGAGUCCUCUUAAGUAGAGAGGGACUAAGAACUAGUUCGGAUAUCAUGUUAUUCAAAAUGUAACAAUUAAACCCACUAGUACUACCAAAUUAUUAUUCACUUAAAACACUUGCACCAACGGGCUGGUCAUAAUAAUUAAUUAGUAUCAAAUUAAGCUAGAUUAUCCGCCAAAGUAUGAGAUGAUGUAUUAAUUCUAGAUUAUGCAUAUAAUUAAGCCUGACAAAUGUAUUAACUAUGGCACCUCAAUGAUCCCACGUGUACUAGUGAUUGUGGGUUAUAUGUAUAAUUGAAGCCUGACAAAGGCAAAGGCAUAUGGAGUUUGUAAUGCCUCAAUUGUUGCAUAUUCAUCAGAUAAUAUGGGAGAGUGAUAAAAUUUUAUAUAUGGCUAGUACAUUAAUACUAAUAACUUGAGUACUAGUUUUAAGUAUUUAAUAAUAAUAGCUUGUAUUUUAGCCCAACAAUUUAUUUGUUACUGGGUUGGAUCAUUAUAUCGAAAAUCGAUUUCGGGAAACAAGCCUAGGUAUAGUCUUAGCAAUAACAAAAGGAGACAACAAACAAAUAGUAGACAGAAAUUUAUGCCAUUAUUGAUCUAAUUUUGCAGUUGAGAUGAUUGUGAAAUCGAAUUUUAAUCCUGAACCUACUGCAACGGAGAGGGCAUAGAACCAACCUCAAUGCUAUGUUAUCAAAAGGAUCGAUCUAAUGUUUGUACUCGGGAAUAUGGGUGUAAAAUGAUUCUAAUAUCAUGUUGUUAUAUAUUCUCCUUAAUUCGGUUGGUCUUAAUUUCAUUUGCCUAUCAAAAAUAACACGUACAAUUAUUCCUUGCAAAACCCAUUAAUAUCAAGGAGAGUUGAUGAACUUAAUUUAUUAUUGGAAAAUCAAUCUGUGGGAUACCCGCGUAUAAUACUAAUAAUAAUAAUAAUAUGCAGGGUCAUGAUUAGUUUAUGUAUACUUUUUCUUCUAAAAACAAAGAAUAAUUAGAAAUUAUUUUCUUUUUUUAAUUUUUUCAAACCUGGAGUCGAAAUAUAACCCCUCGCUCCAGUAUGGGAUUUGUCCUGACCAAUCCCAUUAAACCAUGUGAGAUUAUAGAGAUCAGAUAAAAGCAAAUUGCCAAAAAAAAAAAACAAAAAACAAAAAAACAAAAAAUUAAGAAUGUAUCCGUAUGUUAGCCAAGAUCGAUAAUUUUUUACGGCAUUUAACGAUGCUUAAGAGUGUUCCAAUAAAUUCUACCAUCAUAUUUCAAAGCAUCGACAAAUUAAUAAAGAAUCUCUGGGUAUAUACCGACGCUUACACUAAGCAUCGGAAAAAUAUAUUCCGACGAGCGUUAGGAUUUUUAAAAGUUCUGACUUUCUAAUGAUAAAAUAGACAAUUUAUAUUACAACGCUUUUUGAAGUGUCGUUAUUUGCUAUAUUGUAGAGUUGCUUGAGAAUGCUUUUCUCAAGCGUCGUCUAAAAAACGUUCUUAUAAUAAGAAUUUCUUGUAGCGAUAGUAACUUGCAAGCUGAAUAGAUAUUCAAAAUAAAAAAAUUAUACUCGUGUACUUCGCUAUAAAAAAUAAGGUUAAUUGCAUACAGGUCUCUACAAAUAUAGUGAAUUAUAAAUAUAUCCCUAUAAAGUUUAAUUUUGUAUCGUUCCUGCAAAAGUCAUAAUGUUUUCAAAUAUGUUCCUACCAUUAGAAUCUAUUAGAAAAAAAAUUAGUUAAUCAUAGAUAAAAUACUUAACCCUAUUUAGUUAAUGAGGUGUAUUGACCUUUUUACCCCUUUUUAAUUAAUGGUUGGGAUUUUUGAAAGAACAUAUUUAGGUGUAAUGACAAUUAAUGCAAAAUUUAAUGACAUGAUAAAAAAAAAAAAAAAAAAAAAUCAGGCCCACCACGGCAAAAGUUCAGUUUGGGCUUUUUCGUUGGGUUGGACUUGCGCUGUCAUACAAAUUUAGGUGUUAGGCUGAUUAGGCCGAAUCCUGAAACAAUUGAGGGCCAAAAUCAAUUUCGAAAAAGCCUAGAGCUAUGGUUUCAAACGUGGCCUUAAUGUAGGGUACCAAAAAAAAAAAAAGAAAAAAAAGAAAAAAAAGAAAAAGAUGCAUUUCAAUGAGAGACCCUAGCUUCUUCAUCGUCUGAUAAUAGUACGUAUGAGAGAGGCUAUCUCCUUGUUUCAUCUCCAAGGACCUCUUUUCUUAUGCUUGCAUAUAGGCAUAUAUAUAUUUUUGUUUGUACUUGUCUUUUAUAGAGAUCAUUAUACAUGUACAUAGAUGUUCAUCUUGGGCUUGUACUUGUACAUGUACUGGUACCAUUUUGAUCUGCACUAGUUAUAUUUAUUUUCUUGUUUCUUCUACUUAAUAUAUUAGGGUGACCGUCUUUUCUUUUAUAAUUAUUUGUUGUUAAUCUUGUUUGUUCUGCAUGAAUUUUUUAUUAUCAGCUAAGCUUAAGAUAAAUAAAAGCCUUAUAUUUUUUUAUAAAUUUAAAGUUUAAAUUAAGUUUGACCCUUGUGAAGGUACAGCGGCCAUGAUUCGAAUAUGGAGGCACUGGAUCAUGAUUCUACAUUAAAUUUGGUCACUAUUAAAUUUGACUUAGUAACGAUCUUAAUUAGUGUCAAAUUCUUGCAUUGAUUUAUAACGCUCCUUUAUGAUUAAUUAAAAUGUAAUGUCACUACCUAAUUUUGUUGAAUAAUUUAUUGAACCAUUUGAAUAAGUGCUUUUGGCCACAGCACUACAGUGUGUUUCGCAGAAGAAUCACUCUAGUGGAGAAAACAGACCCAUAAAGAAGAGACUAAGCGCUUGAUUGGCCCGACGGUGCCGCUUCAUGCAAAAGCAAACAAAAAGGUGGCUUGUAUUUUAAGAGCAAAACUUGAAAUUGUACUAUCUAAUUGGCUUAGGCUCCUCAGUAGCAAAGUAGGUGACCUCAACUUUCUUUUUAUUUUAAUACAGAAACCAAAAUCCUUUGUUUGAGGAAGUAGAAGAAUCAAUCAAUCAAUCAAUCAAUUAGCUCUAUCAAUUAGUCAACUGGUGCCCCGUGACAAGGUCACUUUAAGGUCUCUUACAUAUAUAUAUAUAUUUACCCUAUAAGAAUCACAUAGUUAAUUACGUACAUAUUCAUUUCACACACACACAUACAUUUAACUUAUCUAGCCCUACAAGAAGUUACUUGCGCUUUCGAAUUCAGUAUAACACGUAAGCUCCUUCGAGAUACUUUUCUCCUUUUCUUUUAACAAAAAAAUGUCUUUAUCAUACAUAUAUUAGAAAGUUAAUCAAUUUGUGAAAGAGGUGGCUCGGCUGAAUUAGUCAAAUGUUUCACAAAGUGGCCAUCUAUGUUCCGAGUAUUAGAAUGGCGUAUUUGCAAAUUCAGUUUAGCAAGGAUACAUAAGUAGUGAUUUAUUUAUGAAUUCAUUUUCAAAUUUGAGAUAAUUCGAUCAUAUUGUUUGUGCAGAAGGAACAUUUCUAAUGUUAAGGGGCGUGAAUCUGAUCCAAAAGCUUUCGCUGAUAGAUCCUGAUACCUCAGCCUUAUAGAGAUUAGAGUUUGUUUUUCUAUCCAACAUAGACUAUUGUCACUUGGAUAUAAUAAGAGGCGGAAUCAAUAUCAUAUUUUAGAAGCUUGUACGAAAUAGUAUUCUACUUGUAUCAAUUGUGAUUCUUUUCAAAGCUUAACUAGUGAAUUGUUUCUUUAUCCAGUGCAUCAAUCCUUAAUUGUGUUCCAUCCACUACUUUGCAUCAAUCUUUUUAUCUUAUCUCGUAUUUUGAUUUCAGCCAUCUAGCAACCACAUAUUUAAUGACAAGUAUCUGUCCAUAUCAUAAUUUCGCGACAAGAAGGGAUACAUUUGUGACAGUUGACCUAGCUAGUUGAUGGUGAGCUUAAUUAUUAGAAAAAUAUUUAGGCAAUUUUUACUUAACUAAACAUAUGCUUCCUUAUACUUAAUUAGGCUUUGGUAUUGCUAAAUUUGGUUUAAGGAAUUUAUCCCCAUGCCUCUACUAAAACCAAGAGCAUUUACGGUUUGAGUGACUGAUGUUCUAUUGAAUAUUCUAUUACGAAUAACUUUUUGGGACGAUUAUAUAUCUUUUCAGGACGAUAAAUAUUUUCUAAAAAGUUUUUUUAGUAUCGUAAUUUUAAAUUAAGUUUCUAAAAUCAUUUUUAACUAUAAUAUUAUGUUUUGUAAUAUUAUUUUAAAAAAAUUAUAAUAAUUUCCCUAGCUUCUAUUAAAAUUACAAAAACUUUUCUAAAUUUAUCUAUGCCAAAUCCGUUAUUCGUGAACUAUCUUGGUUUCAGAAGAACACGUGUUAUUUUGUUUACUAGUAAUGAGAAAGUAAAAUUAUUAAGGUUCAAAAUAAUUUACUUAUACUACCCAUAUUCUAAUUUAUUUGCGGAUAAAAUAUUCUUUUAACGUUUAAUUGAAUAUGUUUUUAAUUAGUAAGUGAUUUGCUGAAGCUAAACAUUUAUUAGCAAACUAUUUUCAACCCAAAUAGUUUAGUUAACUAUUUGCUGAAGCAAAAAUAUUAAUGCAAAAGUACAAGCGCAGUUUAUUGUAUUAGACCCUGAUUUAGCUUCCCUAAUUAGUGAUUAGUACUCUUUUCCAUUACAAACCAAAAAUUUAUGUUAGAAGCUAACUUGCUUUUUUUCUUCUUUUCUAAAAAUCUAUAACUUUUGCAAAUUGCAAAGGACUUAUAUACUAGGUUCCUUUUGUUUUGGCGGUGGAUUCAGUCAAAGGAAACUCUUCUACACGAGGUAUCUAAAUAGAAUAGAUAGGAGAGUGCUUGAAAGCACCAACAGCAAAUGGUUUUUUUUUUUUUUUUGGAUAAAUAGCUAGCACGCUACCCGCUUUGUUUAUUUCAUUUAGAAAUAUACUUAGCUGGAAAUGUGAAUCAACUAGGAUUCGAACUUGGGUCUCGAGUAUCAACCACCAAGCCUUUUGCCACUUGCUCUAGGAACGGUCGAUCGCGAAUAGCAAAUGUUGAAAGCCAGAAUCAGACAAUUCUUUCUAUCAAGUUUAUGACUAGGGGCAAUCUAAAUAGAAAAGGGAAGGAAAAGAUUGUAUCUCACUCCUUACGGAUUCUAUUCAAUUGAAAACUUAUUCAUUAUUAAAGAAAAGUGAGUUCAGUUUCAUUGGGAAGGAUUUGUCAGAAUAGACUUAGAAAUUGAAAUUGGAAGAAAGAAGAAGAAAUGGAAUGGAUGUUAUCGCAACCCGAAUCCAAACGUGCGGAUUUACUGAUGCUAAACGAGUAUAGUUUCAAAUACGGAUAUAAAAAUAAAAACCUAAUGGAUUUGAAUCGGGCUAUGGAUUUUAUCUGUACUCAAUCCGAAAUCGAACACGAUCUGAGCCCGAAUUGAUUUUCCAUUAUAUAAUAUAUAAUAUAUACAUAAAUGAGUGAUGUUAUAUUUGAAUUUGUAUUUUAAAAUUUUAGAUUUAAUGUAAAAUAUUUCGAAAUAUGGUAAGGAGAAAUAAUUAUUAUGGAUCUGGGUUUUCAGAUCUGGAUUUGGAUUCCAGAUUUUUGGUUGGAUUCGGCUAUGGAUAUGGAUUUUUAAAUUUUCUCGGAUUUGGAUUCUGGUUCAAAUUUCGAAUUUGGUAUUCAGGUUCGAGUUUGGAUUUUUGAAAACCGACUCCGAAUCUAACCAAUUGACAUCCCUAGGACUGAUCAAACGAACAUAAAUAAGUUUUUAAAAUUAUAAAAAAAUUAAAUAUUAUAUGUAAAUUUUCUUAAUAUUUUGGCAUGCGCUUUGACAUGUGAUUUGCAUUAAUCCUAAGACUCCAUCUUGUAAUUAAUGAGGGGUACCUAAUAUAUAUAUUUUUUUUUUUUGAGAGAGAGAAAGGCAGCACGUUAGCCGCUUCAUUCAUUUAGCAGAUGGUACCUAAUAUUAUUAAUGUUAAAUUUGGUUUAGAUUUAUAGUUAUCUAAAUUGAGGGUAAAUUCUAGUCUAAUUAGGAUAAGAUAAUAUUUAGAUUGAAAAUAUAUAGAGCAAAAUUAAUGUCACGCCUCGAAUGUCUCGUUCCCCGGGCACGCCGACAAAUCCGCCGUAUACAAAGAAAUUUUUCCUGUAUACGAAGCGACAGCUGUACCUGUAAAACCAACACUACUACGAACAGUAGUAGAGAGCCGCUAGAGAAAUAUAAGCUAAACAAACUGAGUUUCAUAUACAUAGUCCAAAUCCAAAAUACAGAGCUACUCGCACUGGCGAGUUAAGUCUACUAUGUAUAUAAACUCGAAACAAAACAUCUACCUUCAGUAGGGGCACCUCAAGCUCAGCACGCCGGGUAGGGCUCUAACUCGCGACGUCCUUAUCUCGAUCCUGAUCCGCAGAAGGGGCAGCAGCCGGAACCUGUGGCUCUGCAAAAACAUAGGUAACAACUGGGCGUGAGAACUACUGUAAAAACAAGUAGUCCUCAGUGGGUGCCGCCCAAACAAUAUCGGUCCACCCACUAAGUCUACAGAUAGGAGCCAGGAUAGUAGGAAAAGCAGGAAGUAAACUCUACCGCUAUCAAUCACUACACUAUCAUGCUCUACACUAACCAACUGUAGGAAAUGUGAAAUCUGACCCAAUCCAAUCGGAACUGUAAACCUACCCGUCCCUAGGACUGUGAAUACACCCAUCCCUGCCCAGUUGCGACUAUCCAGCUACCUCCACACUAACUGGUCCGUGGAGAGCAAGUCCAACCGGCAUGAGCGACACCAACACGCUCAUGCCGGUUUAAAUCAGGCAGUUUAAACAAGUGACAGGUCCAAAUCGCAGGUUUUCUCCUAAGUCGAAUUCCAAGUCCAACAUGUAUAAACUAUUCAACUUAUUACCACAUGCUCUAAAUUCAGAUUUGCAAUCUACAAUAUAAUCCAUGAAUUUGAGCUAGAAUAGACUAUACCAAAAUCGAAAUUAUACAUGUCGACGAUUAGAACUUAGGAGUCAAAACCGAUGUAACCCAUCUCAAGAAGCUAGCUCCUGGCAGCGAACGAAGCCUCGCACCAAAGUGACUCCUGCUGGAUCAACUGGAACCCUCCAAGUCUAGCACUCGAGCUAACUCCAAGCUCUACGAUCAAAAUCCACCAAUUCAGUCCGAAUUUCGCAGCAAUAGAGUAGAAAAGGAAUUCGACCAAGCUAACAUUCACCAAAUUCGGCAAGUAAGCGCUUCGUGGAUUCCUCUCGAAGUCCCGAAUCCAACGAACCAAGUCUCGACGAAAUCCGAUACUCUUACGUCGAGUACGAGCUGAAAUACUAACAGUCGACGAUGAAUUUCAGCAACAACAUCAUUCCGAGUUGAAGUAGUAAGAACUUGCCCAAAAACAAAGGAAAUGCUGAAUUACCCACCUCGACAACACCAAGCACCGGUGCGCAGCAAGAACGGAGAAAACCUACGCUCGCCCGGCCUCCUCGCGCUACCCCGGCGUCAAACACGUGCUCGAACGACUCCGCGGCGCGACGUCGGCGACGAAAUCCGAACUCCACCCGAGCUCCACCGUGCGCAAGAACCCAGCUAGAGAGAGAGAGGAGAAGAAGAAAAAGCUCCCUCUCUCUGCUCUACACAAACCUAAAUAGAGAGAGAGGGAAAGGGUGAUAUGAACGAAGUGGAAAAAAGACCAAACCACCCCUUACCUACCCUGGUGUACCGGUAUAGAGGCUAACCCGAGAGCAGCCCACGUGUAGCUAGCUGAAGUGUACCGAUACACCUUGAUGGCUGUACCGGUACAGCAAGCAGAAAACCUGCAAUUUUGCGGAUUUUCUCGCCAAGUGCUACGUUCACGUCGCGGGGAGUCCGUUUUGCAUGCAUUUCACGCCAACGCGACUCAAACUUGUCUCGACACUUUCCAGAGUUGUCGGCAAGCCUCCACAGCCGUACACCAGGGAUCUCACAAUUAAGCUUAAAUAGAUUAAAAUUGAGACCCGGUUUAUAAUGAGUUGGCAACCUGUCAUUAGUUACAGCUAUAUUAAUUUUGAGUCUCUCAGGACUCAAAUUAAUUUCGUAGUAUCCAACUCUAAUUAAGGCUCUAAUAUUAUAUAUAGAGCAUUUAGGAGCCGAAUCUCUUUGGCCAAGUAAUACUCUAAUUAAUUAGCCUACGAUGCUCUUGGUGCUCGGCUCUCAAGACUCCAUUGAUGCUCAAUUAAUUAAGGCAACCCAAGGUGCCGUAUCUUGUGUGUGGUGACCCAAGACGGACGUGCUGUUGAGGAGACGCCGUAUGCGGUAGCGUGUCAAAUAUAUUUAUUUUGGUCUUGAGGUCUUCUGAGACAUUAUUUUUCUUUUCUGUCUUUCAAUAUUUAUAAAUUAUUUUCUUCGUCUUUGCUCGUGGACAUAGGCCGUUGGCCGAACCACAUAAUUACGGUGUGCUCUUUCCUUUUCUUUUUUCUUGCUGUAUUAAGUAAUUUUUCUUGAUUUAUUUUUCACUGUUCCGAUUUUAACACUUAAUUUAUAAAAAUUAUGCUGAAAAAAGUAACAAAAAUUCAAGAUUUUCUAUUUGUGAUGAAAUUAUAAUAUUUAUACCUCAAUUAGAUUAAUUUGAUUUGUAUAAGGGGCGGCUUGGUUCGGCGUAGAACGAACUGAAAAUUAAUUUUUUUUCACAAAAAAUUAUUUUUCACGGUUUAUGUUGAACCAAACAGACCAUAAAACUAAAUAAAAUAUAGUUUUAUAAAAUAAUUUGGCACAUCACACUAAUCACAAAACAGACAAAUCUUUAUUUGCCUAGAAAUCUGGAAAAUGCUUUUAUGCCCUCCACUUAUUAUUAGGGCUGGCAAUUCAAUUCGAUGUCCGUGAGCCAGUUCAAGAUAAGUUCAAAAUGAGCUCAAGAUCAAUUGCUUAUUUAAUAAAUGAGCUGAAUAUGAGCUAAAUGAUUCAACUCGCAAUCUUAACGAGCCAAAAACGAGCUGUGGUCAGUUUGCUCGUCUUCGACUCGAUAUGUCACGCCCCGAGCCCGAUCCCUUUGGCCGGUUCGAGUGCGUCGAACAGACGCCAAACGGACAGAGUUUCUCCUGUCCGUCGAAGGCCCAACAACAGGUACAGAUAGAGUAUAAAAUGUGCAUAAGCGGAAGCAUACACAAUGACUUGCACGAGGACAAGCAAUAGCCAAGGUGAAAGUGCUAACUAAUCAACAUACAAGUACUAUGAUUAAAUUUAAAUCACAUACAUGCAUUCUAGUUUGGAAUAUUUUAUAACUUUUGCAUCAUUUCUUUUUACAUCUCAAGUUCUCCAAAAUAUGCCUUUACAUUUAACAUCAUUAAUAUCUUUAUUACAUUUGCUUCAAAAGUCUAUAAUCAUCAAAAUAAAAAAGAUGAUGUAAGAGGGUAUGCAACUACAAAAUGUAAAGUAUCUCGGACGGUCUCUAUCUAGGGCACGAUACCCUUACCGCGAUAGUCUGCCGGCUCGCUCGGUCCCGACUCUGUGGAAAAUGGGGUGUGAGAGCUACAACAAAGUUCCCAGUGGGUUCAGCAACCAACCACGCCGACUUUCCCAUUAGGUCUAAAUCAGGCAUAAUAGAAGAAAAGAGAUAUAGAUAGUAACCAAACUAUACAAAUACAGCUAAUAUGCCUGAACAAUAAUCAAUGCAAUGCUCAAUAGUAUGCUCAUGAUGAAUGCAAGAUCACAAUCUCAUUGCCUAAUCUCUUAGCUAGCCCGUAGGUUUCGCCCUCAAUAGACUCACCAACUCAAAUCCCAAGUAUCGGGGAGACUACUACGCCCGACGGGACCGUCCUCUGGGGAGACUACUACGACCCAGUGAUGACAACUCCGGAGCACAUCGCCCGAGGGGGAGCUAUCACCCUCAAGUAAGGACUUACAGGUGAGUAUGAUCCAAUCCUUAACUAUAAGGAUGUCAAGUUCAAUCCAUUCCUUAACUAUAAGAAAAAUCAUAUUCAUAUGACCCUUAACUCUAAGGUUGUUAUGUCAUAAUGCCACAAUCCAUCAUUUUCUUGCAUUCUUUACUUUCACUAGUGUCUUAUACACUACUUUGUUCUUGUACUUAUUCACUAAUGCCACACUUGUUUUCUAAGUGUUCAACUCUAGCAUUCUUGACUCAUCAAUGCCAUUUUCUACAUUCAUGUCUACAUGUCACAUUUGUUCUCUAAAUCCACUAAGUUUUUGUCAUUUAUCAUGCAUACGUAGGGUUAAUAAAAUUCUCACAUUCUUACAAGUAUUUCACAUGCAUUUGAACUCACAACAUGCAAUAAGAAGCUCACAAUUACCCUACUAUGCAAUAUGCUCAAAUAUAUACAAAUGCUCAAAUAUGACACUUUAGACAUAAAAAAAAUUUUGAGAUCCUUGGUAUGCACCACCCACCUUAUAUGGUUGCAAAGGUGCUAUGAUAAAUUUCUUGAAAUUUUUGAAACCCUACUUUAUCGCCUACGGCAAAACGAAGCCAAAUUAAGCUUUAUACUCAGAACUCCUACUUAGUCUUUUCGUAACGUCAAACGGAGUUAUCCCACACGUCGGGAAUACCCCUAAUUAGGUUUCUACAAGGUCAAUUUGCCUUAGAAACACUCUAGAAAAAAAUCCCCAAUUUUCAUGCCCUAACAACACCAUUUGCUCAAACCUAGGUUUUGAUCUCUAAAACAAGCAAAAGAGACAUUGUCCUGCACCUAGAAGUUCAUCUAGAACCAUCUAAACCAAUUCUAGGGAUUAGAAUGCAAACCUUAAAAAUCCACCAUUAGAGCACUUAAAGAAAACAUGAGUUUUCAUGUUUUCAUACCUACUAGAGGUUUCUACACUUGUAAAGGCUCCAAAACCUAGCUUUCUAGAGUACAAAACCCAAACCCUAGACUCAACUUUCCAUAAAACCUCACCUUAGUCACAAGCUCACCAAUGUCCACCUUAUAGGAGAGCUCAAAAUCUUCUCCAAGCUCCAAAACCCUCCAAAAAUCUUUCUCCUCCUACUCCUCCUUGCUGCUUGGAGCGGUUUCUAGAGAGAAAGAGAGAAAUAAGAGGGAGUGAGGUGUGGGCUGUGAAAGAGAGAGGGGAGGGUGUUUGGGCUAUUACCAUGUUGUAACAAUUACAAGAAACCCUCCACUUCUUUCUAUUUGCAGCAGAUUUCAUUGUUGCGGCCAGACUAAAGUGUACCGGUAUACGGGAUUUUGUACCGGUACAAUUUCUGCGCAGAGACAACCCGAGAGCAAGAUUCUCGGUUUCGUAGCAUUUGUACCGGUACAUUUUCAAAGUGAACCGGGACACUUUCAGUUUUUCUCUCAAUCCCGAGAGCACACUCUUCUCAGGCUGCAGGGCUGUACCGGUGACAACUCGAUGGUUGUACCGGUACACUUUGCCCAGAAUGUUGGUUUUGCGCCGUUUUUGAUUCGAUUUCGCGCCGGUCGAUGCUAAAACCCUUUUAACACCUCUUAAACUCAUUUUUAGCCUUUCCAACCUUGUUGGAAUGCUAAAUGGAACUUGUCCAACUAUUUCUUUCGUAUUGUUCACUUUUAAAUCACGCCGAGCAAUGCUAAAACCUGCUUAACACUCUCGGGACUCGACUUUGAACCUUCUAACAUUAUUAGAAUGUCAACUGGAGUUUGUCCAUCCAUUUCUCUCGGUACUUUAACCAAUUUGGCUAAAGUUCGAUAAUCGCUAUCGGGAUUUCGAUACGUUACACGAUAUAUAUAUAUAUAUAUAUAUAUAUAUAUAUAUAUAUAUAUAAUAUAAUAUAUAUAUAUAAUAUAUAGCCAGGACUGAUGUGCCUCAGGAGCACGAAGGCCUCCGUGCUUCUAGCCGUUUUCGAUGAUGGAAUUUUCGAAUCGACGAUCGCUCCGUUAAAUUUGAUCUAGCGCGUAUUUGAAUGUUCUAGAAAAAAUUUUUGCGAUUUUUCAAUAUCAUUACGUAGCAUCGAAAGGAUUUAAAAUCAAUAAUUUUUAACGCUGAAAAUAAAUAUCCUAUAAAAAUGGUGAUAUAGCACUAAAAUUUUCGAUCAGAAAUAGUAAUCUUGUGUAGAUAGUAUAGAAGACUUUCUAUCAAAAUUUUAUCUUAUUUGAAUACUUCUAACACACCGUUAAACUUGAAAACGGCAGAUAUCAACCAUUAAAAUUAUGGAUUUGAAUCUUUUGAUCACUAGGUAAAUAUAUCAAAAAAUCGGCAAAAAUUAUUUCUAGAAACUUCAAAUGCGCUAGAUCAAGUCUAACGGAGCGAUCGUCGAUUUGAAAAUUCCAACAUCGAAAACGGCUUCAGGAGCACGAAGCUCCGUGCUCCUGAAGCACAGCAGCCCUGCUCUCUCUCUCUCUCCUCUCUCUCUAUAUAUAUAUAUAUAUAGAAUUAGACUGAAUACUAUUAAUAGUAAACGCUCUUUUGCUACAAGUUUUAACCCUUGGUAAAAAUUGUAGGUCUGGAUGAUAUUAGUCGGUUAGAGUUGAGUGGUCCCCUGGGUUGAGUGGUCCCCACUGGUUAUAGUAUUUAAUCCAAUGGUGAAAAUAAUGAAAAGAAUUGAUCCAAAAGCUAAAAAACUAGUAGCAACAGAUGGAAUUUGCUACUAAUAGUAGCUCAGUCCAACCGUUAUAUAUACUAAUAUAUAUAUAUAUAUAUAAUUAAUAAUAAUAUAUAUAUAUAUAUAUAUUAUAUAUAAGUACUAUAUAUAGCCGGACUCAUAAUUGUUUUCGAUGAUAGACACUUCCGAAUCGACGAUAAUAUUAUAAUAUAAUAUAUAUAUAUAUAUAUAUAUAUAUAUAUAUAUAUAGUCCGGCUACUUUACUCUUAUGAGUACAAUCGCCCUCGUACUCAUAAGUUGUUUUCGAUGAUAAAACUUCCGAAUCGACGAUCCAUAUCGUUAAAUAUUAUCUAGAUCAUUUAAACUUCUAGAAAUUAAAUUGUAUAAUUUUUCGAUAUUAUUUACCUUACUAUCAAACGGUCACAAAAUUGAUAAUUUUUAAUGACCGGUAUGAGAUAUUUGCUAGUUUAACGGUGAAAAAGAAUCGAAAUAGGUUGAAUUUUUGAUAGAAAAUUCUAUUCACUACCUAAAUAAAGAUCAAUAACUCCGAUCUUAAAUUGAAGGAUCCGAUCAACCAUUUUUAGGAUGUCAUUUGAUUUUAACCGUUCAGUUUAUACUCGCUUGAUGGACUUUGUAAUGAUUUCGAAAAUUUAUGAAAUUUAUUUUCUAGAAGCUUCAAAUACUCUAGAUCAUAUUUAACGGUGUGGAUCGUCGAUUCAAAAAUUCCAACAUCGAAAACAACUUAUGAGUAGUAAGGGUUCUAUACUCAUAAGAGUAUAGUAGCCCUACCUCCGUGCUUGUAAGUUGUUUUCUGUAACGACCCAGCCCACUAGCAAUAAUAACUCGUUGGGCCCAACCAUAACCCAAAAUGCUUAAGCCCAGUUAUUAUUACUAGUGUCUAAGUCUCUUAUAAACCCAAUGACAUCCCCAUUCCCAUCCGAUGUGGGACUAUUGGGAUGUGGGACUAUUGGGGUGUCACAUUUUCGAUGAUAGGAUAUCCGAUUCGACGAUCGGCUCCGUUAAGUAUAAUCUACCCUAUUGGCACUAUCUAGAAACCAAAUUUUAUAAAUUUUUGACAUCAUUUACCAAGCGAUCAAAAGGUCUAAAAAAUAACUAUUUUAUUGGCCGAUAUGGCACGUUUUUAAGCUCAACGGUAUAGAAGUAUCCAAAUUACAUAAAAAUUUAAUAAAAAAAUUCUACAUAACAUUAAUAGCAAGAUCAAUACUUCUGAUUGGAAAUUUGAGUCAUUUAUCACUAUUUUUUAUGAGAUUUUCAUUUUCAGCCGUUCAUUUGAGGCUACUCGUUCACUAAACAAACGAAGUCAAAAAAUUAUGAAAUUUGGUUUCUAGAUAGUUAUAAUAGCGUAGAUCAUGUUUAACGAAACCGAUCGCCGAAUAGGAUGUCCCAUCAUCGAAAACAACUUAUAAGCACGGAGGCCUCCGUACUUUCAAAAGCAUAGGAGCCUAGCGCUCUCUCUCUCUCUCUCUCUCUCUCUCUCUCUAUAUAUAUAUAUUACAUUUGAUUUGUCUUUUAAAAGUACCAAGUGCAUUAGUGCUUGUAAGUUUUAGCAUUAGAUUAAGUGAUGUGCGAUUAGGGAUGAUGUAGACCUUAGGGUUGAGUGGGUAGUUGGUGCAUGAAUAAUAUGAUCUAACGGAUGAAAAUGAUCAAGAGUGAUUAACGGAAAAAAUUACAAGACCCAGUUGCUUUGGUGAUUUUACAAGACACAUAGCCGGACUAUAUAUUAUAUAUAUGAUUAUAUUUAUAUAGAGAAGAGAGAGAGAGAGAGAGAGAUGAGAGGAAGAGAUGGAUGAGAGAGAGGCAGAGGCAGGAGUUUACUGUGUUUUAGAGCACCGCCUUGUGCUAUAACUUUCUAACCACCCAUCAAGUUUGAUGGGUGGUUAGAAUAAGAGAGGGAGAAAAUAUUGAGGAGAAAUUUAAAGAGAAGAGAAAUUGAAACACCCAAUUUCUUCCCAAUAUCUCCUCCCUCUUUCAUUCUAACCACCCAUCAAACUUGAUGGGUGGUUAGAAAGUUAGGAGCACAAAGGCUGUUAUGCUCCUAAUAGCACAAUAGCUGUAACGUAUCGAAACCUCGAUAGAAAAUAGCGAACUUUAGCCAAAUUGACUAAAGUGUGCGAAUGGAUUAAUUGGGCGAGUUCCAAUUAACCUACCAACAGUGUUGGAAGGGUUAAAAAUGAGUUCUAGAAGUGUUAGAGGGGUUUUGGCAUCGAUCGGCGCGAAAUAGAAUCGAAACGGAGCCAAAAACCAAAUCUGGGCAAAGUGUACCGAUACAACCAUCGAGUUGUCACCGGUACAAACAAGUGUACCGGUACAAAAUAAAAGUGUACCGGUACAAAUGCCCCAAAUCCGAGGGAGCUGCUCUCGGGUUUGGCCAUAUGCGAUCGUGUUACUGGUGACACCCUAAAGUGUACCGGUACACUUUGGGCCUGACAGUAGGUUAGAAACUGCUGCAAAUAUUAAUAAGUGGAGGGAUUUUUGGUAAUUAUAGCACCUUAUAUAUAACCCCAACACUCCUCUCUCCCUCUCCCACAGCAAACACACACCUCCCCUCUCAUUUCUCUCUUUCUCUCUCUAGAACUCUCCCCCAAGAGCAAGGAGGAGUGGAGGAGGCUUUUGAAGGUAGAUUUUGAGGCUUUGAGGGUUUGGGAUCUCUCCAACAAGAAGGACCUUGGAGAGCUUUGGGCCAAGGUGAGGUUUUCAUGAAAACCUAGGCUAGGGUUUAGGUUUAUGUUCUAGAAAACUAGGUUUUGAUCUUCUAAUGAAUAUAGAAACCUAGUUGGAGCUAUAGAACACAUGAAAUCUUAGUUUCUUCAAGGUGCUCUAAUGGUGGAUUUCUAGGGUUUACUUUAUAUGCCCUAGAAAUGAUUUGGAUGGUUCUAAAUAAAUUUCUAGAGGUUAGACAAGCUCUCUUUUGAUUGUUUUAGAGAUCAAAAUCUAGGAUUUAGCAAAUGACAAUGUUAGGGCACCCAAUUUGGGGCUUUUGUUUUCGCAUGUUUCUAAGAAAAAUUGACCUUAUAGAAACCUAAUUGGAGGUAUUCCCGACGCGUGGGACAACUCCGUUUGACGUUACGAAAAGACUAAGUAGGAAUUCUAAGUAUAAAGCCUAAUUUGGCUUCGUUUUGCCGCAGGCGAGAAAGUAGGCACCCUAAAAUCUCAAGAAUUGAACCGUAGCAUUCUCUCAACCAUCUAAAGUGGGUGGUGCAAUCCGAGGACCUCGGAAUUCCUUUUAUGUCUAAAGUGUUAUAUUUGAGCAUAUGUGUAUUGAGCAUAAAAUUGUAUAGUAGGGUUAUAUUUGAGCAAUUUAUUGCAUGUUGUGAGUACAAAUGCAUGUGAGUCACUAGCAAGAAUGUGAGAAUUUUAUAAACCCUAUUUAUGCAUGACAAGUGACAAGAACUUAGUGGACUUAGUAAACAAAUGUGACAUCUUGAUAUAGAAGUAGAAAGUGACAUUGAUGAGUCGAGAAUGCUAGAGUUGGAACAUAGUAGUGUCUAUGACACUAGUGAAAGUAAAGAAUGCAAGUAAAAGUGUGAUAGUGACAUUAUGACAAUUUCAACCUUAGAGUUAAGGGUCAUAGUGCAUGGCUUCCUUAUAGUUAAGGAAUGGAUUGAACUCGACAUCCUUAUAGUUAAGGAUUGGAUCAUACUCAUCUGUAAGUCCUUGCUCGAGGGUGGUAGCUCCCCCUCCGGCGAUAUACUCCGGAGUUGUCAUCACUGGGUCGUAAUAGUCUCCCCAGAGGAUGGUCCCGUCGAGCGUAGUAGUCUCCCCGAUUUUUUGGAUUUGAGUUGGUGAGUCUUAUUAUGGGCGAAACCUACGGGCUAGCCUAGAGAUUGGGUUCUGAGCAGUGACUUUGCAUUCAUCAUGAGUACUUUAUUAAGUAUAGCAUUAUUUAUUGUUCAGGCAUAUUAGCUGUAUUUGCUUUAGCUUAGUUACUAUCUAUCUGUUCUUCUAUUAUACCUGAUUUAGACCUAGUGGGAAAGUCGGCGUGGUCGGUUGCCGAACCCACUGGAAACUUUGUUAUAGUUCUCACCCUACUAUUUCCAUACAACCGGGACCGAGCGAGCCGGCGGAAGACCGCGGUAAGGGCAUCGCGCCCUAGAUAGAGACCUCCCAAGUGAGUUUCCAUUUUGUAGUUGCAUACCUUUAUACAUCACCUUUUUGUAUUUUGAUGACUAUAGAUGUUAAAAGAAAAGAAUAUGAAUGAUGUAAAAGACAUUCUAUAUUUCAAUGCAAGAACUUAUAUUUUGAGAUCAUGUGAUAUGAAAGAGAAGAAAUGAUGCAAAAAUGUAAAUGAUUUCUUAAGUGUAAUUUACUACUUUCACUAUUGGCUAUCGCUUGCCCUCGUGCAAGCCAAUGUGUAUACUUCCGUUUUGUGUAAAAUUCAUACUUUAUUUGUACAGCAUGUUGAGCCUUGGGCAAACAGAGGAGACUGUCCGUUCGGCGUCUGUUUGACGGGUCCGAACUGGCCAAAUAGGACCAGGUUCGGGGCGUGACGGUAGCCCUACUAUAUAUAUAUAUAGAGAGAGAGAGAGAGAGAGAGAGAGAGAGAGAGAGAGAAUAGGGCUUCUGUGCUCUUAGGAGCACGGAGGCCUCCCUGCUCCUGAGUCGUUUUCGAUGAUGGAAUUUCCGAAUCGACGAUCGACUCCGUCAAACUUGAUCUAGCGUAUUUGAAGUUUGUAGAAAAUAAUUUUUGCGAUUUUUUGAUUUCAUUUACCUAGCAAUCGAAAGAAUUUAAAAUCAAUAAUUUUUAACGGCUGAAAAUAAAAAUUCUAUAAAAAGUGGCGAUAUAGCAUUAAAAUUGAAUACUUCUACACCGUUAAACUUGAAAACGACAGAUAUCAACCAUUAAAAAUUAUUGAUUUUGAAUCCUUUUGAUCACUAGGUAAAUGAUAUCAAAAAAUCGCAAAAAUUAUUUUCUAGCAACUUCAAAUACCCUAGAUCAAGUCUAACGGAGCCGAUCGUCGAUAAAUUCCAUCAUCGAAAACGACUCAGGAGCACGGAGCCCUCCUUGCUCCUGAGAGCACAGCCCUUCUCUACCUACUAUCAUAUAUACACACACACACACUACUCACCACUAUGCGUAUAUAUGUGUCAUAUUUAUAUAUCACACCACACAUAUGUUUAUAUGGUUGAUGUAUACACACAGCAUAUCUACUAUGUAUGUAUGUAUAUACCACACAACAUAGCUAUGAUACUGUAUGUAUGGUAAUAGUACAACAUACAUACAGACAUACAAUAAAUAUAUAUAACUUAUAUUAUAUAUAUAUAUAUAUAUAUAUAAAUUAUAGUAGUAUUUAUAUAUAGAACUUUGCUACUACUACUAUAAUAGUAGUUAAGCUCGUUGCUACUUUGAGUUUCGGUCGUAUGGAUGAACUAGAUAUUACUAGAAUAUAUGCUACUAUUACUUAUCAAUAGUACCAAGCUCUUUGGCUACUAUUGAGUUUUCGUCGUUGGGAUGAAUAGCAUGUGCGGUUAGGAUGAUAGUGAUCCCCGGCCUAAAAAUUAAUAGUGGUCCCCUAGGGUUGAGUGGGUGGUUGGUUUAAUAGUGUAUAAUCUAAUGCGUAAGACAAAGAAUCAAAGUAGAUCUAACGGUUGAAAUCAGCUCAAUAGUACCAAAGGGCUUUGGUACUAUCGAUAUAUGUUUAGUCGGACUCCGUGUACGUCUAGUACUUAUAAUGGGCGUGCGGGUAGUAUAGUACUAUAUAUGUAAUAUAUAUAUUAUUAAGAAAGAUGAGACGCCCGCUCCGCCGCCCUCAACGCUCCCGCCUCCCGCUUGCCGCGCCCGUCCCUUGCUCGCGCCCGCCUCCGCCGACCCGCGCUCGCGCGCCUCCUCCCCUCGGCCCCUGCCGACUCGCGCUCGCGCACCACCGCGCACCCCCGCGAAGCGAAGCAGUGCGGUUGCGGUAUGGCCGUGGGCGCUGGGGGCUGGGAGAUGGGUUGACUCUGGAGGUCUUCGGGGAUUGUUGCGCAAAGCGGACCUGCGUAUGAUGGUGGGUUACAGUGUCGUCGUUCCUGGGACGCGGGGUGGGACGCUUGGCGUUAUGUAUAUUGGACAGUCUGGGAGCUGUUGUGAUGUCUUAGGGUAGGAGUUUGGAGCAACACCAUUGGCUUAGAGUAGGCUCUCGAGGGAGGAGUUUGGCUGCGAAAGGGAUGCACUAGCUUGGUUGGCACUCCCAGGUAUUGGGCUUGCUCGUUCGGGACCGUCGAGGAGUCCAACGAGUUCGAUUCAGGGAAGUGUCCGGGGUAUAAGUCUCGCACGAGGGAGCUUGGAAAAUGCUUGGAGUUUGUUCGGUUGUUAGUAUUGCAACUUAGGUCGUAGUUCAAGGACGGUUGGGAAGGCUGAGCUCGGGGUGUGGCUACUUGAGCGCUGCCGUUUGGGAAUUUUUCAAGGCGAAGUAGUUAUAACCGUGCGUACGCCGCUUCUCGUUCCGUAGACUCAAGACUCUUUGAGAUUGGCCUGGACUUCUUGAUACCAAUGCAUGUAUUUGAGGGUCUCCUCGUGCUCUUUUCUCUGCUGAUAUUUCUCGUCAACCCUUACCGUCUCUGUAUUUAUUUGUUUUAUUCUUCAUACAGAAGUUCCCUUAGUCUUAAGCUCUUUUCUCCGUCAAGGAUUUGGUGCUCCAGCGAGGAAAGACAUUGGAUGACUUUAGGUUUGACGCGGUCGCUGAUUCACCGCUCGCGAGUUACUAAUCGCGGUCCUUUCUUGAUGGUACAACUUUGGCCAUCUGUUGCCUGUUUUAAUCCAAUCUUACUUCUAUAUGGGUUUUAUGCUUCGGAUCUAUAUGGUUUAUCCAGAUAUUAUAAAUUUUUUUUUACGCUUUGUGUUUAAGUCUCGCUGAGCCAAUAUAGUUGUAUCUAGCAGACGUUUUCAGGAUCAUAACGAUUUUUUCUUUCAUUUGAGAUUUGGAUUUUCGGAUAACUUUCUCUUCAUGGAGAUUUGGGAUCAGGCUUGGUAGGUUUGCGUCCUGGACAAGACUCAGGUAUCAGUUUAAAUCUUCAAUCUUCGUUGGCCAAACGAUGAUCGUUAAACGAAGAUUAUGGAAACUAAAUUUCGCUCACUGACAUUCAAGACCAUUCGCGAUAAAGAGUUCGGCCUAGGACACCUCCUGAGGCUUAUCUGCAAAUACUUCAUUAUGGAAAUGAUUCCCACAAGCUAGUCCAGCACAUCCAUGCACCAAGUGAGCUUCCAGCCACCAAUUGUACGAACACAUAUUCUAUCCGACGAAGCGGAUAGGUUUUUCAGUGAAUAAGAGAGUUAUUGCGACUUUGGAAAUUCGGAAAUUUGGUUAGGAAUUCCGGUUGGUUUUGACCUGACGGGGAAGAGAGGAUAUGGAUGAGAGUAAUGUUCGGACUGCGGCUACUAUUAGGAGCAAACCCCUUUCCAUGUGUGUUGCUACCAGAAUUGUGUUUAUUUGGCACUUUGAUCAUGCUCCUUUUCGUUAUUUCUAACCAUUCGGAUUAAAUACUAUUAAACCUCAGUGGAGAGUUACUUCUGAAUCCGUGUUAGGGAGAACAUCCACUCAACCUAAUCCACUAAUGGUCCAUGCUCGAGCCCUACAAUUCUUUAUAUAUUCUUAGAGAAUGGGUUUGAGAAAUUGAGGAGCAAAAAAGAAGGAGGUCGUUUAUUAGCAUAGGGUUCAAGUAGUAUUCCAGUUGCCGCCUGAAGAGCUUAUACUACCUAUAUUUAUAUACUAUAUAGUGCGGAUAUGAAUAGGUCAAUUGGGGGAGUAAUAAUAGGAGUGGAGGGCAUUACUCUUGACUGCUAUCGGCAAGUACUGGAGCCUUCCGGUCUUCCAGCUAACGUUUGGUCGAUGUUGCUGACUGUUUUCGAAUGCGAUCUUCAAGAUUCGGCUCUUGUAAAUAAAUGUUUGCUUCGAGGUAAGGAAUAAAUUGUGGAUUUCUUCAGUAGAUAUGGAAAAUAAAUUUUAUUAUUUUUCGGAUAACAAUUUGCAGUGACUUCGGCCAUGGCUCAAAGAUCAACAAACUUUCAAUGGGUCGGUAGUUGGCACCGUUUGCAAGUUUAACGGGUUGAUGGAUAUAAUGGACGAUGAAAAUUAUUUUUUAGACAGAAUAUGCAUUAUGUAUACUGUAUAUUAAAAUCAAGGGAUCUCGGAUUGGUGUUGUUCAAUCAGAGUAAGCAUUGACGAACCUUUUUAUACGUGUCACGUAUGCGGUGCGGAGAGUGAAUAUUCAUCGCAAUGUUUGGUAAGAUUUUGUGGGUUUUUGGAGGCGGUUGAUUUCUCGCCUUCGUCAUAGGGUUGGCAUUAUGUGCUAGGAAAAAUCCUUGAUCAGAUUGUAUUAAGAAUCAUUGAAAAAAUUUUUAUUAAUAUAUCUAGGUACCUUCAAAUAGCUGCUAUAGAAUCAGGGUUCUUUAGCGGAGCUUUGUACUUGGGAACGAAAUUGGAAAGUCGGGAUAAAAAACUCACACAUGGACUGAAUCGACGCGUGACAUCGCAAGCUAUUUGCUAAACAAAAAAACCAAAACGCUCUCCAGGAACCUUGAACCAGGAUAAUCGCAUUUCUACAAGGGUCAAAGGUUUAGUUAAGGAUGGGAAAAAAAGAGGAUGAAAGGGUUAGGUGUUUUCAUAUUAUUUUAAAUUAUGGGUCUAUUUUAAUGCUUAUGGUGAUAGGAGCAAAUGAUGUUAGUAUGCAUGUGAUAAAGCAUUUUGAGAUUGGGAAAGUCUAUAAGAGCAGUGACAGAUUAAUUUACCAGUGGAUUGUAGAUGUGUAGAAAGAGUUGAUGUAUAAUGAUUACUUUACAACAUUCAAUGUGUCUGAUGUGCAAUUACAACAUCAUACAGAUGAAAGCACGAAUUGAGCGAGACUGUCAUAAUUCUAUUCAUAAAAUAUGUUAAGGGAAUACAAUUUUUACAGUUUAACAGGUCUCGAGUUUGUGGUUGGGCUAGGUAGAUUGCUAUCCAUAAAUUGUAUUAUUACUGAUAGCCUGAUAGAGGGUCUUUGGCAUGCUUUUAGGGGAGGCAGCGAGAGGCCUCUCUCACAGUUUUAAAUGUGCCUCAAGCUCCGUUUUCGACAAUCGAUGUAGCUUUGCGAAUCGAAGCGAAUGGCUGCCAUAUCUGGUUUAACUUGGUUGUUAGGCGUAGUUGAUGUGUGAGGAAAUUAAAUUUGUAUAUAUGCGAACUUUUUUCGAAUGGGACAUUUUACUUAUGCUGAUAACGUGAAAGUGUGUAAUAAUGGUUAGCCGGUUAUCUGAUUAGAAAUAUAUAUCCGGUCUCAGUAUUAGGUGUAGAUGUCGUUAAAUUUGAGCUCUAUAAUGUUAUAUCGAUACUGAUGUUAGUAGAUCAUUGCCGCUGUUAACCCUUUAUGGCUUAUACAUCUAGAGAAUUAAAUGGGAUUCAUGUCUAUCAACCUAUUAUUUACUUCUCAUUGUGUGUGUACUUCUAUGUACCAAGCCGUUUAAACUGUGCUUUAGAAAGAUUUUAUGAUAAAAUACGGCUACAUUAGUUUUCAAAAUGUUCGAGCUUAUGUUGUAUGCACCUGUUUUUGAUCGUAGAAAGAAUGAAAUUAUUCGAAAAAAUCGCGCAAUAAUUUUCAUUUAUUUUGUAGCAUCAUAUGAUCAAAAUUAUUUUUCGACAGAAUUGGUUAUGAUCAUAGUUUCUAACAGAGCAAUCUGAUUCCGAUUGCAAGCUGUUUUUAUAUAUAUUCGAUAUAGUAACGGUAAAGGUGUUAUAUACAGUACUUACUCGAGGGCCUUCCAUGUUGAAGUGCUAUCCACGGAGACCAAAACACAAUCACUUUUAAUGAUAAAUAGUUCGAGUGUUUAGAGAAUAGAAUGGAAGAACUUGGGAUAAAAGUAUUUCACAUAACUAUAUUAGGUAUAUUAAUAUGGUAUACGAUCUAGUAAAAGGUUUAUUUUUAAAUUUUACAGAUAUUGUAAGGUCAUGUAAUCAGAUAGGUGACACCGCUGAAUUGAAAUGGUAUGGAUAGAUUGGAUCUUGAUUUUGAAAUUGGUUUUGUAAGGAGGAGAUUGGGGUAGAAUGGAAAUAAAGAAUUGAAUCAAAAAGGAUGAAGUUAGGUGUUGAGUUGAAGCGUGCUAUUAAACUAAAUAAUAAAUCGGUUUUUUUCAGUGUUGGAAUGCUGAUAUGAUGAUAGGGAGUGGGGCAUUCUUUAGAAAUUGAUCUUCUAUGUGGUUAAUAAAAUAGAUUCAGUAGGCUCAGAUUAUGAGGUGUGGAUUUAUAAAGAAGGUUAUGUUUGGAAGGUGGCUAGUAUGUUUUGUGUGAUUUGAUGUGGGGUUAAUACGAUUAUCAUAAUGUGCACGGCGUCUCUAUGCGGAAUUAUCCGAGUUUUUUCUGCGGGUAACGCAACAGACGCAUCUGUUAAUUGAUUUUUAUACAGGAGAAAAUUUCUCCGUAUUUUAUACGGAUGUGUAUUUUGUGGAUUGAGCUUUUUGUUUAUUUAUCAGGCGUAUCCUGUAAUCUCAAUGUAGCAAGUAACUACAAGCCAGUAGUAUCGAACUGCUGAUAGCUGAUCACAAAUGAGGUGCGGGUUUUGCAGACAGUCUCUCUCAGUCAAGGAAUUCUUUUGUCAACAUUCACAUUAUUUGUCUCACUGGUGCUGAACCAUACCAUACAAGUGGAACUCUUAUACUAUAUUUUGGUUAGCAUAUCUUAUUGAUAGUCCAAGAAUAGUGAGAGGAUCUCGGGGUGGACCAGGGGUCGAGAUGACGAUUUAGAGAUAUGGAGCGGUAAGCACUGUGUUGCUAGACCAAUUUAUUCCAAUGUCGGUUAAGGAUUCUUUCCCUUGAUAGAUCUUCCUUCACGCCUGUCAGAUUUCUAUGGUAGGUUCUUAUACUUUUCAAUAACCAUGCCAUCUCAACCACGUAGGGGGGCCACUCAUUGACCUGAGGUUUCACCGCCAACUAAUGACUCUUAAGAAUCCAUGAAAUGGAGCUCAAGAAGAUCUUUUUAUUGGUGGUUGGACUCUUGAAAUAGACUUAGGUUUUCGAAAGUUUUAAUGCGGAUUGCUCUGCAGUGGGUACAUUACAACACCAAUUGGAGGCUCGAGGAUCUACUUUUUUAUUUAGAAGUGCUUUCGUGUGUAAAUACUUUUAGUGUAGGAGAUAAUCCUCUACGCCGUCGGAAAUAAUACUUGCUAAAAUUAAUGGCGAUGCUUACGCGGUACUCUCUCUCUCUCCUCAUUGGGUAUUGUGGGGGUGCUGUAAUGAGAUCCCCGAGUUAAGACGCAUUACUUUUUGUGCGCCGCGAAAUGGCAUCACUGUCAUAGCGCGGAUAUAUUAAUCACGAAAGAGUUUUUUUACUUGUGGGAUAUAAGAAUAUCAAAGUAAAUGCUCGUACUUUUGACUUACGAAUUAAUUGCAAACUAAUUGUAGUGGGUUUGUAUUGUCAACUUUGUUGCCUUGUCCACGCAAAAUAUGACCUUUUUUUCUUGUUCGUAUCUUAACCUAACACAGAUGGAAAUGCAGAAUGGAGGGAGUGAUGGAAUACACACAUCGCCUCCCCUCGUCUCUCGCGCGGGGGUGAAUUGCUUCAGAUCGCAUCGCUCUCAUCCUAUCUUACGCUCUCGGCGCUUCACCUCUGUCGCUCCUUGAGGUCCCUCCGCCACUUCGUCUAGGGCCUCUCGCGCCGCAGAGUGCUUCGGUGUCCUGCUCAUGUCGUUUAGCGCGGACGUUCGGCUCCAUUUUUACUCCUCUCUUUGACCUGCGGCAACUUCCGCCUCACGCUCACAUUUUCGGUGUGUGUGCCCAGGGUCGCCUCUCUCCUCUUCGUCGAGGAGGUCGUUGAGUUGUAUGUCCGUUCGUCGCUUCGUCGAGCGCCUCUUUCGCGAUCCUUCCGCUGGGUCCCGGAGCUGACCCCAGCACGUAGGUGUGAUGUAUAUAGAGGCCCUCGCCGCGUCGCACUCUUCUCUCGGGUACCGUGUACAUUCUCAUUGGUUGUUGCUCGGUUGCGCCGGUCUCCCAUCUGUCCACCAUAAUAUGCCCAUAAAAUUCCUCCAAGCCGAGCGUCGCGCGGCAAUCCCUCUUCAAGUGCGCCGGGGUGGAGAAAACUGUGAGUUUAAGUCCUAGUUCGUAUUUCGAUCUUGAAACACAUUCAUUUUGAUGCUUUGGAGCCCCCAAAAUCCCUAAAGCGCUUUAGAGCUCCACUGCUUUACAAAAUGGCAGUGGGAAUUUGGGGAUUUUGGAGACUUCGGACUCUAAAGAAUCAAAGUGGUUGUGCUCAGAGGGCGCAUUCGAAAUGAGGCCUAAGUGUUAUUUCUUUUUUAAUUUAGUUUCUUUUCUAAUUUAUCACAUCAAGUAGCUUGUGAAUAAUGAUUUGAUCUGAUAAUGUAGGGAACUUUCAAUGAGGAUGUGUGAGUUGACUCUUGUUGACCAUGCAUAUCUUGUUUUCAAGUUUUUUUGGAAAAUUAGCUAAUUAGCUGAUACCAGCUAUUUCUUCCCUUUUUUGUUUCGUGCUUGUCGUUAUUGCUUUCCUCUCAAAGCAUUACUAUUGUUGAUGUCAUUUUACUUUUAGGCAAGUGUGUGACAAAAUUGAUGUCUGUCUCAUGAAAUAAAAUAUUCCUCAGUUCUAUAGAUCGAAUUUGUAACUCUUAACUCAAAUUGAAGGGAAUGGAGAUCAGACUUUGCUUGUUCCUUUAGUCUGAACAUGAUUUCAGUAGCCAUGAUAAAGUUCAACUUGUGUACGGGUCUUUAUCUUGGAUUUAGUUAAGUGUUAUUGUUCUUUGGUUGCUAAACAUGUUAAGUAUACUCAAAUGUGUGAAAUUGGCAUGAUGCUGAAUUCAUGUUUUGACAUGUGUUGACAAUAAUAUGUAAGUUUGGUCGUUUUACUUGAUUAAAUUUCUAUGCUAAACAAUUUCUUCGUCAAAUGACAAAAUCGUGUUAGUCUGCACAAAACUAUAAUGAUUUCCUUCUAUUUUCACUUGAGAAUGUUCUUUGCACAGGGAGCUCAUUCUGCUUCUUGCUAGGUUUGUUUAAGUUAAAUCACGAGCUAGAAACUAUUUCACCAGCCUCUUUGUUGAGUUCUUCAAGUUCUUACUUUAUUUGUUAACGAAUUUGCGGUCCAGAGACUACUUUGAAGCGAUCCUUGAACUAGGUACUAUGAUGACGGACCAAACAAAGUUUCUAUUGAUUAAUCAGAAAUAAUGUCCUUCAACUUUGAAUGGGUCCAGUAUUUGUGUUGCUUGAUGUAGAAGCAUGAAACUUGUUUAGAUGAAGUUACAUGAUAAAUGUCUAGCUGCGCAAUGGUUUGGUCAAUAAGAUUUCAAGAGGACUUUGGAACUUCUUGUGGUAUUUACUAAUUAAAAAACUAGUAGGGUUUUUCUGAAGAAUCUACUCAAAGAGCAUCGAUUUCUAUAGAAGGCCUAGAUAGGGCCCAAGUUUAUGAGUCUAAGUUUUGAAACAUAUUGUGAAUUAGAAGUAGUGGCAGAGCCUGUCAACCUCCAGAUUUUGAGAAAUAGUUUAUGCAAAAUGAAGCAAAAUAAUAGUUAUAUCUUAAAAUUUGCAUUCAUUUACCCAACUAUCCUUCCGCUAUUUGAAAAACAUGGUCGAGUAAGAAAGGUAGUUGAUGCUGAAUUUUAAUAGACCACACUCUUCUUUACAAAAGAUAGAUGCUUAAAUUAUCUGGAAAGCAUGAGAAGUAGGUGACAUAUUUAGGCCUUGUUUGGUUAUGCAUCAAUUUUACAUUUUUCCCCCCCUUUUUUUUUCUCUUUCACUUAAUUCAAUGCUUUGCGUAGUAUGAUGACAUAUUGUUUGCAAUCUCUGCAACAAUGGUGUUUGUUUUUUAAAAAAAAUAGUAGGAACAAUUAUCUCUAAGGCCUUCCCCUCCUCGGCGAGUGCUACGAGCACAAGGGAUCCGUCGAGGCUGCACGGAGCNUUCUAAAGAAUCUACUCAAAGAGCAUUGAUUUCUAUAGAAGGUCUAUAUAGGCCCCAAGUUUAUGAGUCUGAGUUUUGAAACAUAUUGUGAAUUAAAAGUAGUGACAGAGUCUGUCAACCUCCAGAUUUUGAGAAAUAGUAUGUGCAGAAUGAAGCAAAAUAAUAGUUAUAUCUUAAAAUUUGCAUUCAUUUACCCAAGUAUCCUUCCGCUAUUGAAAAACAUGGUCGUAUUAAAAAGGUAGUUGAUACUAAAUUUUAAUAGGCCACACUCUUCUUUUGAAAAGAUAGGUGCUUAAAUUAUCUGGAAAGCAUGAGAAGUAGGUGACAUAUUUAGGCCUUGUUUUGUUAUGCAUCAAUUUUACAUUUUUUUCCCCUUUUUUUUCUCUUUCACUUAAUUCCAUGCUUUGCGUAGUCUGAUGACAGAUUGUUUGCAAUCUCUGCAACAUUGGUGUUUGUUUUUUUUUUUUUAAGUAGUAGGAACAAUUAUCUCUAAGGCCUUUGCCAUCCUCGGCGAGUGCUACCAGCACAAGGGAUCCGUCGAGGCUGCACGGUGCACCUUCGACCCUGCCAUUUGGAUCGACGCCUGCUUGGAAUUGGCUUGGCAGGACCUGCAGAGGCUAUCCGGAUCCAGAGGCAGACUCCCACAUAAGGUUAAUUGUUUGAUUGAAUCUUCCAUCAUAUGUCAUUCCAAUCUUAGCAAGUUGCAGGUAUUGACUGCAGAAAUUUUUUUGUUGUUCUACCAACUAAUUAGCCACCACCUUAUUAGGAAAGUGCUUAAUUGAAUUAAUAUGCUUGAAGUCCUUUUUCCAUUGUUCAACAAUGUAUUUUGAUAGAAUUUCAACCAUACCUUAAUAAUUUUACACCGAUAGCACAUGCCUAUCUAAAAUAUCCUUGAAUUGAAAAUAGCAACAAAAUAUAGCUAAAUUCAAACUCAUUUUCACUGUAAAGAACCUCAUAGCUCUUUUGCUAUAAGGCUAAACCAUCUUUCAUUCUUGUAUGGUCUAUUAUCUCAAAGAAGGAAACUAAUCCAACAACUUUCACUAGCGAAGGGGUGCAAUAGGUCAAAGUCUUGAUCUCUUCUUGGAAUGUUAAACAUUUUCAAUAUUGUGUAAAUCUUCAUGUAAAAUUGCAUUACUAAUUGAAGGCCUAUACUCUAUAUGCAUAUGAGAAAAAAGAUCUGAUUUUUUUAGUUUGUAGUGUUUAACGUAGUGAGCUCUUUUUAUAAAAAAAUUUGCUUUAAUAUAUCCUAUAAAAUAUAUUUGUCACCUAAGAAAUGUUGUUGGUUGAUAUUUUUACGAAAACAAGAUUACUUAGCAUUUUUUUUAUUUGGUACUUUUCUACAAAUCCUAGAUUGCCCUUAAAUUUUUGUUUGAGACGUGAAGCUAGCUAUACAAUUAGUGUUUAAUUCUAGAUAAGCUCUAUCAUGUCAAACAUUUGAUUCACAAGUAAUAUUAGACUGCUAAAUAAUAGUUUUAAAUAUUUUAUGAAUACAAUUAUUCCUAACCAACACUAUUGAAGCAUCAAAUCAAACCACAUUGAGCCAGUUCAACCAACUUACUAAAUCAAAAUCAAUUCGGAAUCAAGAGGACAACCGAACCACACCAAACGAUCCAACUGCACCAAUCACAACUUGAUAGUUUUCAAAUUUAUAAAUUUGUAUUCUUGAGAGUGUAUGGUUGUAACCUCCUCCACAAUAUAGGAGUAACCUCCUCCACAAUAAGUGUGAGAAGUUCUCCUUUAGUUGUAUAAGUUUCCCAAUCGGACAUUAAUGAAGUGUAUGAGCUUCCAAUUUCUUUAAACACCAUCAGCAUUGUUACCGGCUCGACAAGCUCAUUGGUAAUAGUUAGUCAAAGCGAAAGUUUUGGAUAAGGAGCUUCAAAAUUCUACAGUGAGGAGAGCAAGAUCUUCUUGGUAUGAUAAAGCUUAUUAUUUUGCAUAUUUUUCUAUAUUUUUCUUCAAUUUUGUAGUAUUGUUUUCCUCUUUAUUGACAUAGGAAGUCGUAAAAUUUCUUAAUUUUAAUUUGCAAAUAAACUAUGAUCUUUCUUUGUUAUUAAUUCUUUUCUUGUAUUGGUUGUAGAUGAAUUCCUUUCAUAAUUGCAAUUGAAUUUAAAAUAACCAUAUAAUUAAUAAUCACGGCAAAUUAAAUUAUGAGAAUCAUCAUUUAUAAUUAUGGAUUCUAAUUGAUUUGUUAUUUUUAAAUUAAUUUGCAUAUUUUUGAAAGUAAGUGUGUUAAUUGAAGUGCUAAAUUUUUUAGUAAGAAGUAUUAGUGUCUAGAUAUGAAGUUUAGAAUAGUCCAUUAUUUAUGAUUUUUGUUGUUGGGACUUGUUAAGGAUUUUAUAGGUUGGCGAAUUUCGUNACAAUGGACAAAAGUUGGAUAAGUAAGCCGAGAAAUGAUAAUGCGUACAUUGAUGGUGUUAGAAAUUUUAUUAAAUUUGCUAUAGAAAAAUCAUCGAUAAAUGGCAAGAUCUUAUGCCCAUGUCGAAAGUGUUACAACAAUUCUUCUUUUGUCCCAAUUUUGGACGGAAUUGGCUGAUAAACUUGUAUACCAAAUAAACGUCGUUUUAGUUUACGACGUGUUAAAUAAUCGAAGUUUCAAAAAUGAGUCAGCGGCCGCUUCUCUACAUUGGGCCGUGAACCGGGCUAUAUGCUCGAUCGUAUUCUCGGUCUCAUCGCCCGAGAACUUGUCAAACUUCGGCAUUUUUCAGUUUUCCGGAUACGGGUGCUCCACGUCGAUGUUCGCGGGAUAAGGAGAUCUAAACACAGACCGCAUUGCCGGCCUUACGCCAAUUCCGAAAGUAUUUCGGAUGGCUUCUUCAAUCCGUGCAUAUAUUUCAUUAUUGUUCCCCUGCAAAGGAACCUGUGCUUCUACUACAUUCGGUCCUUGCGGUAGACCGAAAUUCGGUAUAAUAGGGUUAAUUCCUUGCAUAUUCGGAGCCUGCACCCAACCCUUACGUCCAUGUUUUGGGGCUAGUAAGCUAGUAAAGGAGGUAAACCCAAUGCCAUCUCCGACUGCAGGCUGGCGUUUAUAUUUGCCGGCCUAUAAGCAGCCUGAAAAUGUGCCAUUUGCGGUUGCGCCUGUGAGACCGCCGGCGUGAUGGGAUUUUGUUGCACCGGCGCAGUUAGCGGCCCCUGUUGCCCCCCGUAAGGUUGCUCGUUUUGGGUAAAUAACUGUCUGAUUCGAACAAUAUUUUCAUUGUAGGCCAUGAUGGCGGCCAGCACCGCGUCUAGUCGAGCGGUACUUUGAUGGAUAUUUUGAUCUACAGUUUGCAGGACUCGGGUCAUCAGGCCGAGUGCCUGAGUUAGACUUGGCUCUUGAUAAGCUACUAGUUUCUCCUUCAACUGGCAAAACUACUUGGCGUUCACCAGCAUUGUCUAAAUUGCUAGGUUGAUCACUCCCAGAAUUUCUAGGAACAACCCUAUUGAGCAAAUUCAUGGCAUUAUUAUCAGCCAUGAUUUCAAUAAAUAAUAAAAAUUACCUCAAACGGGUCCCACCGGGCGUGCCAAAAAUUGUUCGUGCCGAAAAUCUUCGAUCCUCGACCCGAUCAAAGGUCCUCCUUAGGGAGCUUGUCGGGAUCGAAACCGCAUAUGGUACUGACCCUCAAAGUUAGCGCCCUUCGAUCGAUCAAGCGAUUCGGCUGAUGAGGGAUCGGAUCAGCCGAGUUCGAAGACUCUACAGUAAAUCCGGUUCGGCCGGAUGAGCCGAAUGUACGGACCAAGCAAGAGCUGAAGUCGGCCAAGGAGCUGAAUGGCUAAAGAACACAGGAAUUGAUCGGCUUGAAGAGCCGAAUGCCUUUAUAUAUUAAUAAAGCAGAGUGUGCCCGAGGGGCAUACAGACUCUGAAAAUCUAAUCUACAACAGAGUGUGCCCGUGGGGCAUACAGACUCCAGAGAUCUAACUUAAAAGCUACUCCUAGGAAAGCAGUAAAUGCGGGUAAAAAAGAUUACAUGUAGACUACUCCUAGAAAGCGAUAAAUGCAGGAAAGGAAAGAUAUGAAAAUGCGAUGGUCUUUUCGUUCAGGGCAGAGAAAGACCCCUAUUGCAGGAUUCGAAAUUACUAUUUAUAGUAAUAUCAACCCACAUUAUUGGUUGGUUGAAAGUAGUUGGGGGAGUGGCUGUAACCAUGAUCGUGGAAGUUACGCCCCACUUCUCAACCGUUCCCGCCUAAACGGUCUCAACCUUCAGGCACUGUAAGGACUGAGAUUUUUGCAGUGUAGCUAAACUCUCAGUUGACGAUGUUUUUGUGUGUAAUUUAAUUACAAAAGCACUCGUCUAGUUUCGGGCGAAAUCGAGUUAAAACGGAAAUUCUACGCGAUUUCCAAGUUUCACUUAAAGUGAAUAGUAACUCGAUUUUCCGGAGAAGCCACGGUGAGAAGUUGGCUUCUGGCUCGUACCGGACUCUGUUUAUAGCAGUCCAAUAGCUCGUUUCGACCGGGUCAGCUAUUCUGGAACUAAUGGCGCUGACGGAUUUUGAGUUUGACGCACGGAUUUCGAGAAAAUCCAAAAAUACAUGUUUUAUAUGUAUUUNCCUAGCACAUCAUGGCUCAAGUUGAAGCUUGUUUUUAGGUUAGAACACUUCUCUUACACUCUAUUUGAGAGAUUUGCUAGAGAUUUGGAAGAAACCUAGUUUUUGAAAAAUUAGGAUUUAUUUUGGGAUUUUGUAAGGACUGAGAUUUUGGUAGUGUAGCUAAACUCUCUGUUGACGAUGUUUUUGUGUGUAAUUUAAUUACAAAAGCACUCAUCAAGUUUCGGGAGAAAACGAGUUAGAACGGAGAUUUUACGCGAUCUCCAAGUUUCACUUAAAGUGAAUAGUAACUCGGUUUUUCGGAGAAGCCACGGCGCGAAGUUGGCUUCUGGCGCGUAUCGCACUCCGUUCAUAGCAGUCCAAUAGCUUGUUUCGAAUAGUUCAAUUAUUUUGGAACCGAUGACGCUGACGGAUUUUGGGUUUGAUGCACGGAUUUCAAGAAAAUCGAAAAAUACAUGUUUUAUAUGUAUUUGUGUGUCACUUUGUCUGUAGGAAAAGAGAACGAAUUUCGUCGCGAAUCCGUGACCGAUCGAGGCGAAACGAAAUCGUAGGUUUGUUGCCUCAGACGUGCUGAUCGCACUGGUGCGAUCUAUUCGCAAAUUUGACAGACAGAUCUGCGGAGAAAAUGCGUUGUUCGAGGAGAGGUCGGUGAUGGCAAAACAGUAUUCUCGCAAAAGUUGUGACAUUUUAUGAACCGUUUCGCGUGAAACGCAUGUGGAGGUGCAUUUGCGCAUUUUGCACGCGCUGUGAAGGACUCAAUAUUAAAUAUUGAGUUUUGAUGUGUUUUUCUGCAAAAUGGAGCUAUAUGUAUUUAAGUCCUCUAGGGUUUCACCUUGGAACCGAACCCUAGAUGAUCCAUAGCUAACCCUUGUCGCCCCUAGCCACCUUCACCUCACUCCCCUGCCCUAGCCGCACACCCCCGAUCGCUGCCGGCUGAGCCCGGCCACUGCCGAGCCAUCAUCUUCCUCCCUCUCCAUCUCUCUCUCCAUUUCUCUAUUUUCUUCUCAGGUUAGAGCCCAGGCCGAGGCUGCAUUGCCUCCAGUCUCUUCCUUGGCAUCUUCCCGGAGCCCCGGCGACCCUCCCCGCCGGCCGCCGCCGCCCCGAACCGCCCCUAGCGCCGCUGCUGCACCCUGCAACUGGCUGGGCCGAGCCCUGGCCGAGGCAAGCCUACAGCCUUUCCCGAGUGCCGCCGCCACAUUGGACCACCACCUGCCGACUUCUCGGACCCCUGGCGUCCCUCCCCGCUGGUCGCCGCCGCCCCUGCGGGCCGCCACCGCCAUCUUGGCCAGCCGCAGCCGCCCCAGACCCGCUCGAGUCGAGGCAAGGUCGCGACUCCUUCCCUGCGCCGCCGCCACUCGGGGCCGCACCCGAGGCACCCCUCCGGCCUCCAGCAACUCUCCGCCGCCGUCCCGGAGCUCCCCAGCUACCGCCGUGGCCACCAUUGCCCAUGGAACCAGAGCCCUAGCUGGUACGGGGUCGGUUUGCUCCGCCGUCGCCGUCGCCGCCGCCGCUCUCCGCGACUAACCGAGGUGAGCAGUGUGCUCCUUCCUUCCCCCGUACCCAUUUCUGGCCCAUGCGCACCCUGUCGUGCCGCCGGAAGCCGGCCGGAGCAAGUUUGCUCCGGCCAAGCCCGAAAUAGGGCUUAGUUGAGUGGGUUUGUUGUUCUGAGCUUCCCGAGGCCUCCCGAUCAAUAUGGAAGGGAGCACGAUGUCAUGGCAAAUCGUUAAUCAUCGUGCUCACCUUGGUUUCUGUCGGAAAGGCCCCGUUCUGCUAUUUUGGCGGUGUCGACCCUAUAGAGCCUUUUUGGCUGCUGUUUCAGGUUUGCGCGUGUUUUUUCGGCGAUCCGAGGCUGUCCCGAUGCCUGCGGAGGUGAGCAUGGUGAUUGUUGGUCAGUGCCGAUCACAGUGCUCACCUCACUUUGGUUCAACGGAUUCUGGUUAGUUCUGUUCGGCACGAUUUUCCCCGACUGCGCGCUGUUCACAGAAAUUUUGGGUUGCUCCCACGCCUCCCACAAUGAGUCGUUGUGCUCCGGAUCAUGAGCACGGCCUCCGACGCAUCGAGACCUGUCAGUACCUGUCUCGGCAGACCUUGGAAGUCCUCGGUUUGCGUGAACGAGCCACUUGAUCGCUCAAAUUACAUAAAAUGAUAGGAUUUUAUGUAAUUAGAGGGACUUUGUGCAAUUGUGCACCUUAGGGCUACUGUGGGCAGUGUGUAUGCAUGUGUAGUGACCUUUGAAUUGAUUGUCCAUGAUCCGAUAGCCUUCACGGAAAUUAAAGAGUCGAUUUUGGUGCGUUUUUUGGCAAAAUUUGCCGAAAGAACGCGGUUUCAGUUCGAAUUUCUUCCGACGUCAUUUGGUUACCCUGUGAGUUGUCGCUAAGCCUUGUUGGCUGGUCAACCACCAUCACAUUGUAGGUUUGGUGAUGAUAGGUGAGCGACGGUGGGUUCCGGUGUCGAAAUAGACACUUCCGGGAACCCGGAUCCGAACAAUUAUCCGACAAUAAUUGUUCGGUUGUGUUACCUUGUGUUUGCUGCCAAGACAUUCAAAUUGGUGUGUUUUGUGGCAGCGGGUGACUCGUGGUAUGAGUCGGUGAGUUUCGGGACACUUAGUGGGCCCCGACAGCAUCCCGGUGUGGUUUUCGGGACUUCCGGUGAGUUACGAUGAUCGGUUUUGGAAAAUCGAUUACGGGGAUCUUAUGUGGGGGGUUUAUGAGUCUCGUACUUUGGGUUAGUGGUUUGGAUACUGACCUGGUGGAUCUUCUUAGGUCCGGUAGACUCUGUGCGUACCUAGUGUUCCGACGCUACAGUGACAUGUGGGUGCUUCAAGCUGGUAGUCGGUGAGAUCGUUUCACCCUUCCUCUGUUCUUUCAUUCAGUAUCAUAGCCUCUACAUGUCAGUUAUUUGUUUAUCAUUGUUUAUCGUAUCUCGUUGAUUGCAUUUGGAUAGUUGUGGAUAGACAUAUAGAGUAGGCUUGCAUUUGUAUAUUGCACCUCUGUGGACCUUGGGUCCAGGCAACACAUCGACUCCUUUGUCAUGUGUUUCGAUCUGGUUGAUCGUGGUUCGGCGUUGUACGCUCUUAUUUCUGGCUUCGGCCUAGGCACCGGCUUCAGUCGGUUUUUGUUUGAGCAUACCAGCAUGACUUAGUCACAACACUUGGAGGUAUUCAAGACACCGGAUCGGUUUGGCCACCGAUCGGAGGUGUACCUAUCCGGAUAGAUCGUCCUGUGGGGAGGAUGGAUCAGGUCGGUGCAGAUUAGUAACAGGCAGCGCUUGAGGUCUGUGGACCGAUAUAGCAGGCACCAGAUUGGGUACAGUUUUGGUUUGUUUACAUUGAGGCAUUCUCGUAUUGUUUCUAUACAGUAGCAGUUUACUUAUUGUUUCUUAUCAUAUCUGUUAUAGCUACUGUAGUUCAUUUUCGUAUAUCAGCAUAUAUAUUCGUUUACCAUAUCUCCUUUGGUUUCCGGUGAUUACGGCUUGCCUUCGUGGCUUUGUCGUACCCACUGGAAAACUAUGGUUGCGGUUUCUCAUUUCCUAUUCCCCCAGGGUGACAUGGACGAGGAGUUGAAUUUUGGGCUCGACGGGAGGACGAUCUAGCUAGUCUGGUAUAGCAACCGUCACCCUAGUUACUUUCAUUUCGGCACUUAGUAGUUUUAAUAAUAAAUGGUUCAGUUAGAUGAUCAUUACUGAUGUUUGAAUGUUUGAAUGAGUUGGUUUUCCUCCUAUGCAUGAAAUUGUGGAUCUGAGAUUAGAGAUUUGCGGAUUCGUGAUUUUGGUUUUAUGGAUAGUUGAUUCUCGAUUUAUAUAUUUACGAAUUUAUACAUUGUGGUUUUCUACCCCUUGAGGUAGUCGAUUUUCAAAAUAGAGUUUUCGUGUGGAAAAUAGUUUUUACAAUGUUUUCAAAUUGGUUUUUGUGAAUGUUUGAAUUAGAUUUUUAAAAGCAAAGCUUUCGGGUGGGGAGCACUUUUAAUAGGAUGACUGUUGUAUUAUUCAUUGCAUCAUCCAGCGCCUAAGGAGUACUUAGAGGUAUGCAUUAUCUCUAAGGAUUGCUAGCUGUAUGAAAAUGCAUGGCAUGAUGAUUGUUGAUUGGUAAAUAUAGAUUGUGGUUGAGAUUCUGAUGUACUGUUGGUAUGCCGUGCAAAUACAAAUGAGACUCUAUCCGAGUGGGUAGAGGAAUUUUGUAUUUGUGGUAGAUCUGUACGACACGUGGGCCAAGUUGGAGAAAAAAAGGCACGUUUUUCGCAACUCUGUUUUAAAAAGGCUUUUAAAAUCGGCCCGGGGGCGUGACAGGCACCUUAUUACCGACUCCUGGUGUACCACGUGUCCUUAUUUCUUUGGCUCAUACGUAGGGUAAGGUCGGCAUAUUAAUUUUAAUUUUGGCAUCAACACCAAGAUUAAAAAGAAUUUAUAUGUCAUCUAAAAUUGCUUCAUUAAUGAGAUGGCAUGAUAAAGGUCGCAUUAAAUAUGGACUCUUGAGACACCCAGCAGAUGGCCUCGCGUGGAAAUCAUUUGAUGAUCAUUAUCUUGAUUUUUCUUCUGAUCCUCGUAGUGUUAGACUUGGUUUUGCUAGCGAUGGAUUCAAUCCUUUCCGAACAAUGAGUACCACUUAUUAAAAGCACUUGGCCGGUGAUAUUGAUUCCUUAUAAGUUACCUCCGUGGUUAUGCAUGAAAUAAUCAUCAUUCAUCCUAUCAACAGUCAUCCCUGGUGAAAAAGGUCCAGGUAAUGAUAUUGAUAUUUAUUUGCAACCUUUAAUAGCGGAGUUAAAACAAUUAUGGAAUGGUGUUGAUGCUUUUGAUGCUUCUACUAAGCAAAGCUUUAUCAAGAAAGGAGCUUUUAUAUGGGCUAUUAAUGAUUUUCCUGCCUAUGCUAAUUUAUCCGGUUGGAGCACAAAGGGGCGUGUUGCUUGCCCUUGUUGUGGGGUUUCAAUCGAUUCACGUUGGUUGAAGCAUAGUAAGAAGUUCUGUUAUAUAGGCCAUCGUCGAUGGCUAGAACCAAAUCAUUCGUUUCGAUAUCAACAAAAUCAAUUUGAUGGUACUAUAAAGUUGCAUUUCGCUGCAAUAUCACCAUCUGGAAUUGAUGUCCUAAGGCAACUAGAGGGCACAAGUUACAAAUAUGGCAAAGGCUCAAAAUCUUCUAAGAAAAGGAUAAGAGAGGAAGUUGCUAGUUCUGCAAAUCAAGUAGUGGAUGAAGUUGGCACUACAAAUCAAGUAAGAGUGUUUGAAGAUGCCGAUGAGUUCAUUGGGGAUGGCCAUGAUUUUCAUGAAGUUGGGAAUGAUAGUGAUCCAUUAGAUACAUCAACACAAAGUGUAGUGAAAAAUUUUUGGAAGAAAGAAAGCAUCUUUUUUGAACUGCCAUAUUGGAAGUACAAUCUUCUUCGACAUAAUUUAGAUGUCAUGCAUAUACAGAAGAAUGUUUGUGAUAACUUUAUUGGAACCUUUUUGAAUAUGCAUGGUAGGACAAAAGACAAUUUGAAUGCACGAAAGGACCUAGAGGAUAUGGGCAUACGACAUGAUCUACAUCCCAAGUUGCAAUCGAACAACAAAACUUACAUACCUCAUGCAAUCUACACUAUGUCUACACAAGACAAAGUAAAUUUUCUGACAGUUUUAAAAAAUAUUAAAGUUCUAGAUAGGUACACAUCGAAUAUCUCAAGAUGUGUAAAUCUAAAAGAACGGACGCUUUCAAACCUCAAGAGUCAUGAAGAGUCAUGAUGGUCAUAUUUUACUGCAGGAUAUUCUUCCAUUAGCUUUGAGAGCAUCUAUGUCAAAACAGAUUAUCACAAUUGUUUCGAAACUAUCAUUAUUUUUCAAAUCAAUAUGUUCCAAAUCUCUUGAUCCAAAAGCUCUUGAUCAGUUGGACUCAAGUGUUGCAUUAACACUAUGCCACAUUGAGAAAAUAUUUCCCCCUAGUUUUUUCACUAUCAUGGUUCACCUUAUUAUUCAUUUAGCAUCGGAGGCCAAAUUAGGUGGUCCUGUACACUACAGAUGGAUUAUCCCAUUGAAAGGUGAGAAAUUUAAAUCUAAAUAAUUUAUGUAUCAUUAGUUUAUAUAUUUGACCAAUUUAUUACUAGACUAAGCAAAUUAACAACAUAUAUAUUAUGUUACAAAAUUUUAUUAUGCUAGGUACUUGGUACGGCUAAAAUCUUAUAUACGUAACAGAGCUAAACCAGAGGGCUCGAUUGCUGAAGGAUACAUUGCAGAAGAAUGUUUAACAUUUUGUUCAAGAUAUUUGGAAGGUGUGGAAACAAUAUUCAAUCGACCACAAAGAAACUAUGAUAACAUAGAUAAUGCGGAAGUUUAUAUGUUUUUAUCCGGUGGGCGAGUAUUAGGGAAUUUCGAAAGCAUUGUGCUGGAUGAAAUCUCAUUAGCGCAAGCACAUCGCUAUGUGCUACUUCAUUCUGACAAAAUUUCUUCAUAUCGUAGGUGAAUACCAUUUUACUAGUUUUAUUCAUAAUAUUUAUUUUUUUAUUGUACAAAUUUGAGUCCACUAAAUAGUUAGCCAUUAACAUAAUAUAGAGAAUUUUUGGUGGCUCAACGAAGAGCUAAUCGUGCGAUUCGAGCUAAUCAAAGUAUUGAGCAAAAUUGGCUAGUAGAAAAAUUUUCUGAAUGGUUUUAAGACAGGUAAACAAUAAUUAUUGAAUGAAAUGUUAUAUAUAUUUUACUAUAAAAUAAUUACUUAACCUAUUCUUGAUCAUAGGUACCAAAACUACAUGAGAGCAAUUGUUCAGAAGAAAUCAUUGCAAUGGCAAGAUGUCCAAAUAAUAUUACAAAAAGAUUUAGUGGUUUUAUCAUAAAUGGAUUUCGGUUCCACACAAAGGAUCGUGAAAAGUUUCGUAAGACUCAAAAUGGUGGAGUUAUGGUAGAAGCAGACGAGCAAACUUAUUAUGAUGCACUCACUGAUAUUUUUGAGCUAGAUUAUUUUGGGAAGUUUAAAGUUGUCUUAUUUCGUUGCGAUUGGUGGAUGUUAGGUCACCAAGGAGUUUAAAGCAAGACAUGAAUGGAUCAACUCUUAUUAACUUUUCCAAGCUGAUACACACUGGGCAAUUUUUGAAAGAUGACCCAUUCAUAUUCUCAUCUCAAGCAAAACAAGUGUUUUAUGUGCAAAAUCCUAGAAAUGAAGAUUGAAAUCACGUUAUCAUCACAAAACCAAGGACACGCAACGAAUAAACGAGUAAUGACACGUGCUAAGGAUGUAUGGAACUUGCCUAAUGGGCAAAGAAUUGUAAUUAAAUGUAACAAAUUUGGGCAACCAGUGAAGAAAAGGGGGUGGCAUCCUUGGAGGUUGGCUUGGGACUCUUUCACGAAAAGGAAAUUUCUGCUCUCUUAGCUACAAUAGUUGGAAAAAUGUGCCUAACACAGUGAAAACAGAACUUAUUCAACUAACUCGGAUAAAACCAAUUGUACUAAUCUUUUAGUAGCACAAAAUUUAUGUAUACUCAAUGGUUGCUGUAAGAGUUAAUUUUUUUUAUGAUUAGUAGCGAUCUACAUCUUGUUCUAUUAAUCUCAAUAGCUGCUGUAGGAGUUAAUUUUUUUUUAUGAUUAGUAGUCAUCUAUAUCCUGUUCUAUUAAACUUACCGUAUAGUUAUUAUUAACAAUGAUCAUUGUUGAGGUAUUACUAGAUCAUUUUGUAGGUGGAACCACUUGUGAACGAAACAGGGUGCAAUUUUUUUUUUUUAAGCGACAAACUUCAUUUAGUUAUAAAGUUCUUAGUAUUAUAGAUGUAGUUUGCAACUUAAUUUUCAGUUAGUGUUUAAAACUUUUAUAUUCCUUUUAAAAUUUUUUAUGCCUAUAGUUUAAAAAUAUCUCAAGGAGCUUAAAUAUCAUGAUAUUUUUCAAUAAUAGAUUAAAAGUAGUUCAAUAUUAAUUUUUAAUGAGUUUCAGUGUUUAAAUUUUGACUACAUUUUUUUUUUCUUGUAGACUAAAUUUAAACUACCAAUGGACAAUAAUGUCAAUGCAUGGAUAUUAAAAUCAGUUAGUUGAAAAUGAAAGAAUUAUAAAUGUGAACUCAAAGCAAAAUAUACGAUAGAGGACUACACAGAGCAACAAUUAGUGAAUGUUGUUCCCAAAGAAAUUGUGCCUCAACAGUGGGUAGACCUUGUGCAUUACUGGUUUUCGGAAAAAAGUCAGGUAGAGCAUUUUUAUACAUUAAAUGGUUAUUCCUUGAUGUUACAAAUUUUAUGGUUCUUAGCACAAUUUUUUUUUUGACAGUUAUAUUCUCGGAUAGGGCGGGCAUCACGUGCAAAACAUACAACUCCUCACACAACAGGCUCUAUGUCUUUUGCUAGGAAAAGACAAGAAUUUGUAUGCUAAUUUUAUUAUUACUUUAGUUUUUAUAAAGUGUAGCUUUUUAGUUCCUUUUACCCUGAUAUAUACUUGGUUUGGGUGCAAUAUUGCUCUAUUAGAUUACACUUUUUGUUUUUUAUUCCUAAGCUGUUAAGUAGUUUUAACUUGUAUAUUGGGACUAAUUUAUUCACUGCCAUUAAUUACAGGAAGAGAAAAAUCAAAGAGAACCUAGACGUAUUGAAUUUUUUGCAGUUACUCACAAAUCAAAAGAUGGGAGUUAUAUUAAUACUGCAGCAAGUAACUUCAUAGUGCGUAGUAAAAACACAUUACUAUGAAUACAUAUACACACAAAUAUAAUUUUGUAUAGUUGAAUUAAGUUUUCUUUUAUUACUCUAUGCAGAGUGAUGCCAUGGUAAAAGUGAAUGCUAGUAUCACUUCAGAAUCUUCAGCUUCAGCUAUUGAACUGGAGAAUGAUGCUUUCAUUCGCACGAAGGGAAAAGAUCGAUAUGGUCUAGUAAGAGGGUAUGGGAUUGGUGUAGUGCCAACACAAGUAUUUGGGCCAAAAGCAUAUAUUGGAAAUGUUCGAUAUGAUGAUAAUAUGGAAGAAGUACAAAGAUUGAAAUCAAAGAUACAACUGAUGCAAGAUACGUACGAGUCAAGAUUGGUUGAAAUGCAAGAAGAAUAUGAAUCGAAAUUAGACAUGAUACAUCAAAAUUAUGAAUCACGCAUGAGUGGGAUGCAAUCUCAGUUGAAUGAAGUCACCUCUAUUUUGUUAAACUUUGUCAUACCGUCUGAUAUUUUAGGUGCCGAGCCGAGGGGUCGUACAUCAACUUAGAGAAUUUUGUUUAGCUCCUCAUUUUGAGCUUUACUUGCAUUAAAACUCAAAUAGUUUAUCAUAUAUAUGUUGUUAUGUUGAUCAUUUUGGCUUUUGUAUUUAGUGAAAUUGUUAUGUUGAUCAUUUUGGGUUUUGUAUUUAGUGAAAUUGUUAUGUUGAUCAUUUUGGGUUUUGUAUUUAGUGAAAUUGAAACAGUUCCGUAUCACCUUUUGUUUUAAAUUUGAAUUGUUCAAAUGUUAACUAGUUGACUUGUGGAAUUGUUUUGAAUUCUUCUCAUAAAUUUGCUUAUGUAUAUUUUUUUUUUCCUCUGGAUGUUUGUUCUUUUUAAUGCUGCAAUUUGUAAAGUAUAUAGUUUGCAAGUUUUAAUAAAAUGUCCAAUGAAAAAAAAAUUAAUCAAAAUUUUAAAAAAUAUUUUAAAAAUUGUUUUAUGCUAUUUUAAAUGCUUGAAAAAUAUAACCAUGGUAUUGAGAUGACGACGCAUGAAAGCGCCGGCAAAAAUGCCAACGCUAUAAAAAGUUGCUAUAUUUUUAAAAUUUUUAUAAUAUUUUGAAACUUAGGAACGCAUUGAAGCAUCGCCAAAAUUAAAUUGACGACGUAUGAGAGCGUCGGUAGUAAUUAACCAACGCAUGCAUAAAGCGUCGCCAUUUCGUUACCGACACUGCAUUUAACGACGCACUUGCCGACGCUUUUCUUUGCGUCGGUGGACAUUUUGCCGACGUUUAAGAGCGUCGUAAAGUUUAAAAAAAGGGGUAGGUAGAAACCCUUUUUGUUGUAGUGUUAUAUAUAGUAUAUUAGCCUAGUUCUAUAUAUAUAUAUAUAUAUAUAUAUAUAUAUAUAUAAUACUUAUAUAUAUAAAGCUUAAGGGGCGUAAUGGAGGAUCAAGUGAUGAUACACUUACGAAUUAAUUAUGAUGAAUCAAAUUUAAAAUCAAGAGUCUACCAAUUAUGACUAGUAUUCAAAUCAUAAGUAAUUGUGAAAAUUUAAGAAUGAUAAUCUCUCAAGUAUGGCAACCAGUCCAAAUAGAAAAUAUUUGAAUUCAAAUAUUGUACAUUUCUAGAAUGUAAUUAUGUAAAUAUUGCAAUUUCAAGAAUAAUGGGAUUAUAUUUUGUAUUUAAUAAUUCUAUAUAUUGAGAGUUUGUUUUGUGUGUUCUCCUUUAAGGAUAACAACCAUGUUUCCACUAAUUAUAAUUUUCUUCAACCACCGCUAAACCUAGGGAACUACUAUCAUCUCAACUAUACAUGUUGCCUCCUUAACUAACUGUUAUUUAAUUAUAAGAGUUAGAUUAAGAAAAUAUUUUACAGAAUAAUUUUAAAAAAUAUUCAGUAGCAAUUAAUACAGCUGUUCUCAUUUUAGUUUAUCAACUAGAGUUUUGUGCACGAUGUUAAGACAAAUUUGAAUCAUUUACUACUAGAUAGAUUGAUCUUUCAGCUUAAGACGAUAUUAAAGUCACUCUUAAAAAUUUGAUCUUUCACUAUUUUGUAGCAUAUAUAUUUCCGGCUAUCAUUUUGUUGUCUUUUUCUUAACAUCUUCAAUAAAUCUAAAUGGUAUAUAUGGUUCAGCGAAUACCAACCAUGUAUGUGCACCUAAUUGUUAAAAUAAGUAUUGAUCAUUUUAUAUUAGAAUAAGUAUUGAUCAACUUUUUAGAUAUCGAUCUUAUAAUUUAAUUGAACUUGGCAAAAUUUUGUCAAUUGGUAAUGAUCGAGUCUCAUAAGUUAUUCUAUUAAUAACAAGAAUCCGUAAGUUCUUCUAUUAAUAACAAGAACACUUCGUGUCUAGUAGAAAAAAAAAAUUAGGUAAAAACGUAUAAAUUUAUUUGAAUUAUGAAUUCUUGUAAAUCAACUAUCCAAACUUUUAUAAUUCUAAUUUUAUUAUUUAAAUUUUUAAUUUGUUUGAUUUUAAUUAGUAAAAAAUAUUCUGAUUUUCAAAUGAUCCAAAAAUAGUGCAGAAAAAAUUUAUGCGAUAUAACCUAAAGUUGGAUAUGAGUUAUUAAAGUUUCUGCACAUUCAAAAUAUAUGGAAACAACUCAAACACUUUGCAUUAAAUAUGCUGACUCAUUGAUAAUCAAUGUCAGCAAAACUCUCUUAAAUAAAAAAAAAACUUUUGCAGCCUUGCAGGUACUCAUUAUAAAAUUGAGUUGGAUUUUGUUAAUAAUAUCAUCAUGAGGUGGAGCAAAAGAAAAAAAAAAAAAAAUAAAAAAAAAAAAAAAUCUAAAAGCAAUUUCUAGUACAUCUUGCUUUAUUGGUUUGAGAAUUGAAAUCCCCAGAGAAAAGUACAUCGUUUCUCUCUCAUCCUUAGUACUAUGCUAUCAUUAUAGUCUCUCUUUUAGGACACGCUCACUUUUCCCCCAUCUGGGUUGUUUCAAGUAAAGUGAACAUUCUCUAGAUCAUGCACAGAUAUGUCACAGGUCCUUUCAACCAAAUAGGGUUUCAUUGAACUUUUUUACACUGAAUUUUAAAGGUGUUUUCACCUAUAUAUAAAGUGCAUUAUUAUGCUUUCCUUGAUUUUUAAGUUAUUGCUGAACUUAGGUUUUGUAACUGAUGAUGCAUAUGAUUAACACUAGUUUGAAUCUCCAUUCACUUGGUCUAUUAAUCAUUCUCUCAAAUAAUACAAACUAAAUCAUCUAUUCUUAAGAACACCUCAUGGAAAACUAAAAGAACUAAAAAACAAAAUCUCAUUUUGAACCUUUUAUCAUCGAAUUUUGAUGGAAAUCUCAUAUAAUUAAAACUGCUGUUAAUUUGAAUCAGAAAUAGAUCUCCUACAUAGUGAUUAAUGAAAACCAUAAACAACACAAUAAUUCAUUUUGAAAUUCUAUUAUUUGUUGAUGAAGUGUUGAUUCAGUAGACACAUCCUGAAAAAAAUAAUAAAAGGAAAAAAAAUUACAGUACAACAGUUAAAAUUACUGUUUGCUGCGUAGUCUAAUUAGGCCAAAGACAAUGAAAGACGUGUAUUAAUUAACAAAAUCCUCAGUUCCACUAAUUAAACCACAAGUAAGUAAGUAACACUCCACUUCAAAAUCAUAAACCACAUGAUCACAUUAAUUCUAACAUAGCACAUCAGAAAACAAAAUAAACAAGAGCACAAAUUCAGUUAAUUAAUCCUGAUUAAGCGUAAUCAGAAUGAUUAGAAGGGCCGUCGGCCGCCGCCCCAACCGUAGGGCUCCGACGGCACCGGCACACUUCCGCCGAGGAGGUUCUGCGGGAGCCCGUGGAAUGCGUUCGCCUCCGCUGCCGCCGCCGCCGCCAAAAGCUGCUGCUGCUGCUGCUGUGCUUGGCCGCCGAGCAUCGCGGCGGCGGCGGCGGCGGCGGAUGGCGGCUGGUCGUCCUCCUCGAGCGGCAGGCGCUCGUAGGCGGCGUUGGCGAAGGACGCGGCCAUUAUGAUCACGGGUCCAGACGCGAUGAGCGACCCGACGACGCUCCCCCCGACGACCUGACCCUGGCCGCCGGAGAGGUAGACGGUGAGCCCGGUGGCCUCCGGCGGGGCCGGCGGGGGGAGGAAGGAUCCGGAGAGGGAGAGAAUUUCGAAGUGGCCGUGCAGGUUCAGCACGGCGCCGCUCUGCGACGACGCUGCUGCGGCUGCGGCGGCGGCGGAGGCCGGGGGCUGCCGCAGCGCGACGUUGGUGACGGUGCCGACGCCGCUGAGAACGCAGACGCCGCGCUGGCGCCGCCGCGCGAAGGCCGCCACGCUCUCCGCGACGUCGCACCCGCCCGCCACCUCCAUCACGUGCGUCCGCAGCGCGUUGGCGCUGUCCCGCGUGAUCACGAUCGGCGGCUUCGCCUUGUUCUUCGACCCCGCCGGGCGUCCCCGCGGCCUCCGGUUCACAUCGUUACUAUUAUUAUUAUUAUUAUUAUUAUUGCCGUCGCCGUCGCCGCCGCUGUUGUUGUUGUUGUUGUUGUUGUUGUUGCUGCUGUCGUUGGCGUUGUCGUCGUCGUCGUCGUCGUAGUCGCGCUUCUUGCCGCGGCUGCGCAGGUCGUCGUCGGAUUUGAGCUGAGGGUGGAGGUGGUGGUGGUGAAAGUCUUGGAAUAAUGGGGGAAGAUGAUGGCCAUGUGUUGAUGCUGUUACCGGAUCCAUAAACUUGCCCUAAUUAAAUUUCUUUCUUUCUUUUUUUUUCUUCUUCUUCCCUUUUAUUUUCCUUUUUAUUUUUCCCCCUAAAUACAAAGAACAGGUGGGAUGGGGCAAAACCUAGGAGAUGGAACAGUGAAGAGAAAGCAAAGGGGGAAGAACCAAAGAAAAGGAGAUGAGAAGGGAGAGAGAGAGAGAGAGAGAGAGAGAGAGAGGAGAACAAUAAUUUUCAUUAACUAUUCAAUUAAGAAAAAAAGAAAAAGGCUAAAAGGAGGAGAAGUAGAGGAAAGAUCAAAAGAAAGACGGCGCCCUGCCUCCUCCCUUUUUCCUAUCUCUCCUUUCUUUUUUUGAAAAAGAAAAAUUAUAGUAAAUAAAUAGAAGAGUCAUAUACCACAACCAAUGCUACUCCUCACCAGAAACAAAAUGGAGGCAUUUCUCUUGUCACCCACCAACUUCUCAGCUGAUUCCAAAAUUAAGCAUCUUAUUAUAACCCCUCCUCUCUCUCUCUCUCUCUCUCUCUCUCUCUCUCUCUCUCUCUUUCUCUUUUAUUUUAUUUUUAUACCCCUCUCUCUCUCUCUCUCUCCACCCUCCUCACAAAGCCAACUCGUAGCUACCAAUAAUUGUUAGCACUCCCCUUUCUCUCUCCUGUAUUAGAUUUCUUUUGAAAAGAGGGCAUACACGGGAAGUUUUGAGGAUUGGUUGGAUUCUCAUUGAGUAUGGUUUGCCCCAGUUAAAUAUGGACUAAUCAACUUCUAGCUUAUUCCUUUCUUCUUUUGUGAGUGUUAUGUUUAUGCUAUGGUCUCUUUUAUUCUAGGCCAGUUAUUAUCAUAUGUGUUAACACUAUUUCCAUAUUGUUCCUAUCAUAUCAAUCUUUUGAGCUAGUUCUGAACAUCUCUCGAUUUCAAAAAGUUUUAAGUUCAGUUUCCUACAUAUACUCUUCUUGAUAUAUAUCAAGAGUCAAAGUGUUUGGUGGUUAAUAUUCGAAGUCCCAAGUUCGAAUCCUAAUUGAUUCACAUUUCCAGCUAAGUUUAUUUCUAAAUAAAAUAAACGAAGCAGAUAACAUGCUACCUAUCUCUCAAACAAAAAAAGAUAUAUAUAUAUCUACCGAGCGUAUAAGCAGAGAAUAAAAAUUUUAUGAUGACAGUCCCCAAGGCGAAACCAUCAAUGAGAUCCAACAGUCAACUUAUAUAUGAAAUGCAUGAAUCAUUUCUCAAAGAAUUGAGAUUGGUAGCGAUUGGAUGGUCUUAUAUUGGGAACAGUCUGAUCAAUUAGAAUUUUCUUCUCCGAAUAGGGGUGAUUACAUACGAUAUAUAUAUGAGGUCAAUCUUUUGGUACGAUCCAGGCUAAUGGAAUAAGGGCAGACUACUUAAUCACCUUGUGUGCCAUGGGACUAGAAAAAAUUCUAUUUGUUUACCGCUUAAUUCGAUUAUCUCAGAUCUACACUACAUCUUGAGCUAUACUUAUUAUUUAGAUGCUCGGCACAUCUUAUACAAUCUUUGGCUAAAAAAUAUAUAACUUACUUGAACUAGAGACCAUUUUUGAAUCGCUUAUCUAGCAUUUCAAAAUUUUAAUUUUACCAUCCAACUUUUCAAUUUGUUUGAUUGGGUCAGUCAACGGCACUUUAAAAUUAACUUCAAAUUCGUACGUGUCGUUUAUCCGUCUAGAUUUUAUUAGUAUAUUUCAUAUAAUUCUCGCAACUAUAAAUUUAUUAAAAUAAGUAAUUAGCUGGCUGACUAAAAAUCUAAUAAAUUGCCAAAUUUUUAUUGGUCGGAUUAAAUUAUUAUGGAUAAUAUGUUGGGUGCGUUCAUUGGCACAGGCCGGAGGGGUAGGUGGUGAGCCUGCGGUCGCGCCGUACCCGUCGCUACCCUAAUAAUAUUUUACUAUGCCAUUUUGUGUUGAGACAUUUCUUACCUGCACUGCACUGGGCGUAUAAAUACAUCUCAUACACCAAUAUUUUGGAAACCUACAAUAAGCAACUCUAAAAUUUAAUUAUAGCCUUUACUUUUCGGCUUAGGAAAUUACGACCGAAAAUAUUUAAUUUAUUAUAAAUAGUAAUUUUAGACGUUGUUUACGUCGCAUCUAUUGAAUUUAAUUUUAAUUUAAAAUGUAAAUCGGCAAAUAUCAUGAGCGGUGCACAGGGCUGUUCAAUUGUACACGCGGUGCACGUGACAAUUCCUCUCGUGUGCGCGUGGGGGACGUCGCUGUCGAAUAAGAAGAGCCAGCGAGCUCCCCACGUCGUUGAAUUAUAGCCGACCUAGCGGUGGCAUAUUCGUAAAUAAGUAGAAUAUCAGGGGCGUAUGUGUUUACAGGGUGGGGUGUGGCAUGUGGGUCUUCGGAAAUCGCGUUGUCGCAAACGACGUGGGAGCGGACGUGAAACCGGUCCGUGGACACGGUGCACCGCUACGGCAUCAUGGACCGACCCCUGAACCAGGUCUAAAAUUAGAAAUAUAAUAAUUUGUUGGAUGCGAGUGGUGUGAUCAACAAAAUUUCAAAUGCCCCAAGAUAUGAUCCCAAAAGAAAAAAAAAAUCAUAAAUCAAAAAUUAGGAAUUUAACUGUAUAUAAGGUCCAAACGUAAAAGAGCUUUAGUUUUUUUUUUUUUUUUUUUUUUUUUUUUUUUUUACUUUUUAAAAAGUAUUUUAUCAAACGGUACAUAACUUUAACAGAGAAGCUUUAAGUAGCCCUUACCUUAGUGCCAAACUGGCUUGAGAGACCGGUCCACAUUGGACCAAGUCCCUGCAAAAUGUUGUCCGGAGCAAUGACGAGAAUCUUUUGAAGCGGUGUGAAUGAAUUCAGGUGGGCCCCCACGAGGACACGUGUCAGAUGCUCCGCGAUCGGGGGCUGCGACCGAGGCCUGCGAGACUGGGACCCCGUCGCGGGUCCGGCGGGGGCGAGGUCGCUCAGCCUCGGGGCGCGCGGAGACCGACACCAGCCGUCCGAUCGGUGUCAGGCGAGCGGGGGAGGGAGGGGAUCGGGCGGCUCCCGAUCAAUCGAUCGCCGUGCGUGCGUGCUCGCGGUUGGUGUGUAUUUUUCCCUUCUCUUAUCUCCUCCCUCCUCUUUAGUGCCCCCACGUGACAACCAUUAGAUCUGCCGCGGUGGGCCCCGGCACGCGCGCGGGUCCGAACGGGUCGUUACGGUUUUUGCGAAUCCGAGGCGGGAUGGGGUGGUGCCCGCACGUGUCACGGGAACGGUGUUUUUUAAAAAGCGGAGCCACCGCGGGAUAAAACAGACCCGUUUGCUCUAAGGACCCGUAUUGUACCUGCGCCUAUUUCAAUACAUUGACCUUGUUUGGAUAAAAAUUCUAAAAUGCAACACUAAUUUUACUAGAUCCAGUAAAUUCUAUCUGUAUCAGUAUAUAUUUGCAAGUUAUUCAUAAAUUUAUUGAUAAAACGUGUGGAUAUCCGUUAAGUUAUGAAUAUUUUGGACAACCCACGAAUAGUCGUGGAUCGAUAUCCGUAUAUUUUUUUAAUUAAAAAAAUAUAUUUUCUACGGUAUUGACUUUAUAAUCAUUAAAAAUUUUAUUAAUUUGUAUUAUAAAAAUUUGGAACGAUAUAUUAUUUUUAUAUUAUGUAAUUUAUGCGCUUUAAGAUUUUAUAUUGUUUAUCAUAUAUUAUGAUAUUUCUAACCGUAACUUAUAUUAUACUUUUAAAAAUUAUAUUUGUAUUUUGCGGUUGGAAAGUGUUAGGAGCUGAAUUUCGUCCUCUUUGACCCGAUCAAAGAUCUUUCUCGGAAAGCACGUCGGGAAGCGAAACGGCUACGAUUAGUGAUCCUUGAAGUUUGCGUCCUUCGAAUGGAUCAAGCGAUUCGGCUGAUUCGAUCCCUUAUCAGCCGAGUUCGAAAACCUUUACUGUAGAAUCGGUUCGGCUAUAUGAGCCGAAUUAAUAAAAUGCACAGAAUUUUGGGUCGACUGAUGAGCCGAAUAUAUGGAAUACACAGUGAUUGGUCAGCUGAAAGAGCCGAAUGCUUUUAUAUAUAUUAAUAAAACAAAGUGUGCCCGAAGAGCAUACAAACUCUAAAAAUCUAGUUUACAACAGAGUGUGCCCGUGGGGCAUACAGACUCUAGAGAUCUAAUUUAAAAACUAUUCCUAGAAAAGCAGUAAAUGCGGGUAAAAAAAAUUACAUGUAGACUACUCCUAAUAAAACGAUAAAAUUACAAAGGAAAUAAAGGUGGUAUUCUAGUUCAUGGGGGAGAAAGAUCCUUAUUGCAGGCUUCGAAAUUACCCACAUUAUUGGUUGGUUGAAAGUAGUGGGGAGAGUGGUUGUAACCAUGAUCGUGGAAGUUACGCCCACUUCUCAUAAAAGUUACGCCCCACUUCUCAACCGUUCCCGCCUAAAUGCUCUCAACCUUCAGGCGCCUUAUUGCUGAUUUCUGGUAUACCACGUGUCCUUAUUUUUUUAGCACAUACAUGGGUUAGGUCGGCAUAUUAAUUUUUUGGCAUCAACUGAAAGUAUAUGAACAAAAAUUAAAAAAAAAAGCUGUGAAUAACCCGCAUAUCCACCAUCUGCCCGUAGGCGGCCGGAUAUGGAUAAAGAUGUUAAUUAUCCAAAAAUUUACGGAUACAUUUUAUCCAUAUCUAUAUGACCCGCGGAUACAAUAACCUGCUCACGUGUUACCGAACUCGUCCAUUUACCAAAUCUAUUAAUAUUACUAAUGUGGUGUUUACAAUCAAUCAAAAAAUUUUCUUGUGGUUCACUUAUCCCAACAUAGUUAUUAGAAAAAUAUUUUUAUUGUACUUUUCUUUCAAAAAAGUAAUAUAAUUAACUAGGAUAAAGAGUGGUGUAAAUGUUAUA